UCACUAAAAAAUAAAAAUAAGGUUUUCAUUUAUUAAAUAUAAAAGGUAGAAAGUUGCCAUUUGAAAGGCCCAAACAAAAGGAAGAUAAAAAAAAAAUUGAUAACACUAAUUUUACGCUUCACUGCUCCUUAGCCUUCUUCGCAGCAUUCAACAUAACAGUUCAAAUGAAAUACGACCACAUUAAUUUUACGCUUCACUGCUUCUUAGCCUUCUUCGCAGAGCCAUGCUCUUCUUCAUCUUCUGGAGCUUGUCUCUUCAAUGUGAUUCUCUUCUUGUCCAAGAAAUUCAUUAGCCAUAUAGUAGAAGUUUUUGGAAAUCUUGUCAAAUAGCCAUUAACGUAAUCUACAUAAAAAAGGCCAAAUCUAACACUGUAUCCAGCAGCCCAUUCAAAAGUAUCAAACAUUGACCAUAUAAAGUAAGCCUUCACGUCCACACCUUCUCUGUAAAUGAAAGAAAAAAUCACAAAAUUUUUUUUUUUUUUUUAACAAAAUAGCUAAAUAAUUUCAUAAUUUGCUUUGAGAUCUAAUGCAUAAUUAUUAGAAUGAUGACUUACUCCAUUGCUUUCUUAAUAUAAAAGAGAUGGUCCUGGUGAAAUUUAAUCCUUGUCUCAUCAAAUCGAGCAUCUGACACUGUUAGGGCCGUAUUGUUUACUUCAUCCACCCCUACACAAGUUAAGUCAUCCAAUAAAACACAUUAAAAGGGGUAAAUAUUACAAAACAUUUAUUAAUUUACUAAAGAAAAAGGCCAAUAAACAUGCUAUAAAUUUACCGUUCUCCGUUAUGUAUAUAAUAGGAUUAUUAUAUGUUUUCUUUAUAUAAACCAACAGCUUGUAAAUCCCGUUUGGAACAAUAGACAACCAACUUGAACCGGCCUGACAUCAACAAAAAAUGAUAAUGUUCUAUAAGAUUCAGAAUAAAGGCAUAGUAGUUUAAUCCAUUGUUGCAAUCACGGUGUAGUUUAAUAAGCAUACCUGUGGGCCAAUAGGCGUCCCAUCACGGUCACCUAGAAAGAAUUGAGAUAGUGAGCGCUAUGUGAUAAGAUUAAUUUAUAGCUAUACAUGAAUGAGGUCCAUAUACUUACUGGAUAAUGCGACAUCCUGAUCAUUUGAGUAACUUAUUGCUGCACCACUUUGUCUAGGUGAAUUGCUAGCAUAAAUGCUUGUGUAAUAAUUUAUGCCCAGAAAAUCAUAAGUCCCUUUCACAAACUUAGCUUGUUCUUGUGAAACUGUAAAUUUGACAAUAUAAUUUAUUCUUGAUAAAUCACAGAAAGCCCAAUAAAGAGUGGAAGUAAAAAACAUAAAUUGUGAAAGUAGUGCAGCCGGAAAGCAAGAGAAAGAAGAAGAUAAAUUCAAUCUCGUACAUUUACAUAGUAUAUCGAGAUGGAUUAAGGAAGUACGAUUAAAUAUAACAGAAUGGAAUAAAACAAGAAUGAUCGCAGCCUCAUCAUGAAGUGAAGAAAUCAAGUAUAUUGGCUUCUUGUGAAAACAUAAAUGAGUAAAGCUGCUUACCAUCCCAAAAUAAAAUCGAGGGCCCUUGAAGCAGCCUCUUUAUCAGCUUUGCUGUUAGUAAGUGGCUCAUACCAUUGAGCAACAUUUGUUAUUCCUAUCUUGCCUCCUUGAUGUGCCUACACAUACGUGCUUGCAUGAAAUACAGAUACCAAAUAUCUGGAUUUUUAUAUGAACUUUCUUUCAUGAUAUUAAAAUUAUAUGGCAAAUGUCACCUGAUAUCUUUUCCUGUAGAUAUCUACCGCUUUUGCAUGAGAAAGGAUCAUAUUGUGUGCCACAAUAUAUGGUUCUGUGCCUGGAUUUCCACUGGGGCAAGGAGUUGGAGCCUUAAGUUCACAUCUAUGAGGAGGGAUAGCCUUUACAGGCUCUGCUGAAGUUGGGCCACGACCAGGUGCAAAAGUACCUGUUGCAUAUCCUUGAAUAGCCAUGGACGAUGGUUCAUUCAAAGUGAUCCAAUACUUCACCCGAUCACCGAAUUCCCAAAAGCAAAGCUCGGCAAAGUCACCAAAAUCUUUCCUAUUAAAUAUUCAGCAAAUUUUUUCAAUAUAUACAUAUAUGAUUCAUGGUGUUCUUCAGGAAAAAAAAUUAGGAUCAUAUUUAAUUUGUAUACAAGAGCUUUACUUGAUAAUACAAAUUUCUCAAUGGCUUCUAGUUUCCAGAGGAAUUAAAUAUCUUAACUUCCGUUGAAUUUACAAUGUUUUCUAAUAAAUACUCUAUUCAAAUAUCGAAAGAAAAGGUUCCUCGUUAGAAAGAUUCGGUUACUUACACAAUUCGAGGGCUCAAGAAGCCACCGUACUCUUCUUCCAAAUAUUGGGGAACAUCCCAGUGGAAGAUAGUUACACAGGGUUCAAUGCCUACACAAAGUAAAUGUAAGAAUCAUAUAGGUAACGUUUUUAUCUUUUUUAAUAAAAAAAAACUGUUAAAAGGAAACAAAGAAAACAUUGUAUUGGAGUCUAAUUAACCUUCGGCCAAGAGCAAGUUUAUAAGAUCAUUAUAGUACUUGAUUCCUUCUUGGUUUAUCCCAGCAGAUAAGUUUCCCCCUAAAAUACCAAUAAAGAAAAAAUGAAAUUAAAUAAAACUUCAUCCAAUAUUUUAAUUUUCAACAAAUUAUGCACAAAUUGAUUAUACAGAUAUCUAUACCUGGCAAUACUCUGGACCAUGCAAUUGAAAAUCUGUAAGAGUCUAAACCCACUUUCUUUAACAAAGCCACAUCUUCCUACAACAUUACAGAAAAUAAAUAAAUAUGGUUCUACUACCUAGAAUAUUUUCUCUAAGUUAUCCUUAAAAUUGUGCAAUAAAAAAUGAAAUUAGUGAAUUACCUUCCACCUGUUAUAUUGAUCAAUUGCUACACACCCAUUAGCUCCACCCUGAAUUCUACCUGCCACUCCAAUAAACUUGUUCAGAAAUUGACAUGUAAUUCACAUAAGUGUAUAUAAUUAUAAACAUAAAUUUGUGUAUAUGUAUGCAUGUACGAAGACGGGGAGAGAAGAGACCAGGUGUUUGCAUUGUGAAGACAUCCCAGAUGCUUUGACUUUUUCCUCCUGCUGCCCAAGCACCUUCAACCUGAAUUACAUUGCAAAGAAAAAAUCAACCAAAAUAAUAAUAAUAAAAACAAAGCAUGUUUUUUUUCUCUUUUUUGAGUAAAUAUAAAAAGCAUUUAAAUAAAUACACUUGUGGCCAGGAUGAUUAAUUGAUUUGCUGAGCUUUGUAAAAAGGAUUUUUAUGUUUGUACACCGAGCUUGUCUCACCCUCACAAGAGAAGGCUUGCGUCCAAUAAAACAAUCUUGGGUCCCCCUCUUGUGACGGGAAUUGUAGACAGCUCGGUAUACAUGUAGCAUAAUUCUUGUAAAAAUUACACAGAUAUAAACCUGAUAAGCAGAUGUUGCCGAACCAAAGAUAAAAUCUGAGGGAAAAUCAGAGCGCUUUAUCUUGUUUCCACCCUCUAGACUGCCGCUGGAAAAAUCCAUAAGUGCAGUUGCAUCGUUGCCACUGUUCAUCUUGAGGCUAUUUUGUUCGUUCGUUGCUAGUGAAGGAAACUCUAUUUGACGUAGUGUAAUUUUAAACUUGAGUGCUUUAAGAGCGGUAUAGCUUAUAUGCAUUGGCAACAAACUGAAUCAGGUAUUUAUAGAUCUCUCAAUUUGACCAAGUAAAAGAAGGCAUGCAUAAGUUAAUAUCAACACGAAUUCUGAAAAUUCAAACUUUGGUUCUAAUUUCUAUUCUUUGACGGUGACCAAUCACCUAAUUUUUUUAAUCUUAAUUUUCCUUUUGUUGACCAGACUUGUACAUUUUAGUCUUUUUUUUUUUUUAAAUUCUUUCCAUUUUAUUUAUUUAUCGUUUUUUUUUUCAUUUUUUCCCCUAAAUAAAACUAAGAAAACAAUGAUAAACGGGAUACACAUUUUUUAUUUGCACUUAACUGUCAGAUUUUAUUUCUUGUAAUUAUGUUUACUGUUCCGAAAAUCAAGCAAGUAUAUUGUAUUAUGGACAAGUAAAUAAGCAAUGAGUCCAUUACAGUGCUAUGAUGAUUAUGUAAUUAGCUUUAAAAAUAACUAAGCAAAUAUAUAUAUAUAUAUAUAUAUAUAGAUAUUUAUAUAAAUAUAGUAGUAUUAAUAUAAGAAAUACCUAAAAAAGUGAUAAAAAACAAACAACGAAUAUUUAACAAUGUUUAGAGAAAAUUAUUCGACUCCGCAGCCGGAUUCCACUUUAUUUCUUCAAUCCUAAAGAUUGACGAAAACAUGGAUUAUACUAAAUUAUUUAAUAAUAGGUCACAAUUACACAAAAGUACUUUCAAAUUCGAUGAUCGUUAACAUAAAGAUUACGCAAAACAUGAAUAUAUCUCUGUUCCUUACCAAAAACGUGAAAAAUUUAUAUUUUGAACCAUUAUCCUUUGGCUUCCUUGGCAGCCACAAUCACCCAAUGAUUUGAUAUUUUGUUGGUUGCAGUCCAACUUUCCUAGUCUAUUCUUGAAAUUUCUCACGUAAUCAUUAGCUUGCAUCUUGUACAUAUUAUCAAUGGCUUUAGCAAUGGGCCCAAAAGUGUCCUCAUUAACCCUUCAUCACCUGACCCACCACCACAACAUUCUCGGACGCCGAUUUUCCAAACUAGCUUUGGGUCACCACCUUAAAUUUUCAAUCUUAUUCUAUUCAAUUUUUUUAUUCUGCUUAUGACUGUGGAUCGCCAGAUUAGCCUCCCUAUACCACUUAUAUCCACAAAUUACAUGAGGGAAAAGGUUUGAAAAAUUUUAGCGCUUGUAAUUGUGUCUUUCUUGAGAGAAAUAUUAAUAACAACAGCAACAACCAUAUUGAAUUAAAUUGAAUUCUAUUAAUACAAUAAUUAGUUUUUAUUUUUAAAUUGUCCUCUCGUCCAAACUAUUUGUAUAUAUACAUAUAUAUAUAUAUAUAAUUUUUUUUUUAAGUAGCAAUACACAUCACUUUAACAAAAAACAAGCAAUAGGUACAACGUCAUUAGGAGAAUUGUAUACGGAAUAAAAAAGAAGUCAAUCCUCAAUUUUUUAUUAGACUCGAACUCUGCAAUUAUUAAAAUUACAUUCCCUAGUUAUUAUUAUUUUUAUUUUUUUUUAAAUCUCAUCAUUGAAGAGCUACAAGUAACAAAACGAGAAUAAAAAAUACAGUUGGACAAAUAGAUUUCCAGUCAUACUCUAUUUAAAUGUUUAAAAUAUGUCUUCGAUUGAGGAUCGCCAAAUCAGCCUCCCAAUUCCACUUAUCCCCACAAUGGGUGAGAAAAAACGUGCCAAAUAUGGAAUAAAAUGGUUUGACGACAAAACAUUUAUACUAAGGAAUGAUUAUAAAACAGGAUACAUCUUUUGCAUUUGCAUUUAAUUGUCAGAUUUUAUUUCUUGUAAUUAUGUCUACCAUUCCUUGAAAUCAAACAAGUAUAAGGUAUCGCGGACAAGUAAACAAGUGAUGAGUCCAUUAUCAUCCUACGAUGAUUAUGUGAUCACCUUUUAAAAUAACUAAGUCAAACUUUAACCAAACAAACAUAAAUUUGAUUUUUCUAGGGCGUUUAAUUAAAUCAUGCUAAAAUGUCUAAAAGAAAGCAAUUAACAAAUUGUUGACAAUGUUUAGAGAAAAUUCAAAUACAUAAUGAUACUAGUAGUCCGACUCUACAAUUGUCUUCCACUUUGUUUCUCAAGUCCUCAAGACUGACCAAAACAUGGUUAAUUAAAAAUUGAUUAAGCUAAAAUAUCUAACAAUCAUUCACAAUUACGUAAAAGCUUUCAAGUUCAAUGAAUAUGCAAAAUAUGAAUAUAUCUAUGUCCCUUAUCCAACUUUAUGAUAGUUGUCAAAACAUGCAAACUUUAUAUUUAACCUUUAAAAAUCAUUUGACAUUCUUUGGCAGCCACCAAUCACCCAAUGAUUUCACAUUUCGUUGGUUGCAAUCCAACUUUACGUAGUGGACAUGAAGAUAUUUCUUAGUAAAUUCUUGAAAUUUCUCAUGUAAUCAAUCGGUUGUGUAUCCUGUACAUCUUAUCAAUGGUGGCCUUUACGAUGGGCCAAAAGGUGUCCUUAUUAACCUUCAUCACCUGACCCACCACCACAACAUUCUCGGACGCCGAUUUUCCAAACUAGCUUUGGGUCACCACCUUAAAUUUUCAAUCUUAUUCUAUUUAAUUUUUUAAUUCUAUGUAUGAUUUUUUAAAUGAUAAAAUUUCACAUCAAAUAAAAAUAAAAAUGUAGACUAAUUUUCAAGUGUUUGAGCUACUCCUCUUAAUAAAUUGACAUUUCAAGAUAGAACACCAAAUCUUAAUCAAUCAGUAAUUCAAUUCGAUUAAAACUAAAAAAUGAACAUAUGAGUUUCAAAAUUGGUCUGCUCAAAUGAGUCAUCAUCUUGCAAGAUAUGUUGGACAAAAUUCUACACCGAUUAAAAAUGAAAAUAUAGACCAAUUUAUAAGUGUUUGAGCUACUCCUCCUAAUAAAGUUGAUCUUUUACGAUGAAAUCUCAAGUUUUAAUUUGAUUAGGGAUCACCAAGUUAACCUCAUAAUACCACUAAUAUCCACAAACUACAAGAGGGAAAGGAUUUGAUAAAAAUCCAUACUUGUAUAGAAUAAAAGGGAAAACGUGACCAUAUGCAUUGGCCUUUGCAUUUAAAUGAAGGUUUAAACCAUAAAUAAAUAAUAAAUAAAUAAAAUUGUGCUAGUAAUUGUGUCUUUUCCAGUCAUAUUCUAUUUAAAUGUUUAAAAUAUGUGUUCGAUUGAGGAUCAACAAAUCAGCCUCCCAAUACCACUUAUCCCCACAAUGUAUGAGAAAAAACGUGCCAAAUAUGGAAUAAAACGGUUUGACUGCAAAACAUUUAUACUAAGGAAUGAUUAUAAAACGGGAUUUGCAUUUGCAUUUAACUGUUAGAUUGUAUUUCUUGUAAUUAUGUCUACCAUUCCUAGAAAUCAAACAAGUAUUAAGGUAUCGUGGACAAGUAAACAAGUGAUGAGUCAAUUAUCGUCCUAUGAUGAUUAUGUAAUCAGCUUUUAAAUUAACUAAGUCAAACUUUAACCGAAGAAAGAUAAAUUUGAUUUUUCUAGGGCUUUUAAUUAAAUCAUGCUAAAAAGUCAAAGAAAGCAAUUAACAUAUUGUUGACAAUGUUUAGAGAAAAUUCAAAUACAUUAUGAUACUAGGAGUCCGACUCUGCAAUUGUCUUCCACUUUGUUUCUCAAGUCCUCAAGACUGACCAAAACAUGGUUAAUUAAAAAUUGAUUAAGCUAAAAUAUUUAACAACCAUUAACAAUUACGUAAAAGUUUUCAAGUUCAAUGUAUAUGCAAAAUAUGAAUAUAUCUCUGUCCCUUAUUCAACUUUAUGAUAGUUGUCAAAACAUGCAAAAUUUAUAUUUUACCUUUAAAAAUCAUUUGACAUUCUUUGGCAGCCACCAAUCACCCAAUGAUUUCACAUUUCGUUGGUUGCAAUCCAACUUUACGUAGAGGACAUGAAGAUAUUUCUUAGUAAAUUCUUGAAAUUUCUCAUGUAAUCAAUCGGUUGUGUAUCCUGUACAUCUUAUCAAUGGUGGCCUUAACGAUGGGCCAAGAGGUGUCCUUAUUAACCUUCAUCACCUGACCCACCACCACAACAUUCUCGGACGCCGAUUUUCCAAACUAGCUUUGGAAAUUUUCAAUCUUAUUCUAUUUAAUUUUUUAAUUCUAUGUAUGAUUUUUUAAAGGAUAAAAUUUCACAUCAAAUAAAGAUAAAAAUGUAAACUAAUUUUCAAGUGUUUGAGUUACUCUUCUUAAUAAGUUGACAUUUUAAGAUAGAACACCAAGUCUUAAUCAAUCAGUAAUUCAAUCCGAUUAAAACUAAAAAAAUGAGUAUAUGGGUUUCAAGAUUGAUUUGUUCAAACGAGCCACUAUCUUGCAAGAUAUGUUGGACAAAAUUCUACACCGAUUAAAAAUGAAAAUAUAGAUUAAUUUAUAAAUGUUUGGGCUACUCAUUUUAAUAAAGUUGACAUUUUAUGAUGAAAUCUCAAGUUUUAGUUUGAUCGGGGAUCACCAAGUCAACCUCAUAAUACCACUAAUAUCCACAAACUACAAGAGGGAAAGGGUUUGAUAAAAAUCCAUACUUGUAUAGAAUUAAAGGGAAAACGUGACCAUAUGCAUUGGCCUUUGCACUAAAAUAAAGGUUUAAACAAUAAAAAAUAAUAAUAAAUAAAUAAAGUAGCGCUAGUAAUUGUAUCUUUUCAAAAAAUAAAAAUUAAAGAAUACUGUAUUGAAUUGAAUUGAAUUUUAUUAAUAUGACUAAUUAGUUUUAAUUUUUAAAUUGUGUUCUUUUCUAAACUCUAUAUAUUAUUUUAAAAAGGUAGAUAAAUUUAAAAAAAAAAAACGUUAUUUUUAAAGUCUCUGAAUGCAACUAAGUAUCAAUAUGUACUUAACCAAAAAGUAGAAUAUUAUUAGGAGACUUGUUUAAGGAUUUAAAAAAAUAAUAAUAAUUUAAUGAAAGGGCUAUACCCUAGGUCCAAUCGAUUUUGGAUGUAAAUUCUUUUAAUAUGAUUAAUGCAUUAUUAUUUAUGGCAGUCUAUUAUUUAGACUAUGUUUUUGCCACAUUUUUUCAAAAAAAUAUAUUCUUAAACAGUAAUUUGAUAUAAUUUCAACCACACAUUCUUUAAUAAAAUAAUAUUACACACAAAUCCAAAAUUGAAAUAUCGUAGUUCGACCCAAUCAACACCUAGAAGGAGGAGAAUAAAAGUUUAUGCUGAAUUUUCUUUUUCAAUCAAUUAAUAAUUGCAACACGUCACAAAUAUUAAUUUGUGCAGAUCAGUUCACAUGCUUUACUAUCCUAUAUUUGAAUACUGGUCAUAAAUUAAUUACAGAAAGAAAAAUAACACAAUUGUUUGAUGACGGAGAAAUCCCAAUGUGGGUAAAACUCCGGGCCCAAGUCAGUAGGAAUCCACUAUAAACGAAAAUGAAACUUACAAUCAGCCAGACUCAACCUACACUGAUUUUUCUGACAUCCUGACCAUAGUUUCCUCAAAGCCUUCCUAGAAUGCGUGAUCCUGCACCAACUCCCGCCACCUAGCCCUCCUGAAUUGCGUGCUACACCAAUUUUCAGCUCUUGAUUUUGUCGAUCUCCUGUGGAUUCAAGAGAACCGCCUGUUCUCUAAUGAUCGGGACUCCGAUCUCCUUCCUCGAUCUUCAAGAAUCAACAAAGGCUCUAGAAGGUUGUAUUGUGAUAUUUGGUGAAUGUUAAUUUGAUAUUUUUUAUGUAAUUGCUCAAAUAAAAUAUGGAGUUGAAUAAUAGAAUCAAAGUGUAGAGAGUUUUCUUCAAUUUCAAUCCCUUGAGAGCACAACUGAAAAUCGACACAAUUUUUCUUAUAUGCAGUGUAUUUGGAUCUUUUGGUUAGGUUAAAAUGUCGAAAAAAGGAAAAUAGGUUUUAUGGAUAACACUGUCGCUCAAGCGAAAAGCGAGCAACGCUAUUUCGCUCGAGCGAAGUGGGGGCGACAAGCGAGCGACGACCUUUCUAUUUUUCUUGCUCGAGCGACCACUUGGCGAGCAACUAGUGAAACUUUAACGACACAUCUUGCCCUACUUCAUAGCUCGAACCCUAGCACACUUUGUCAAAAUUUCAACUGAGUCCCUCAUCUUUUACUAUUGAUAAAUUGACCCCAAACUUUUGAACAUUUACAAUUUUACCCUUUUGUUCACAGAAUAGCCAACACGAAAUCUAAUAAACUCUCUCUUUGGCAUUCUGUGACAAAACCAAAUUACAGCAUCAUGAACUACAAUGGCAGUCCAAUGCACUGACUCAACUCACUGUUGCCUUGUCAUCUUUCAACCUGUUUCUUGAAAUCACAACUCACAUACCCAGUGUAAAAGCACGAGAAACAAUAAUAUAAGUAAACAUAAAAGAUAAAGAGUCAUGAAUAGCCAGAACAUUGUACCAAUAUGCUAGAUUAAGAGAUAAUAUCAAUGUAAGUCAAACCAUCAAAAAACAUACAUCAAUAGUGCAAAACAUCAACACAUAAUCUAGCCAAAAAUAUCAAUAGUACAUUAUCAAAGUACUUUAUCAUUACAAAUCCCAAAAAUUAGCACCCACUCCCCCUUUUUGUCACAAAUGGCAAGGGAAACCCCAAGCAACUAAGCACGACCAUCAUCUCCGCCAUCCACGUCCUCAGAAUCCUCAGCCUCAAACUCAUAAUCUCAGUGCUCGCGCAUCCAUCGAAUACUACGCUGAACAAGAGCAAUAGCCCUCCGUAAUGUGGCAAACUCCGCAGUAUAACGCUCGAAAGCAGCUCGUAACUAAGUAAUGUCGGCCAUCAUAUGGGGCCUGCUACUCAAUGAGAAUCGACAUCUGACCCAUAAGUGCGACAGUGGAGUCAACAGGAAUAGUAGCCGAAGCAGGCUGGUCGGGUGGCGGAAUAGCAGUGGAAGAAGAGGGAAUAUCUGAAGUGGACGGAGGAACAUCAGAAGGAGGGGGAUGAAUAGCUGAGAGAUCAGCAAAUAAAUCACCCAAAGGAUCAGGAAGCACUGUCGGGUCGAUAGGCUCAGCUGGCUCAGCAGGAGCAAAUGCAGAAGCAGAAGAAGUGACAUAUGACCUACUUUGAGAGAUGGUAGUGUGCCAUAUGGGACGAAGCACUCGUCAUGAGACCCCAUCGGGAAAUGAAUCCCCAAGUGAUGUCAUCAAGCGGUGGAUCAAGCAAGCAUAAGGAAGACCAAUCCGAUGAUCGGAUGUGCAAAAGGUACGCAGAAUGUGCUGGCAAAUGAAGGUAUGUAGGUCAAUCGAAUCCCCAUGCAGUAAAGCAAAAAGAAACCUUGCCUUUUCUAUAGGUAGGGAAGAAGUGUGAAAGACGGGCCACAGAUUUGUACACACAAUGCGCAACAAAAUCUGUCGAUCAGUGAGAAGCAAACAUGUGCGGAUUCCCUCAGGCCCACCUCCCAAAGGGCUAUUAAACAGAGUGGACUGAACCAGAGAGUCAGUUGGAAUAGAAUUAGUCGAGAGAUAUGGGUAAACAGGGUGAAUGACCCAGGGAACAUGUAUGGAACUAAAAAUAACAUCCAGUGAAAUCCUAAGGGUUGGACCCCGAAAGGAACACCCGGAAGGACGAACCAUUAAUGUCAUGGAUGUUCGCAUAGAACUCCUGAACAAGAAGACUAGGCGGGGGAUUUAACCCAAUCAGCAAGGAUUCCCAACCUUGAGAAAUAAAGAUAGCUGCUACAUCAGGGGAUAGGUCGGAUAGAAUGACCUCACGCUCUACUAGGAUAGGACGAAGGGAAAACUGGCUCCCAAAUACCUCUUGAGCAGUAGAGGAAAUGAACCUAGAACGACUCUGAAGCUGAUCCACUACCUAGUCCUAGCCCUCUUAUGUGCCAUCUGCAAUGCGAGAUGUAGAAGAUAAAUCAAUCAUCAAGGAAAACGAAUGUAUGGAGACAUGUGACUGCACAAGCCCUAAAGUUCAAUCACACACAAGCCCGAGGACAAUGAUUAAGACGUAAGUGACGUAAACUAGACGUGAACAAGAUCAAGAUGAGAUUUUGACACACAUAAAUAAUUUCCAAUUUCUAUUGAUAAUUGAUGAUUCCCAUUUCAUACACACCCUCUAAACUUAGUACAUGCACAAUUUGUUAGGUUUAAGCACCGACUUGUUAGGUGAUUGUUGUGAAGUUUGACAACUUAAAUGAGAAGUAUUUCGUCACGUCAUUGGAAAUAAGAUCAAAUAAAUAAUUAAUUCACAUAUUUUGUACUUAAGACACCAAUCACAUGCGAGGAAUGGCACACAAUGGGCAAGGGAAGGGUUGUAGAGAUGAGACAUUUCAUCGAACACCUUACAAGCAUUUGAAACACAAGGAAGAUAACCUACAAAUGCAAUAAUGCAAUGGACACCCAACAUACCUUAACAACCCCAUCAACCCAGCAUUCAAGAAACACCCAACCUCAAAAUUUCCAAAUGGCGAAGAAAAAAGGAAAAAAAAAACGAAUGGGGAAACGAGGCACUUACCAAUUUGGAACAAGGAAACACCAAUGGAUGCACACAAGGAUGAGAAAUUGAAGCCCCACACGCACGAAAUGGAGUGCAAAUCGACCGAAGAGGAUGGUGGUGAGAGAAAAUGCGAGAGAGAGAUGUGAAAAAAUGAAAAAAAAUGACCCGGAACCCUUCGCGAGAAAACUAAAAGUUUCGCUGUCGCUCGAGGGAAACUCGAGCGAACAUCGAGCGGCAAGAAACUAUUUUUGUCACUUGAGCGAGCUUCCAGCGACAAGCGAGCGAAGGGAAAAAGUCAAAAAUAGCACUUAAAAUAGAAAAUUUGAAAAGUUAGGCCCAGGUGUAAAACUUUGCAAAGUAACAGAACUUUAAAAAUUUUCAAAACUAGCACCUUUUCCAGAAAUUUGAAUUUUGACCCCAAAAUUAAAUUUUUUUUUUUAAAGACAUGAACAAUGUAGAGGCUGUUGGUCCAAUCAAAGGAAAUAGAUCACAAAUACGACAUGCACAAUGUUUAGAAAAAGUGUCCCCACACACUGAGACCAAGUACAGAUGGAGUAAAUGGUAUAUGUGACCCCUUGUGAAACGUGCCACUCAUUCCAAGCAAGUAAGACUCAAAACCUUAAAUUUGUGAGAAGAGACAGCCAAAUCAUCGACGUAGGAGUCAACACUCAGACGUUUGAAGGUCAAAUCCAAUGCCACUAGGACCUAUACUUCGUUAAAAUAUGGUGUAAAACUAGUCUUUUUCCCCCUGUCAUUAAGGACCUCCAUUUUUUUUAAAUCUUACGUGCAAUCCCAUCUCCAUUAAGCUACUAAGAAGACCCCUAUAACGAGCGUUGGGUUGGUGACUCCCAAACCAAUUGGCUUUAGGGCACCAGAUUAUGAGAAAUCCCUCAAACUUAAUAGCUCGAGUCAUCUAGGCACCGAAGAUAGGUAUAAGAUGUGAUAUAAUAAAUACACUGUGGAAACACUCGGGGAUACACCAGAAGUUAGGUCAUGUAGUUCAAGAUCAAUUCAAAUCCAAUGUCUACUCAACGACAAAUGAUAGUCAUCCCAAGUCUCACACAUGCGGUCAAGACUCAUUCACACGGUCCAAAUGUGUGUUGUGCAAAUAUAAUAUGAAGUGACAUAUACUAAGUAUUCCAUACAGACUGAAGAGAAGUGAUGGGAAUUAGAAACUAAUCAUGUGUAAAAUGCACAUUUGAUUUCAAAUUGCAACUCCGAGUGAACGACUACAAUGCAAAAACGACACGUGAUGAUCAAUCCCCCUCUUUUUAUAAUUUUAUUAUUAUUAUUUUAAACAAAGUGAAAGACAGAUGCAAAUGAACACAAAUAGGCAAUGUAAUGAAUGUAGAAAAGAAUGCAUGCAUCUAUGAAGACGAUCUGGGAGGAACACAGAUGCCAACAGCCUUCCUUAGUGACUCGAAUCUAAACCCAUCUAGAGGUUUAGUGAACAGAUCGGCAAGUUGAUUUUCAGUAGAGAUGUGUUCAAGAGAUAUCACAUUGGACUCGACUAGCUCUCGAAUAAAGUGAUGACGAAUGUCAAUGUGUUUGAUCCUAGAAUGCUGAACAGGAUUUUUUGAUAUGUUGAUAGCACUAGUAUUAUCACAGAAAACGGUCAUAGUACCCUGAUUUAUCCCAUAGUCACUCAGCAUUUGCUUCAUCCAAAGCAGUUGAGUACAAUAGCUACCAGCUGCAAUGUAUUCUGUCUAAGCUGUGGACAAGGAGACUGAGUUUUGUUUCUUACUCAUCCAUGAGACAAGAUAAGAACCAACAUAGAAACUCCACCCGAGGUACUUUUUCUAUCGUCGGCAUUUCUGGCCCAAUCGGUAUCAGAAUAGCCGAUUAAUUCUAGAUUGGACUCUCUGGAAUACAAGAUCUCAUGAUCUACUGUCCCAUUGACAUAUCUAAUAUUGCACCUCACUGCACCUAGAUGGGACUCCUUAGGAUCAGCUUGAAAUUUAGCACAUACUCCAACACUGAACGCUAUGUCAGGUCUACUGGCUGUAAGAUAUAGUAGACCCCCUAUCAUACUCCUAUACACAGUCUGAUCAACACUCUUACCUGUAGGAUCAUGUCCUAACUUAACAUUUGUGCUCAUGGAUGUCUUUGUGUGUUUCUUACUGUCCAAACCAAAUCUCUUCACAAAGUCUUUGGCAUAUUUUGUUUGAGAGAUAAACAGCCCACAAUCAAUUUGCUUUACUUGAAGACCAAGGAAGUAACUUAGCUCUCCAACCAUGCUCAUUUCAAAUUCUUGUUUCAUGCAUUCAGCAAAUUCAAGAGCAAGGGAGUCAAUGGGAGAGCCAAAGAUGAUGUCAUCGACAUAGAUCUAAGCUACAGUGAUAGUUUCUUCAAUAUGUCUAAUGAAUAAGGUUCUGUCAGUACCACCUCGUGAGAACCCAUGCUCAGCGAAGUAAGUGGUGAGCCUGUCAUACCAAGCUCUAGGAGCUUGUUUCAGACCAUACAGUGCUUUAUUGAGUUUGUAGACAUAAUCAGGAAACUUAUGGUCAAUGAAUCCUUUCAGUUGUUUAACAUACGCCUCUUCUUGAAGUAUUCCAUUCAAGAAUAUACUCUUAACAUCCAUUUGAUAUAGCUUGAACCCUAAGGUACAUGCAACCGCAAGAAGAAUACAAAUGGACUCAAGACGAGCAACUGGGGCAAAAGUCUCAUCAAAAUCUACCCCUUCCACCUGAGUGUACCCCUGGGCAACUAGUGUAGCUUUAUUUCUAGUUAUAGUACCCUGGUCAUCGAUUUUGUUCUUGAAGAUUCACUUAGUACCUAUCACAUUACAGUCAUCAGGCCUAGGAACUAGAUACCAAACAUUAUUUCGAACAAAUUGAUUAAGCUCCUCAUGCAUGGGAUUCACCCAGCAUUCGUCUCUAAGGGCUUCCUCCACUUUCUUAGGUUCAAUCUGGGAUACAUAGCUAGUAUAUGUUAGGUUAUUUAGAACUCUCUUUUGUGACCUCAUACUUUCAUCUAAAUUCACAAUGAUGUUAACCUUAGGAUGAUUAGAUUUGACCCCGGAAGAUGGUUCUUUAGGGAGCUUAGACUGAUCCCAAUUUGGUAGAUCCUAUUCAGAUAUGUUUUUUGAGGAGCGUGGAGAUUUUGGAAUUGAUUGCUCUUUAUUUUUAGCAGUGGCUCCUUGAUCAUCACUUAGAUCUUCUAAGUCAACCCUAUUUUCAGCACUCUCCCCCUCAGUAAAGUCAUCAUCAAUAACAACAUUUACAGAUUCCAAGACACUCUAAGUACACAAGUAGUAAACUCGGUAGUCUCUACUGUUCUUAGAAUAUCCUAAAAAAAUCCCAUCAUCACUUUUGGAAUCAAACUUGCCUAGAUUUUCUCUAUCCCUCAGAAUGUAACACUUGCUGCCAAACACCCGAAAGUAUUUAACAGUAGGCUUCUUGCCUUUCCAGAUCUCAUAAGGAGUCUUAUCUGAUUUUGGUCUCAAGUAUACCCUAUUUACUAUGUGGCACGCGGUGUUAAUAGCUUCACCCUAGAAAUGCAUUGCUAGAUCCUUGCCAUGAAGCAUGGCCCUAGCCAUUUCUUGAAGCACUCUACUCUUCCUCUCAACAACUCCAUUUUGCUGUGAAGUGAUUGGUGAGAAGAACUCAUGCUUAAUUUCCUCCUCCAAACAGAAGUUUUCUAGAUUGAAGUUUUCAAAUUCUUUCUCAUGAUCACUUUGAACCCCAGAAAUAAGAAGAUUUUGUUCAACGUUAAGUCUUUUACAUAAGGACUUAACCAGAUUACCCGUCUCAGAUUUUCUCUUAACAGAUCAAUCUAGGUGUAUCUAGAAAAAUCAUCUACCACAACCAGAAUAUACCAUUUGAUGCUAUAGUUCAGAUUUAUCAAUUUUAGCACUACAGCAUACAUAGUUUGAGUUUGGAAGGACUCCAUAACAGUUAUUAGAUGUUCUAACACCUUCAAGAACAACACCACCAAAAGCGUCAUAAACAGUGCAUCUCUUUUGGACAAAACUCACUUCAUAGUCAACAUCACAGAUUUGACUAAUGCUCAAUAAGUUGGACUUAAGACCCUCUAAAUAAAGUACAUUGGGUAUUGUAGGAAGUCCAGCAAUGGUGAUGGAGCCUUUACCUCGGAUGGGUGCCGUAGCUCCAUCCCCAAAGAUAACUACACUGCUAUUGCAGUCAUCAAAGGUAGAGAAUAAGGCCUUGUUACCACACAUGUGUCUAGAACAAGCACUAUCAAGAUACCACAUGCAUGUAUUUUGAGCCUUAUAUACAACAUGAGCAACAAAACAUUUUAGAUUCUCAGUAUACUCAUCCACAUCAGAUUUCUUUAUCCAAACUUUUCUCGAGGUCGAGGUGAUCCUAGUAACCUUGUUACCAUAUCAGUUAAGUGGCUAACCUGAUUUGAAAGGAAGUUCACUUGACUAGGGAUAUCCUGACUUCGAUUCCUAUUUGCUAGCUUUCAACACCUAGGUCUCGUGUGUCCUAAGGCACCACAGUGAUGACAAGUGGGUAUGAACCUAGGUUCAGAUGCACGUGAGUAUUGAUCAUGAAAAUUAGGUGUAGAAAUCUUAAGAGCUCUAGUGGGCUUCAGUCCAGUGAAAUUUUUGUCUUUGGAUUUUGGAUUUGUUGAAACAUUAGAUCUCUUGGAAGCGAGGACAAAUGUGGUCUUGAAUAAACUAGACACAUUGCUAUCACUCUUCACAAAUCCUAGACCUUGCCUAUUUCCAGCUGGUUUGUUCAUUCCUAACAGAUCGUCUAGUUUCUUAGUUCCACUCACAAAUGACUGUAGUUAAGUACUGGAUUUCUCUAAUUCACAAGUCAAUGUCUUGAUCCUGUCCUCUAAUUUCUCAUUGACACACUUCAACUCACUGAGAUUCUUAGAUGAGACUUGAAGAUCAUAGGUGACUUUCUCCUUCUCUCUCUUAAGCUCGUCUACCUUCUUAAAGAGGGCUUUAUUUACCUUUUUGAUCUUGAGACUUUCCUUAAACAGAAGUUGAUAAGCCUCAUGUCAUCCUCCGAAUCAUCAUCGAACUUGUUACUCUCCACUUCCUCUUCAACCUUCUCACUCUCCUUGUCUGAUUCGCUCUUGACAGUAGAUACAAAAGACAUAUAGCCCUUUUCCUCCUCACUGCUUGAGGAAUCAUUUGUUCACUUGAAUUAGAAUCAUCAUCAGUCAAGGACACAACUAAUGCUUUGCUACUCCCCUUCUUUAGAUUUUUCUUAAAGCUAGGACAUUCAUUUCUAUAGCGCCCAAAUCCCGACACUCAUGAUACCUAACCACUUGAGAUUUCUUACCAGUGUUCUUAGCAGUUGAUUUAUCAUCCUUCUCUCUUUGCAAUUUACUAGGGGCUCCUCUCCUUUUCUCUUGAGGCCAUUUUUUGCCCUUUAAGACAUUCUAGAAUCUUUUUCACAAAGUAGGCAAUCUCCUCAUCUCUAAGAGUUUUCACAUCAGAUGACUCAGACUCCCCUUCCUUAAUAGUGUUCAGGGCUAUGGACUUGUUUUUCUUCAGUUGUGAAAUAGUGAGUUCAUAGGUUUGAAGGGAUCCUAUGAGUUCUUCUACCUUAAUUGUAUUACAUCCUUGCUUUCUUCAAUAGCUGUAACUUUAGCUCUAAAUCUCUCAGGCUAGGAUUUAAGAACCUUCCUCACAAUUUUAGGCUCGGGAAUCCUCUCACCUAGGUUGAGACUAGAGUUAACAACGUCAUUCAAUUUGGCAUAGAACUCGUCAAAAGAUUCAUCAUCCUUCAUCCUAAUUUCUUCAAACCUUGAGGCCAGCAUUUGCAACUUAGAAUUUUUCAUAAUUUUAGUUUCUUCAUGCGUUGUCUCAAGAAUGUCUCAUACCUCUUUAACAGUGUCGCACAUUGACACUCUUCUAAAUUCUUUAGGAGACACAGAUAUAAAUAAUGCAUGGAGACUUUUACUAUUCCAUUUGCAUUUAGCCAAUUCAUCCUUAGUCCAAAGGGAAAUGUCAGUUGGGGUUACAACACCCGACACAGUUGUGGAAGGAGGUUUCCAACCAUUUUUGUACACUCACUAGACAUGCUCAUCUAGGGACUUAAGAAACGUACGCAUUCUAACCUUCCAAUAGGCAUAGUUGCUUCCGUCAAAAUACGGAAGCACAGACAGUGAUUGACUCAUCUAGACAACUACUUGAAAUAUCAUAGUUCGACCCAAUCAACACCUAGAGGGGGGUGAAUAGGUGUUUAUGCGGAAUUUUCUUUUUCAAUCAAUUAAUAAUUGCAACAUGUCACAAAUAUUAAUUUGUCAAGAUCAGUUCACAUGCUUUACUAUUCUAUGUUUGAAUACUAGUCAUAAAUUAAUUGUAGAAAGAUAAAUAACACAAUUGUUUGAUAACGGAAAAACCCCAAUGUGGGUAAAACUCCGGGCCCAAGCCAGUAGGAAUCCAAUAUAAACGAAAAUGAAACUUACAAUCAGUCAGACUCAACCUACACUGGUUUUUCUGACAUCCUGACCAUAGUUUCCUUAAAGCCUUCCCGAAAUGCGUGAUCUUGCACCAACUAGCGGCAUCUAGGCCUCCUGGAUUGCGUGCUACACCAAUUCCCGGCUCUUGAUUUCGUCUAUCUCCUAUGGAUUCAAGAGAACGACCUGUUCUCUAAUGAUCGGGACUCCGAUCUCCUUCCUCGAUCUCCAAGAAUCAACAAAAGCUCUAGAAGGUUGUGUUGUGGUGUUUGGUGAAUUUUAAUUUGAUAUUUUUUUUAUGUAAUUGCUCAAAUCAAAUAUGGAGUUGAAUGAUAGAAUCAAAGUGUAGAGAGUUUUCUUCAAUUUCAAUCCCUUGAGAGCACAACUAAUAAUCGGCAAAAUUUUUCUUAUAUGCAUUGUAUUUGAAUCUUUUGGUCGGGUUAAAAUAUCAAAAAAAGGAAAAUAGGGUUUUAUAGGUAACACUAUCGCUCGAGCGAAAAGCGAGCGACGUUGUUUUGCUCGAGUGAAGUGGGGGCGACAAACGCGCAACGACCUUUCUAUUUUUCUCGCUCAAGCGACCACAUGGCGAGCAACUAGCGAAACUUCAACGACUCAUCUUGUCCUACUUCAUAGCUCGAACCCUAGCACACUUUGUCAAAAUUGCAACUGAGUCCCUCAUCUUUUACACAUUUACACAAUGACCCCUAACCUUUAACUAUUGACAAAUUGGCCCCAAACUUUUGAACAUUUACAAAUUUACCCUUUUGAUCACAGAAUAACCAACACGAAAUCUAACAAAAAAUUUCUUUAUUUUUUUACCACACAUUUUCUAUAAAUAUAAUAUUCAAAAAUGCAUUCUUAGGAGUAUAAUGUGGCUCAAACAAGGGCAUAAUUGAAUGAUUAUUGUAAUAAAUUAAAUUAAUAGAGUCUGAAAAUUCAAGUCUUUGUAACUUCUUAAUCACAAUGUGUCGUGAUUAUGAGAAACAAAUAACAUAUAACUAAAUCUUAAAUUAUCCAUGGUGGUAAGUAAUAAUGAGAUACCGAUAUUGCUAUUACGAAUAGACUAUCACAUGUGGCAUUUCUCAUUUAUGAAGUGAAUAGUAGAUCUCAUAAGCUAAAAUAUAGUAUUAUUUAAAUGGACUCGAAGAUGUGUUGUAAUGUGAAAAAAAAAUAUUGGAAACACACCGGAGAGAUUUCAUAUGGAUAAAUAUCUAAGUAUCAAUGGUUAAUCUCUAACAUUCAAUAAUAAAUUUGGUUGUUCGACUUGAGGUCAUUAUAGUACCUUAUAUGGGAAUAGUGUGAUGUUGGAUGUUGAUUUGGUAAGAGUCACUUAUAAAUCAUUCAGGUAUGUCAAGAAUUAUGCUAAGUUCGUAAAUGAUCAAUAUAGAAUUCAUCACUUCUACAUAAUAAAACAUUAUAAUUUACAUUUCAUUCUAUUAAGGCCUUGUUUGUUUCCCAUUUUUCUCAAAAUGUAUUUUUCUCUCUCUUCUUUUCAACCACACAUCAUUUAUUAAAACAAUAUUUUACGUAAAUCAAAAACUUUUCAUCCACACAUUCUCCAUCAAUCUACUUUUCUAAAAUUCAUUUUUCCUUAGAAAUGACUAUCAAACACCCUCUAAGUUGAUGACAAAAUCCUUGACCAAGAUGCAGUCAUUAAUUGAAAAAAGUUUUCAACUUAUAUUGACUUAAUGGUCGGUGAAAGAUAUGAUUGAUAAUCACGCACUUCAUGCAUCAUAAUUGAUUGGAUCAUAUUGACGAAUAAAUUAUAGUUUCAUGAUAAACAAACAAAUUUGGUUUUAUCAUAUCACAUGACAUUUUCCGUCACAUGCGUUGCUCUAACAAAUUGCUAAAUGUCAAUUUAGGACGAUGGAUUUAAACUAAUGAUAAAUUGAAAGGGUAUUUUAGUUUAUCAAUUUUGAUUAGAUUAAAAUAAUAAUUAAAGUUGUUAGACGUCGUAAUUAGGAAUCUAAUGGGUCACACACAAUAAGGAGAACUAAAAGAAUGAUAUUACUAAUUAAUGAAUUGUCAACUGUUGGACACUUGCGGAAUUAAUUAAUUGAGUUAAUUAUUAGAGCCCAAGUUAAUCAAUUAAAAUAAUUAAUUAAAUUAAUAAAACAUUGGAUCGUGUCAAGUUUAAUGAUCGGGUCAAGAGACAUUCAUUGUUUUGCUACGUUUAUUAUGUAAUUAGCUUUAAAAAUAACUAAGACUAACUUUAACCAAACGAACAUAAUUUUUAUUUUUGUUUUUGGUGUUUUUAAUUAAAUCAUACUAAAAAGUCUGAAAGAAAACAGUCAACAAUUUGUUGACAAUGUUUAGAAAAAAUUAUCCAACUCUGCAAUCGUAUUCAACUUUGUUUCUCCAAUCCCAAAGAUUAACCAAAACAUUAUAAUUAUGGUAAAUUAUUGUUGACAAUGUCCAGAGAAAAUUCAAAUAGAUAAUGAUACUAGGAGUAAAAGUAAAUUCAAGGUCAAUGAUCAUCAACAUAAAGAAUAUUAUGCAAAACAUGAAUAUGUAUCUGUCCCUUAUAAAAACAUGCAAAAUUUAUAUUUAACAUUUCGAAAAUAACAAAAUCAUUCAAAUUGUGAAUAAUUAUUCUUUGGCAGCCACAAUCACCCAAAUGAUUUCGCAUUUCAGUGGUUGCAGUCCAACUUUACGAAGACGGCAUGAGAAUAUUUCCUAGUCAAUUGUUGAAAUUUCUCACUUAAUCACUCGCUCGUUAAUGGCAAUUUUAACAAUGGGGCAAAAAGUGUCCUUAUUAACCCUCCGUCACCUGACCCACGGCCACAACAUCCUCAGACGCCUCAGCAUUUUUCAAACUAGCUUUGGGCCAAGUUAACCUUAAAUUCUCAAUCUUAUUCUACUUAAAUUUUUAAUCCUAAGUAUGAUUUGUUAAAAGAUAUGAAAAGGGCAACUUACAAAAAUACCCUUAAAAUUAAAAGUUUUUUUAAAAAUUCAUAUGAAGAGUUUUUUUGAAAGUAAAAAAUACUGUGCAAUAUUAAAAAGUGACAGAAUGUUACCUUUUUUUAAUAAAAAUUGUCACUUUUAAUACUUUUCUUAUUAAAAAAGCAACACGAUGUUGCAAUAUUAAAAAGUGACAGAAUGUUACUUUUUUUUAAUAAAAAUUGUCACUUUUAAUACUUUUCUUAUUAAAAAAGUAACACGAUGUUACUUUUAAAAGUUAAGUGUCACACUCUUAUUAAAAAAUAACUUACAAUGUCAAUUUUAUUUUUAUUUUUUUUUACAAUGAUAUUUCUCACUGCAAAAAAUGAUAGAAAUAAAAAAUAAAAAGGUGACUGAAAAAGUGGCAAACAUUAAAAAAAGUGACCAAAAAAGAAAAGAAAAAGUGACAAGUUUUAAAAAGUGACAAAUUCAAAGAAGGGACAAAUUAAAAAAGUUAUGCAGAUCAAAAAGUGAUAGAAAAUAAAAAAGUGACAAACAUUCAAAAAGUAACAAAAUUAAAAAAAGUGAGACAAAUAAAAUACAUCGUUAGACAUUGUGAUUGAUUACCUAUUAGGUCACACACAAUAAGGAGAAUUAGAAGAAUGAUAGUACUAUUUAAUUAAUUAGCAAGCGUUGGACAUUUGUAGAAUUUAUUAAUUAGUUUAAUUAUUAACAAACCCAAGUUAAUUAAUUAGAUUACUUAAAUUAUAGACCAGUUUAAUUAAUUUGAUUAAUUAAACAUUAGACCGGAUCAAAUUUAUUGGAUGGACCAAGUCCACUUGAACUUCUAUUAAUAAGCUAUUAGGAUUUGAGAAAUCAUAAGAGGCAUUAAUUAUCUUGCUAGUAAAAGAGAAGAUAAACCCAGCUACAACGCUAGUCUCCACCGAUAGAUGAUCGGAGAUGACAAAAACGACCCUUAAAAGGAGUUCUUUUAGCCGCUUUCAAAGGCCUUCCGCCAAUUCUCUCAUUCUUGUUCUUUGUAUGAAUUUCUAUUGAAGGCUGGACAAUUGGACAAAUGUGGAUUUCAUAUCAUGAUCGUUCUAUCUAAAAUUAACUAAAAGUAUAAUUUUCAUCACAAUUUCUAUUUAAAUACAGGAAAAGACCUUGGUGGGAAUUGAAAUUGUUUUAAAUUUCGCUGUACGUGAUUAAAUAAAUUCUCAACAAUAUAAUUUUUAUCAUAGUUUUUACCUAAACACAAGGAAAAUCUUUGAUGGGAAUUGAAGUUGUUUUAAAUUCCACUAUGCAUGAUUAAAUAACUUUUCAAUUGUUAAUCCUCAAUUUUUCAGUAUACUUGCACUAUGUAAUUAUUCAAAUUACAUUCCGUAGUUAAUUUUUUUUAAUCCCAUUAGUAGCUAUUUUAUAAAUUCAAAUCGUCACAAGAACGUGAUAAAAUAAAAGUAAGAAUCCCACCAAUCUAGUGAACACUUACCAGAGAAAAAAAAAUCUAUUUUAUUAGGUUUUCAAUAACUAAAAGACAGCAAUCUCUCUUGAAUUGGCGAAUCGAUUAAUCAAGUACCCUAGAGGCAUGGUUGAGAACAUGUUAAUAAAAUUGGGUAUUUUGGAUGAUCAUUUCUAUUAAUGAGUUGGGCUAUGAUCCACUUUAAUGUGGCUAGGUUGAUCUUGAGGAUGGAUUAUAAGGAAGAGAAAUUCUAUAUGUACGCCAAAAAGUUUAAAAUUAAGACUAGAAGGAUCAUUAGAAGUGCUCACAAGAAAGAAAUAGAUGAAAUUAUUGGAAAUCUUAAAGAUGAAAAUUUUGGUUUGCAAGUUUUGAGAUUGAAGGAGGGCCUGGGUUGGCAAUGCCAAACAUUGUGUUCAAUGUAAUGCUGGUGAAUAUCGUUAUGAACCAACAUGAUCAAUCCAUUUGUAAAAUCUGGCUAAAACUUUAACUUCAGAGCUUUUGGGACGCAACUCAAGUUUUUUCCAUUUUAUUUAUUCUGCUUUAAGUAUUUGUAUUGAAUGUAAUUUGAUAGGUUUUAGGCAUAUUUUGUUUAAGUGUAGCAUAAAAAGGGUUAUCAUGUCUCGCUUAGGGCAUGAAAAAGAAAAGGAAACACCAUUUUUUAUUUGAUUUUAGUUGUGCUUCACGAUAUGCAUUCGACAUAUAUUUUUUUUACACCUCUAAUAUACAUGAUUUUGUUCCUAAAUUGAAGGUACAAUGAUAUUCAAAUUAAAAGUAACCGAAACUACGAAGAAUGGAAUGAAAUGAAAUAAUUCAAGCUCUUUUCUCCGUCAACGGACACCUCUUAGCAAGUCUUUACAUACCUCUAUUAUUAUUUUCAUUGAUUUGUGCUUUAUGAUCGUAUAUAUUGAGGUCAAUGUGUAGUUUAAGUCUGAGGAUGGUAAUUAUUAAAGAUUUCUAUUUAUGAGGAUCGAUAUCAUGUGAUUAUACGCAUGACUGCAUGUUAACACUUUAUAAAAACAUAUAUGAAAAAAAAAUGAAAAAUUAAAAUAUUUUAAUGCUUUAUUAUGUACUCGUGUGAGUUAAAUAGACUUGUCGACUAAUGAUGAUAUUAUUGAAAUUACUUGUGAUUGAUGAAAUACUAAUAGGUCAUGAGACUUGGAUUAUUUUAUAACUUAUUCUUGUUGGAUUUGAUAUCUUUUGAGCACAGUAGUCAUUUUUAAUCACAUUAUGUCUUUGUAGCGAGUACUUGAAGAUUAAUUGAAAUAGAGUAGGUUGAAAGGCUGGAAAGUAGGUUGUUCGAAACUUAAAUCAUAUGAAGAGUUUCAAGACCAUUUGUAAGGAUAUUUUGGGGAUGUUUAAACUGAUGUUAGAAGCUACUUAUAUAGGUGUAGGUCCUGUACACGAAAAUUGAAAUAAAAGAGGUUUUACCCAACUAACACAUAGAGCGAGGCUGAUAAGUGUAAUAUACAGAAUUAAAAAUUAACGAAUAAUAGCAUGCGGCAAGUCACAAAUUAUUGAGUCUAGUUGAAUUAAAGUUUAUCUAAAUCCUAGCAAUCAAUCAAGCAAUUAUAUCAAAGCCGAAAAAUAACGAUUAUCAAGAAUUGUUUAAAAAAGAAAAACCCUCGAAGAAUUUUUAAUAGAAAAAACCUUCGAGCACACAUGCCAAUAAAUAAUCCACUAGAAAUGAUUAAACAUACAGAAGUGGUCUAAACACAACUAAAUCUUAAUAGACUUUGACCCUCAACCUGUAAUAACUAAAGAACUCAUUGGUUGUGACUUGUCCACUCUAGCACCAACUCUAUACUACUCAAAAUACUACUACUCUCCCUAAAUUAAUACUACCUCUCUUUCGACCAUGAAUAACAAAAGAGUAAAUAGGAUCCUGAUCAGUAUCACUCUCAGUGGCCUCCAUUGUAUAAUAUCUGUCUUCCCAAUGCUGUCGAAUUCACUGUAAAUUAGUUUGAAGAGAAGUAAAAUACACUGCAAGUCGGUCAAACGUGGAUAAAAGUAAUGCAAUAUCGAUCAUCUGAGCCCGCUGCUUGAUAAUCAGAGAUAACUGGCCCAUAAUGGCAACAAAGAAGUCAAUAGGACUCGAAAAAGAAGAUGCAGGAAUAGGGACAAAAGAAGAUGGGAAAAAAGUUGAUGGAAUGUCAUCUAGAAAUCGAUGAGAGCAGGCCAAUAGGCGGUCCCAACAGCUCCGGAGCCUCAGGAAAAUUGAUCUCUAACCCGAACACUAAACGCUAUAUCAAAUACCCAUGAAGCAGACCUCUUUUCUUAUGUAUCUGUCUGAAGACCUUCAAAAGGUUAUGUAUAAUGAAAGAAGGAAGAUCAAUAGAGUUGCCAUGUACGAGGAGAUAAAGAAAUCGAGCCCUAUUUAGAGGUAGUCUAGACUUAUGAAAAAUAGGCUACAAAUUCGUGCACUGAAUGCACAGAAAGACCUAUCCCUCAACAAGCACCCAACUUUUAUAAAAUGGUUAAACAAAGUCGAUGCUAAAAGAGCACGAGAUGUAAUAUUAGCAACACUGAAGUAUGGAAACUGAGGAUGAGUAAUCCGUGGAAUAUUAAGAAUAUGAAAAAUAACAUCACAAUUAAUCCUCAAAACCUGACCCCUAAAGAAUAUCCUAAAGUUCGACCUGUUAACUGAUGGAGAAAAAGCUCCAAAAGUUGUUCCCAUGGUUCAGUUGAAACUAUAUCUACGGAAUUCCAUAAUUUUUGGAUGCUCGUUUUUACAGAGUCACCAUAAUUGUCUCAAGAAUAUGCAGAAGUUUACAUAGAUCUCUAAAUCAACGAGAUCAUUAAACCAAACAACUCUCCGGCAUCUAUAAUCUUUCUAUCCUCACAGCUCUAUGAUCAACACAAAAUGUAGACAAAAUUUACAUAGAGACUACAAGAACACUGGGUGCUAAGAAGAAGAUUCUCCAAAGAAGAAAAUCCUAAGUAUUAGAGAGAAAGAUGAAGAGAUACAAAAUUAGCAUCUCUAAUCCAAGAGUACACUUUGCCCUAGUAACAAAUAAAAGGAGGUUUUCAUAUGGCACAAUCAUCAAACAAUCCGAGCCUUCAAAAUUGACGGACAAAAUCAAGUCAAAUAGCAAAGGUGCCUUCAACCACUUAAAGCAAAAGGUGCAUUUUCAAAGCACACUUUUGGUAUAAUCAUGUGCCACCACCAAUUUUACAACAUUUCCCAUCUUGACACAUUGAUUCUAUUCGAAAACGAGUAGUCAUCAUGUUGUAUCAUCAAACAUGUACCUGCAAAAUGAAAGUUUUAAGUCAACCCUUAUCAAAUUGAACAUGGAUAAGUGUGAUUCACAUUUUCCCUAAGGUAGAAUCUUGGUACCCAUGUCAGCAAGAUUAAAUUAAGUAGGCAUUUUCUCUAAGUUUAUCAAACCUUUUGAUACAAUGUCUCUUAUAAAAUUUAACUUUACAUCAACAUGCUUUGUACGUUCAUGAAAUAGAGGAUUUUUACAUAAAUGAAUAGCAAAGUGACCAUCAAAAUAUACAAUUACAUCACCAUGAAAGAAAUUCAAUUCAUUUAACAAAGCCUUCAGCCACAAAGCAUCCUUGAUAGCUUUUAUAGUAGCAAUUUACUCAGAUUCUGUUGUAGAUAAAAGCCACAAUAUGCUGCAACUGUGAUUUCUAGCUCACACGACUAUCACAAAAAGUAAAUAUAUAUAAAGUAACAAAUUUUCUAACAUCCUUGCCACAAGCAUCAUUAGCAUCAACGUAUUCUUUCAAUUUCAUUCCUUCUUACUAUGUUUGAAAAUUAAUCCUAAGUCUAAAGUUCCUUCCAAGUAUCUUAAAACCGCUUCCAAUGAGUCUUACCUUCACAUAUAUCUGCUCAUACUCCUGUACAUUGAGCGAGAUCAGGUUUAAUACAUACCAUUGUAUAUAUUAAAGGCCCAACAGCAUUGGCAUAAGGAACAUUUUCCCUAUAUUAAAAAUCGUAAUUAGUUUUAGAGCAAUCAACUUUACUCAAUAUAAAGUGACUAGGUAAAGGUGUACUAAUAGAUUUAGCCCUUAUUAUAGCAAAUUUUUAAAGUAUUUUCAAUACAUAGGCAGUUUGGAUUAACCUUAGUUCAAUUUUAAGUCUAUUUCUUAUUAUUUCCAUGCCUAAGAUUCUUUUAGCACUUCCUAUGUCCUUCAAAUCAAAUUCAGAAAAUAAGUCAACAUUUAUUUUAUCAAUUAACAUUUUGUGGCUACCAACAUAUUUAAUGUGCUGUUACAAAAAUAUUUACCAUACUAUUUCUAAAGUAAUAUACAAUCUAGAAUUCCCCAAAAGUAUAAUACAAAAUACUAUAGGGCCAAAAUAAUAGCCUACAAAAUCACUCACGAGGUCGUCCUUAGAAUCCUUUAAGAACUUCAUAGCCAGUCAAGGUUCACAUGAUAAAUAUAAAGAUUUUUAUUUUGUGAUCUUGAGAAAAAAUUGCAUAAUUAGAUGUUUUAGGUCAUACGGUAUGAUGAUAAAUGACAAGUCACAUGAUCAUAACAUGAUAUGGUGAAUAACAAGUAAAUAAAUCUUAUGGUUGCCCUAUAGCAAAAUAAUGUGAUGAUAUAUUUGAGUUAUUAAGUUAAUUAGUUUUGACAAGGCUAUUUGUUGGAUUAUUAUGUUGUAUUACAUGCAAUUUGGAGGCUUUGAGUCAAAUUUUGAAGUUAAAUUGGAUUUAAUGAAUUUUUUUUAGUGAUGUAAAAUUUGGGUUAUUUUGGAUUGCAUUUUAGGAUCUUACGAAUAAAGUAAUCCAUUCUUAUCAAGGUCUAUUUGCUAUAGAAUAUAUGGAUGGUAUGUUCAAUAGUCCAAAUUCUAAGACCAUCGUCAAAUGUAAAUAUUACUAAUUGUGGAAUAGUAGCUUUAGAUUACAUUAUCUUAAUUAAAGAUCUUCAUGCAAUAUACAAGAAAGAUUAUGCAUUGACGAUAGAUUAAUGGCCUCUUUAUGUAAUAAAAGUAUAAAUUUUUCAUGGACUAAAUGUCAUCAGGACCUCGAGACUUAUUAAAUUUUGAGGAUUUAUUUGCUCUUGUAUCUAAAGAUGAUGAGUUUGAUUUACGAUAAUAAUUUAUGUAAGGAUUUAGAAAGUGUUUUGGAAUGAAUGAAAAUUUUUGGUAUUGUUUUAGUUUUGAAAAGGUGCGAAAAAAACGAAAGGAAGGGGAGGUUAUUGGGUGUCAAUAUGUAACCAUUUAUUAUAGUAAGAGGAAAAAGGAGUUUGAUUAGUGAAUAGUUCAUAUCAUGGCAUAAGGCAAAGUUCCAGAGAACCUAACAGGCAAAUCAGGAAACAACUAAUUUUGCUAAAAUUUGGUAGAAUGAAACACCGAGAAUGUCAAAUGUUGAUCAUUAGGAUAUUAUUUAAAGUAUGGAUCCAAUUGUUUAAUGAUGUGUGAAGGAAGGUUUUUGAUAACCAGACAAAAGCCAGAUCAAGCAAAAAUGAAAAAGGAUAUAAACAUUAAACAGAAAAUUCCCAUUCAUAUAAACUUUAUACGAUUCAUGCCUUAUUUGAUUUUUCAGUUUUGUUUUUAUUCCGUGCAGGUAAGCUGUCAUCUUCCGGUAAUUCUGAGCAAGAAAAAAUUCUUUUCCACAGCAAAAUGGUGAAUAGAUCUAUUUGGAAAAAGAAAAUGUUGCUCCAGGAAAUGAGUACUGUGCUUUAUUUGGUUGAUUUCAGAUGUCUAAGUCAAAUAUUUGUAUGGCUUUUGUCUGGUUAUCAUUAGGUUACAAUGGACUUAUCUAGUAUACUUGUGGGAACUUGAUAUAGGGAAAAAAAAAUCAAAGAAGAUGCAAGAUAGGAAAGAAUGAGCUCCAUGUCCAGUUAAAGUUGUUGGAUAAAUCAUUUAAAAGAAGAAGCAUUAUGUGGUAAGUGAAGUUCAAAUAUAUGCUCUAUAUCUUUGUUUGAAUCUUAGCUGAUUAAAUUUCAAGGACGAAAUUCUUUGAAGGUGGUAACAUUGUUACACCUCACUCAAUUACAGUCAAAGUCAAGGAAUUAUAGUGAGAUAUGGAGUUGAGGUUAGAUUUUGUUAUUUAUAAUCAAUUUUCGUUCAAAAUUCAUGUACAGGUGCUAUUAUUUAAAUUUAUUUCAGAAAGUGCUAAUUUUGUCAAUGCUUUCAGGGACACUUUCCAAUUCACAGAAACUGGUGCAGCAUUUCAAUAGUCUGAAAAUUCAGUGCUAACUUUGGUAAUCUUUGGAUUUUCUUGGAUUUUUAAAAUGAAAACCAAAUUAAGUAUUAAAUAUUGGGGGAUUAGGUGUUCAAAUAAUAUAAAAUGGUGGAUAUGUUAUUAAUGAUCCUAAUUGGGAUUACAACAUUGAAAAUAAAAGACUCAAAUACUUAUGGUAAAUUAUCAUUUCUAAUGGUAGGAAAAAUGGUUUAAAGCACCUUAGUGAGGAGAUAUGAUUUCUUGGGGCGAGUGCGAGAUUUCAUACUUGAUAUUGAAUGUGAGGAAGUGACAAGAAGAUUGGUGUCACGAUCGAGCCAUCAACUGGUGAGUGGAAAAACUUAUAUAUUUUCAAAUAUUAAUAAGGUACUUAUACUAUUAUAUUACGUGUGAUUAUGUGAAUUAUUUGUUCAAUUACAUGAUUAAUAUGGAAAUGUUCUUUUACUAUGAUAUAUGUGGAAUUUAAAGUUUGGAUAUGGAUUAUUUUUGAAUUAGAAUGUGAGACAUAUGUGAUAUUGAAAUCGACCAAAAAGUAUCCAUGAUUAUAUAUUUCUUCUAGUUCACUAACGGGCCUUGGCCAUGUCCUAUACUACACUGAUGGGUCUCGAACCGUGGAUGAAGGGAUCUUGACUGUGCACAUAUAGUUCACUGAGGGGUUUUGGUCGUAUUCUAUAAUUGAUUAUCAGAGGUCUUGAAAAUCACUUUUGUUCACGGAGGGGACUAAAGGCUCGUGGCUAAAGUUCUUAACUCGAGGGACAGAUUAAAAAUUUCAAUAAGAGGAUAAGUUUUUGGUAGACUUUUCAAUACAUUUGAUAUGAUGAGAUUAGGGUUGUUGUUUCUAUCAUGACUUCAAGAUACUAUUUUACAAUAUUAUGUGAAUGUCUCAUUUUUUGGCUAUAAUUAUAUAAAGUUAUCUUGUGCUGUAAAUUCGAUUUUUUAUAAAGAUUUAUAAAUGAAAAAGUAUAAUUAUUUUCGAAUUUCUCCAUUCACUAAGCUAUCAACUCAUAUACCUUUCAUGAUUUUUCCUACAGGUAGCAAUUGAAUUCUUUAUAGCUGGAGGAGCCCACUGAUUUUGAAGUGGUCGUCACACGAUAUGUUGAGUGCUAUGAAUCAAAUUAAUGAAGCACGAAGUAAAUAAUUUGGGCCCAUCGCAUUAUAUUUUAGAUAAACAUUUAUUUUGAUGCAUUUUUUGUAAUAACUAAUAGUCAAUCUUAGUGAUAGAUUUAACAUCUAGUCAGCAUCUAUCAUCGGCGCACAUCACAUUCUGAGCCCAUUUGGUUGAUUUGAGACGGGUCGUGUCAUUAAUGAUCAUGUAAAGGUGAAAGUAGUACAUGAAAUCUGAAACGGACAGAAUCUAUUUUUAAAUUUCUAUCAUCGCCCGGUUCACUUUCCGACCUUUUUUCUACCUUUAAUCACAUCCCCAAACUUUUACCACAGUUAUAUCACAUUGUCAUUAAUUUACUACAACCAAAGGAUUUACAGCCUAAAAAUCAAUCCCUUUUACCGAACAUCGAAUCAGGAAUUUCAUUGUGGUUGUUUCGAGUUUUACUUGGAUUUGCAUGCCACAUGACGGAUUAUAAACCAUUAAAGAUAAUUUAUUUACUUCUAGCUCUUAUAAAAUAAAACAUUCAUAUUAAUGAAUACAAGUUAUACUCAAGGUAUUAUCCAAACCAAAGGUUGAAUAGGCAGAAUCCAGCAAUAAUACAAUUUUCUGUUCUUGAUAGUUUUACUCAAUUUCCUUCAAUAGGAUGUGGCAGUAAAAAUCUGGCUUUGUAGUUAAUAUCUUUGAUGAUAUAUGUGACUUAUAAGAUAUUUAUGAAGUGUUAAAGGGUUAGGAGAGGUAAGGGAGGCCUUAGGACUGAAGGAAUUGGAUGUCAGAAGGACAAAUCACCAAGCACGAGUUGUCCUAAGUAGGAGGUGUCCUCUUGUAUUAAAAUUUGAGACUACACUUAUCCUUGGUGGUGGUGUUGUACGACGAAAUUUUGUGCAUUAAAAUACAGAAAUCAUUACAAAUUGUAUUUUGAUAAAUAUAAGUAAUGUUGACCUUCUUGUAAUUGUAAAAUUGCAAGAAUCCUCUGAUUAAUUAUCUGAAUAUUUGAAGAUGAGGGGCCACGCGGCUUGAAUUCUAGUUUUCGAGAAUUUGUUGAAAAUUUGAUUUUUCGAGACUUGACUUGUUAAGAACUUAAAUCUUAAAGCUUGGACUUGGACUUGAAUUUGAAUAGAUUUGAAAAAGAUUUUGAUCUUCUUAGACUUGGCGUGAACUUGUUUGAUUCGAAGAAGAUUCUAAUCUUUUUGGGGUUCACCGAGUUUAGGUUUGAGAGAAUUUCUUCCCUUCUUCCAACUUUGAAAUUUUUUCAGCAUUUCGUGGCGUUCUCUACUUUAUUUCUUGCUUCAGCUUUCACCUCCUCUUCUACCCUUGUCUUAUGGACCAUUGAUCCUAUUUAUAGGGGAAAAUUCAUGUUAAUUUUGAUAAUUACUCAAUUAUAUUUAAUUAAAAUGAAUAAUUGAGUAAUUAUGAUUUUAUUUGUUUGUUUGUUUAUUUUAAAAUGUGAUAUGGGCUUUUGAGUUUUUAUGGAGUUUAGUAAACGUAAAAAUUUAAUUGGGCUAACGAUUUAAAUCGAUCAAAUCCAUUUUAUUUUAUUUAUUUAUUAUUUUUAUUUUUUUAUUUCUAUAAACGCCCCCUCAAGAUUUAUUUAUUUAUUAUGAAAUAAAUAAAUUAAUAAAUCUUGACUUUCGAUUUUUUUUUUCAGUUUAGAAUUUGAUUUGAACUCAAACUUCCCAUACAGUGAAAAUUUUGAGAAUGAAUUUAAUAAAAUUCUUACCCUUCAAAUAAGAAUUUUUAUUUUAUUUUAUUUAUUUUUUUGGUCGAAUUGCGAUUAUUUAUUUAUUUAUUUUAUACAACCCAAUAAGAAAUUUAAUUUGAACAGGCUUUUUGUGGUUUAUGGUAAAUUGGGCUUAAGUGAAGUCCAUUACCCGCCUAUUUAUACGAAGGAAUUAUGAGACUUGGGAAUAAGUCUAUUAAAUUUUGCAAACUGAGGUAAAGUACAUGUUUAUUUAUUUAUUUCUCUCUCUCUCUCUCGUCUGUGUUUUUCUCUUUUCUCUUUUUUUUUAAUAGUCUCCGUCGUCGAGUAGAAUCAACUUAGUUUUGCAGAAACCAAUGACUGCAUCGUUGCAGCAAUUGUAGAAACCAAUGAACUACAACAUUACAGCAAUUGCAGACAUUGGUUUCUAUGUGAAAUUGACCUUUAUUUAUUUUAUUAUAUUAUAUUUUUAUUUUUAUUUUCAUUUUCUUCUUUGGGGUUUCUGUGUCAGAUGCUUUUUUGAUUUUAAUAUAUUUCUUGAUUUCGGAACCAAUUCAAAUCGGCUGAAACCUCCUUUUACAUUUUUUUUCUUUUUUUUUUUCAAUCAAUUCUUGUUUUUGAACCAAUUUGGAAUUGGAAUUGGUUUCUACCAAAACCACAUUUUCGAUUGUUUUUUAAUUUUUUUAUUAACUCUUUUUUUUUUUUUGGUACCAAUUUCAAUUUAUAUUGACUCUUGGAUUCUAGCGGUGAAACCAAAGCUGCGCAAAAACAUUAUUUUUUAUUUUGACCUUUCUUUCUUUUCUUUUUUUUACUACUUUUUGUUUAUUUAUUUUGGUGCAGUUGUUUUUAACAAAAUGGAAACUAACAUUUUUCAUUUUUUUUUCUUAUGCAGAGUUUCAAUUCUUUGGAGCAAAUCAAGAAUUUUGAGAUUCAAAAUUUUCUUCUGUAGAGGUUAAAUUUUUGAUAUUGCAAUUAUUUUAUGAGUUCAGGAAAUAUAUGCUUAUGAAUAAACUCAAAAUUGCAAACCUUCAUAUACAUUGAGGACCAAGGACUGCCACUUUCCACCACUCAAUUCACUUUUUGUUAGGAACCAAUGACCUACUCCUUCGACCUUCCAAGGCAUUUUGUGUUAAGGAUUAAAGACCUGUUCCUUCAACUGUCCAAGAUACUUUUUGUUGGGGACCAAGGACUGACUCCUUCGACCGUCCAAGGCACUUUGUGUUAAGGAUCAAGGACCUGCUCCUUCGACCGUCCAAGGCAUCUUGUGUUAAGAACCAUGAACCUGUUCAUUCAACUGUCCAAAACACUUUGUGUUGAGGAUCAAGGACCUGUUCCUUUGAUCGUCCAAAGUAUUUUCUAGAGGCUGCUUACAUUUUUAGGAGACUCGUGAUUUUAGACGAUAAACCAUUUUAAGAGAUUUACUAUCCCCUUUUUCUAGCUGACUUUUUUUUUUUUUUUGCAGGCAUGACUAGAACAAGUUCUAAUAAUAAAUUGUACUCUAACAUAUACGAAAUUGCUGAGUUUAAAAAUCGAGGUAAAAGUUAUUUGCGUUUCAAAGAUACUGAUGUGAAAUACGAUGCUCAGACUGGCGUACAAGGUGAAUUUAAAUUUAGUGUCCAUAAGCCAACGAUAGAUCCCUCUCCUAAUCUUCUAGAACCAUUGUCGAAAUUGCAUAUGCCCACCAUUAGUGAAUGUCACGAGGAUUUGGAUGCCGGCAAGUCCAACCGCUCUAACAAUCAUAUUCCCUUUUCGUGUCUUCCGCCUCAUCAUUCCCAGAGCAUGGAGUGCAUCCCAAAGGCUGUAAUUCAUGAAAGGAUUAAUAAUAGAGAAAUAUGAUGGGGAAGCGCCCUGGUCAGUCGAUGAGAGAUUUAUUUUCUUCCAAAAUUCUAGGAAAUUCUGGGAGGGUCUUUAUGGGUCCAAAAACUUCUACUCAAGAAGAAUCUUCGCGAGUUAACUUUUGCAAUGGGUUCUGCUAUAAAAGAUUACCAUCGCCCAAACUCUAUUUAUAGAGCUCUUUGUGAGGUUUGGUUUCUAGAGACCAACACCUUUGUGACUGCCAAUGGUGAAAUUCACAUUUCUUUUUAGGACAUCCGUGAGAUAAGUGGACUUUCAAUCAUAGGUCAUUACUAUGAGAAAGUAGUCUCGAGCCUUUCAGAGUUGGCAGAUCAUUUUCCCAAGUCUUAUCUUUACCUUUUUAAUGUUUUCAUAUUGAUUACCCCCGCGAAUGAAUCUGACAGGGUUACUCACAAAGAAUGGAUUAAUUUUUGGUUUCACGAGAAUGGUUGUAUACAGAAUCUUCAACAACAUAAAAAUUAUAAGAAUGCUAUGAAUUUAAUUCCAUUCAAGAGAUGUCAUUAAAGAGCAUAGAAGGAAAUACAGAGGCCCAUGAUGGCAGGCAAGCCGAGAGACAUUACUUGAAAGGAUCGACGUCAUUGGAGCAAACUGCCAGUAUCUCUGUCUAUAGAAGAAGAAGAUGAAUAGGAGAUAGCAGCUUACCUCUCCCAGUGGCUUUGUCUUUUCGUUCUUUCAUCUGAGGAUGAAUGUAUAAGAGUUGGAACUUUUAAAGCAUCUUCUAGGUUGGCAGACGAGUAUACUUAUAGCCUGGUUUCUUCCAUAUUAGUAAGCAUUUACAGGGGACUUACAUAAACAUCUGACUGUCAGACAAACCCGGACCUUAGCUCGAUCUAACAUUCAUUUCCUGGACAUUUUCUUUAUGCUUGGAUGGCAACUUAUUUUGUCUGAGGUGUUUAUGCUCACGUGGAUAAGAGUUAUUCUUGCCCUUUAAUUCGAAGAUAUGCUAGCACUAUGAAUGCUUUCCAGUCCUGGGAGAAAAAUGUUGUUGAUUGUCGGGAACUUAUCUGUGGAAUGAUGGACACCAAUAAGUUUUUUGGAAUCCAUUACCAUCAUCGUCUCAUUUAAAUGUAUGUGUGGAUGACCAAUCAAGGUCUGUAGAUACUUUAGAAUUCAUGAUGAGUAUGAUCUGGAUUUGUUUCUUAUCGUCGAGGAAAUUCACCUUUCAUUCUUGAGGCUUAUAAUCCUCAUAAGUUUACGAGACAAUUUGGCUUUAGACAGAAACUUUCCAGUUCACCAAGAAAGUUAUACAUUACCCUUAGUUUAGGCAACUUGUAUCAGGUUUAGUUGUCUUUGACUCAAACGAAAAGUGGGUCUGUAUUCCAUAUUCCAGAAUAUGUCAGAGAUAUACAUCAAAACAUUGGUGUUGAAUACCAGGCUUGGUGGAAUAGCGAAGUGUUGCCACUUUUGACAAGGUCCAGGUACAAGUCUUAUUUUCUAGUGAGAGCCAUGACUUUGUUCUUGGCCCGACUCCGAAUAGGGUUGCAACUAGAGGGUUAAACCUUCCAAAUAUUGUUCCUCAAGAGACUUCUCGAAAGAGGGAUCCAAACAAGUGAAAUGAAAGAGGUAUUAAGAGAAUUAAAAUUAUAGUUCCCUCAGCACAAAUUACUGCCACCUCUGAGCCCGCUAAUAAGGUGCUAGAAGUGAUUUUGAUUCCAAAUCACAGUAGUCCUGGAGAUCGAGCAUCAUAAGCACCAGGAAAGACUUUGACUCUAGAAGAUGAAAGUUCUAGAGAUCAGAUAUAGUUCUUCUUUUUUUAACGUACAAUUUGUAUUUGAUCUUCUGUCACAAUCUUCAAUUUCAGGCUCCUCUCUCUCAAAUAUGCAAAAUCAAAUGAUCGAUAGAAUCGAGGCCACUUCAAGCUAUUCUGAGUCCUUCAAAAGGCAAAGUUGGAGCUUCUCAUAUUAACAUCAAUCUCCCAAACACACCCUCAGACGAUGGAUUUUUAGACAUGUCGCCUAGGACACGAAAUGCAGGUACAUUCCCUAUUUUCUUUUGCUGCAAUCUUCUCUUCUUUUACCCAUUUUUUUAAAAUCAUACUUCAUUUUUUGUAGGUUUUUUGAGUAUCCCUGAAGAACUAAAUUUCUCCACGAAUCCAAACUUUAUGCAAGAUCAAACUGGCGAGAAUGAUGGGCGAAUCGAUGCAAUUCAAGGAAUAGAUGGUAUUCAUGAUUCUCAUGACCCUCCAUGUAAGUAUUCAGGCACCAUCAAUGGAGGUACUUCGGUACUUAUCAUGGACAAUUUUAAUACUGAAGAUGAAGUGAAUUCGGGGACUGUGAGAGCUAACAUUUCAAAGAUCAAUCAAGGAGUCUUUGUCGUUCCAUAUUCGUUGGCUUUAGUUGGCAUCCCGCCUUUACAGACAAAUAAUCAUCGGGCUGUAUCAAUCUGUUCUUUCAUAUCUUGUCCUCCACUUGGAAUUACCCAAGAGUCUCCUUAUCUGAAGGCUGCUAUGCAAGAAGCUAUGAUUAAUUACCUUCAAAAGUGUUUUAAGGACGUCUUGAAGUAUGGAUUUUCCAAUAUUCGAUCUUGGUAGGAUGAAAAUAAUUUCGUUCUUCAAAAUGUGAUUAUCGACUCAUUUCCACGCAGACUCAACACCUUUGAUGAAGCACAUGGAUGUAUUUCUGAAAGAAGUUGACUCUUACUUAUCUGAAAGAAAGCAACACUUGAAUUGUCUAACCGUCGAAGAAAAGGUUGAGCAGUUGAAACUUUUGAACAUUCAGCUGGAAAUAAAGAAUUCCACGUGUUUUUCGUUGGAAGAAAAAAUUAGUCGGCUAACUUUUGAGCUAGAUUCCGUGAUGAGCUUCAAGCCCAGUAGAAACAGAAGAGUAUGAUUGGAACUAAAAAGACAGCAUUGGAAGAAGCACAGAUAAGAGAUGUCACUAGCAUAACAUUCAUUGACCAGAAAAGGAAGACCCUUGAAGAUAGUUUCCCGCAAGUGAUCAAUGGCAGGUGAUCCUGAUGAAGUCAAGAAUUUCUAAUCUUUUUUUAUAGACUAUAUUGUAUGAAUUUUGACUUGCUAUUUUUUUAUUUGGAUGAACUUUUAUUUUUCAUGUUUCUGGUUUUUUUUUUUAUUACAACAAGUGGUAAACAAAUUGAAUAAAUUUAUUAGUUGUGACUAAACUUGAAUUUAUAAUUUAUUCAAACUACUUAUGUACACAAAUCGGAUCAAGUCAAACAUAGUUCAUUACAAGAACACAAUUUUUUUUUCUUACAAUGAAAAAUUUAAAAGAAAGAACUUCAGGCAUAAAAAUGCUUUAAAAGUUUUUCAUUGAUAGGCCUGAUUUGCAGUCCAUCAUUGUCAAUGAUCUUGCACGCUCCGUUAGUAAAUGCACGAGUAACAAGAAAUGGACCAUCCCAUAGAGGCUAGAACUUGCCCCUUGUUUUUCUUGUGAUUAUGAUCAGCCUGCGCACGAAAAGUACCAGAUCUUCAACUUGAAAUGAUCUUGGUUGCACCUUCAUGUUGAAGGACUUCACUAUUCGAGCUUGAUAGCACUCCAGGUGUAUUUGUGCUUCUAACAUAUUCUCAUCCAAAGCUUCUAGCUCUUCCAAUCGAAGACGGACAUUUUCUUCAGUUGUCAAUCCUUCUUGAAUAGCAAUUCGAAAUGAUGGGAUUUGACACUCCAGAGGAACUACAGCUUCCACCCCAUAUACUAAGGCGUAAGGAGUGACUUGCGUUGGAGUUCGAUAACUAGUUCGAUAAGCUUAUAAGACUUCACCAAUUUUCUCAUGCCAAUCUCUUUUUGAUUUGGAAACAAUCUUUUUUAGCAAACUGCAUAGUAUUUUAUUGAAUGCCUCUGCCAAUCUGUCAGCUGCCACAUUGUACAUGGACGAGUUGUACUGUUUGAAUCCAAACUUUGUACAUAAAUUGCUUAUAUAGCUAUUGCAAAAUGGUUUUCCAUUAUCGAUUUUGAUAUGCUGUGAGACACCAUAUCGAUAAAUGAUUUGGAUACGAAUGAAAUCUUCGACAUUUUCUUUCUGCCUUCAAUGGUACGACUUUGGCCCACUUAGAGAAGUAAUCGGUCCCAACGAGGAUGUAUGUAUGCCCUGCUAAAGACUUUGGAGUUAUAGGUCCAAUUACAUCAAGAUCUUAUGCAUCAAACAGCCAUGAAGCUACCGUCGGAUGUAAUGGUUCCGGAGGUUGAUGAAUGAAAUUUGCAUGGACUUGGCCAGCUUCACACUUUCUUGCAUAAUCCAUAGAGUCUUGUACCAUAGUUGGCCAGAAAUACCCCAUCCUUUUUAUUCAAAAAUGGAGUUUGGGUCCAGAUUGAUGGGCACCACAAAUUCCAGAGUGGGCUUCUUCCACGACUUGUGUUGCUUCAUCAUCACUUAGACAUCGAAGGAAAACUCCAUCAAAUGAUCAUCGAUAAAGUGUUCUCUUGUUAAAGAUAAAGUGAGAGCACGCCUCUUGAUUUCAAUUUUUCACCGUGGAUUAUCUGGUAGCUUUUGAUGUUGAAGGAAAUCGAUUAUCGGCUGUCUCCAAUCUUCUCUUUUCUCAUCCUUGACUACCUUAACACUAUUAUUUCUUCCAAAUUACUAGAUAGAAAUGACGGAAGCACCCAUCUUUGAGCAAUUGAUAUGGUGGGAGAAAAGUCUCCAUCUGACCUAACUAAAACAGCGGCCAAAUUAGCUAAGGCAUCAGCCUCCCUAUUUUCAUUUCUCGGGAUGAAUUUGAUUUUUACCGAAUCAAAUCGUCUCAUAAGCAUUGAUGCAUAUUGAUGAUAUAGCUUUAGGUCUGAAUUACGGACUUCAUAAUCAGCUAAAAGUUGGUUGAUUAUCAGUUUUGAAUCUCCAAAGACUUCCAACUAGUGGAUAUCCAUAUCUAACGCUGCUUCUAAGCCAAGGAUAAGGGCUUGAUAUUUCGCCACGUUGUUUGAACAUUUAUCUAUUAAGGUAAAAGAGUCGGGCAUGACAAGAUCAUGGGGAGUGAUAAAGACUACUCCUGCUCUGACACCAUAACUUCGGACUGUCCCAUCGAAGUAUAGCCUCCAAAAUGGUAUGACUUCAGUGAAUAAAACUUCUUCAUCGGAAGAUCUUGAAGUUCCCAUUCCAGUGGAAUUGGUUGAUCAGCUAGGAAACUUGCCAAAACUUGUCCUUUAAUGGCCUUUUGUGGACAAAAUUUGAUAUCGAACUCAAACAACAACAGUGCCCAUUUUCCAAUCUUUCCAAAAAGAAUUUGCCUAGACAUUAUUUACUUCAACGGAUCAAUCUUCGAAACAAGAUUAAUUGUGUGUGAAGUAUUUAAUGUCUCAACUUUUUAGCUGGAAAGAUUAAUGUAAGGCAUAUUUUUUCAAUAAGUGAAUCUUCAUUUCAGUACCUACCAGUGUCCGGCUCAAGUAAUAGAGUGCAUUCUCUUUUCCUUCAUCGUUGACUUGGAUAAGAAGUGCUCCUAGAGAAUAUUCUUGUGCUGCAACAUAAAGAGACAGUGGCCUCCUUAGGACUGGAGCUGUGAGUACUGGUGGACAAGACAAAUAUUGCUUAAUGCUUUGGAAAACAUUUUGACAAGCGUUGUCCCAUUAAAAUGGUACAUUUUUCUUCACCAAUUUGUUGAAUGGAUGACAUCGUCUGGCAAAGUUAGAGAUAAAUCUUCGAAUGUAUGCAAGUUUUCCUUGAAGACUUUUCAACUCACAUAUAUUUCUUGGCUCUGACAUAUUGAUUAUGACAUCAAUUUUUGAUUGAUCUAUUUCAAUGCAUUGAUGUCGAAAAAUGAAGUCAAAAAUUUUCCAGAGAUGACACCAAAUGCACAUUUCAACGGAUUCAUCUUUAGUUGAUGUCUUCGAAGUCUUUUGAAAACAUCUCGUAAAUCUUGUAAAUGAUCGUCACAUCCUUUUUGUUUUGAUAACAAUAUCAUCCACAUAGCAUUCCACGUUCUUAUAUAGCAUGUCAUCGAAAAUCUUCUGCAUCGCCCGCUGGUAGGUUACCUCGCAUUUUUCAAUUCAAAAGGCAUAAUUUUGUAACAAUAUAUAUAUUUAGGGUUACAAAAUGAUGUGAGCUCCUCAUCUUUUAGGUUCAUCCAUAUCUAGUUGUAUCCAGAAAAUUCAUCCAUGAAAGAUAAGACUUCAUACCCGGUAGUUGCAUCUACCAUCAACUCUGUUAUCGGAAGUGGAAAAUCAUCCUUCAAACAUACUUGAUUCAGAUCUCGAAAGUCAAUGUAAAUUCUUAAUUGCACAUUCUUCUUUUUGAUAGGAACAACGUUCACGAUCCACAUUGGGUAUUUUACUUCGCGUAUGAAUCCAGCUUUGAUAAGCUUAUUGACCUCCACCUCAAUUUGAGGGACUAAUUUUGGACGAAAUCUUCUUUGAGGUUUUUUGAUCGGUCAAACUCCAUGUCUUACUGCAAGAUGAUGCACUGCAACCUUAGGGUCUAACCAUGACAUUUCCUUGUAAGACCACGUGAACACGUCUUUGUAUUUCUGAAGCAAAUUAGUGUACUUGGAUUCUUCUUUUUUACUAAGGAGGGCACUUACAAAUACCGAUUUCAAGUCUUCUUCAGUCCCCAAGUUCAAUUGUUUUAAGUCAUCCACAGUAGCUUGUCCCCCUUCUUCAAAUGUAGGUAGGGCUAGUUCAAGUUCAUCAGUUGCGAUAGAAUUUUCAGACUCGAAGUCUGAGUUGGGAACUUUUUCAAAGGCUAUGUGAUUGACUGAGACUUCUUCCUUAUCUUCAUUAUCCUUUAGGAACAGAUGAGCUUUUUGAUGUUUUCACCUUCUUCUUGACCGUUGUGGUUUUAGACUUGGAUCAAAAGUUUUAAUCCCAAGUCGAGAAAAUGCAGAUUGUCUUUGUGAUGACAUCUGGGGAGCUUGUGCAUUCCUAUCAAUUUGGGUAGAAGAAGAAGAAUUUUCACUUAAUCUUUAAAAGACAGAGACUUUACCUUUUACGUCGAUCACUGGGAAGGGAUCUCCUUUCAACCUUUUAAAUACCAAAACUCUAGCAUUCUCAUUUUCAAUUUGAUCGAACACUGAAGGUCUCGACUAUUCUGAUUUCUCUUCUACAACUUCAUAAAUUUGAACCAUGAUGGGGUUUGAGAAAACCUUCUUGACCUUAAUCUUCCUCAGUGGAUUAGGAUCAUAGCCCAAACCAUACCUAAGUCGGGAUACUAAGGCUCUAUCAGAAUUAGAAGGAACACGCUCUCCUAAAAGGACGGCAUCAAGAUCACCUAAUUUACGAUGCUCUCAUUUUCCAAACCGAGCAUUUUCGAACAACUUUUUAACUUGAGGUUUGUAAUAUCCUUUGAAAGUCUGCUUUGAUUUAGCAGCUCCUUAUUUGGAGGAGCUAGAAAUGCAAAGCUUUGAUAUGUCUGGGGACGGAUGUCGAAGCUUCCAAUGUAGAUUUAUGUUCUUCUGGGACUGCCAUGAGUUUAUGGGGCAGAAGCAAUUUUAGAAUGCUAGGUAUCGAAAGAGUUAACUCUUUUCUCAACAUCGGUUGAUUCUAUUUGAGAUUUUUUACCUUUAGAGAAUCAUUCGGAUGUGAAUUUUGACUUGCCUUUGAUAAGUUGAUGAGAUUGAGCAACACCAUACGUAUCAUGAUGGUUUGUAUCUUCUUUGCUUUUGAAUCCAGAUAUAGUCAACCCUGCAGAAUUGCACUCUUCAUCUUCCAUGUAAAAUUUGGCAUCAGCAAAAUGGAAUUCUUCUUCAAUGAAUGGUUUAGACUCAGCUACCACACAUCUAACUUCUCCAUCUUGGCUAUAUUUGAAGCAUUUGUGCCAAGUGGAAUGUACCACACCAGUUUCAUGUAGCCAAACACGUCCAAGAAGUAACUCGUAUAAUAUUUUAGCAUCAAUGACAUGGAAGAGAGCUGGGGAGAUUAACUCUCCUAUUUGCAACUUCAAGCGAAUCAUGCCAAUGGCUUGCUGACCUUUUUGAUUGAAUCCUUGAAUCAUGAUUUUACUUCUGGAUAGAUUACAAACAUUAAUUCCAAUUUUCUUCAUUGUUUUCAACAGCAUAAUAUUCACAACAGAUCCACAAUUGAUCAUUAUGUAAUUUAUCUUGCAUUCUCGAAUAUAACCACUAACAUACAAUGGUCUAUUAUGUGGACGAGAACCCAACUAUAAAUCUCCAUCAUUGAAUGUUAUGGUGGUCAUACAGUCUUGAGGAGUUGUGGAUCCAAUAUGUUGCAAAACUUUGCCUUUGUAUUCUUUCGGAUCGAUUAACGUUGCGACCAAAGUCAUUCGUGAAAUAGUUUUUUGUCUGUUUUAAAGUCUAUCCGGAUGCAUUUUUCAUCUCAUUUUUCUUCUCCACAUUGAUAACAUUGGAGGUAAAACAUUCAUUGUUAAAGAAACCCUUGGGAAAAUAAUCACCCAAGGUUGACAGUUUGGGAGGAUUGCAUGUCGUAUUUUCUAUCUCCAUCGGUUUAGUGAAUCCUCUUGAUUUGGCUUUAGACCUUCUUCUUUGGUUGUUCCUUGGUCUUGAUUUCUUGCAACAAAUAUUAGAACUUGGAAGUUGUGGAGCCUUUCGGCGACGACUUUUCACAAGGGUUCAUUCCCCUUGAUCUUCUUCUAAUGUUUUCUCUUUGUUAGGUUAAAUUUUUGUACCCAAUUCCUCUAAAUAUGUUCCUGCAAGAGAUGUAGAAGGUAAUAUUUUACAUAUUUUGUGUGGCAUUCGAUAUUUCUCGUUCUUUUUUAUGAAGGUGGACCAGCCGUUACUAAUCUUGUCUUCAGAUUCUGAGUCAGAAUCCCAAACAUCCAAGUCACAUGUCAUAAUUUCAUAAAAAGUUGGACGAUUGGGUGCAUUUCCAUCCCCGAAUAGACGUAACUGAUAGUGAUUUCUCCCUCUACCUCAAACUUCACUAGGAUGGCUCCUUUUGGAAGUUGAGGUCCAAACUCCUCAACUGAGGAUUUACAAGCAUCCUAUACAUCAGAAAAUGUUUGUUUCUUUCCUGUAAUAGGAAUUGGAUCAAAUGAUCCAAAUAAAAUCAUCGAGUAUGUGGCUGUUGGAUUUUUCCUCCAGUUUCAAGUUUGAUCUUAUUUUCUUUGUCCAGACGAACAAUAAGAUCUUUCAAGACAAAGCAUUUUUCCACCGAAUGGCUAAUGAUCCUGUAAAAUUUACAGUAUUUAGGAUGAUCGAUCUUAUCAACUUCCUCAGAUCGUUUUGGUAUUGGUAGUUCGAUUAUCCUCUGUUCAAGGAGUUGAUCCAGAAUUCCAGAAAAUUCAGACUCCGAGAAUAGGUACUCCUUUCCUUCAAGUUCUUUUAGAGUCAUAUGACCUCUGCUUUGGACUUGUCCUUUGUUGGGUCUGAGUUCUAGCUUCGAUUUUGGGUUUGAGCUUGACCCCUGUAAGGCUAUCUUUGCAGGAACAGUGAAAAUUGCCAUAGCCUCUUUGGAUUUACUUGCUUUGAUGUCCUUCUUUAUUUCCUUCUUAGGAUCUUUCAUGUCACAUGGAUCACCUGGCAAGUAACUCCCAUGCCUUGCAAUUUGGAGCUCCAGCUCAUGUGCACAUGUUACUAAUUCUUCGAAUGAGUGAGGCAUAUUUGCUUGGAGAUUAUAGAGUAAUCCCCAAUGCAUACCUUGUACACACAUGUCGAUGAAAGAUGCUUCGCUUAUUCAUUCUUUGCAAUUAAGCACGAGGUUCUUCUAGCGUUCAAUGUACUCAACAACGGGCUCUUCCUUACUCUACUUUGUUCGAGCAAGUUCCAGAAGACUGACAGUUCGCCGGGUGCUGUUGAAACGUGUUAGGAAAUCUCGUUCGAGCUGAUCCCAACUAUCAAUUCCCUAUCUGUAAGUCCGUGUACAAUUCAAAUGCAGAACCUUUGAGGAAGCGUACAAACUGCUUCACCAUAGUGUCAUUGUAUGUACCUGCAUUAUUACACGUCUCAAUAAAAUGAGCAACAUGUUUUUUUGGAUUGUCCUUUUCCAUCAAAACACUGAGAUUUCAGAGGUUGAUAACCGAGUAGCAUCUUUAUUUCGUCGAUUCGACGACUAUAGGGCUUAGCAUACACCAAUAAAGAUUGCAAUGAACCACCAUACUAGGCACGAAUGGUAUCUACAAUCAUUUGUUGAAGUUGUUGGACAGACAGAGAGCCAAGGAAAAGUUGAGUGGAGUCACGCAUCACGUUUUGAACAACUGUCCGAUCAUGUAUAUCUUACUUUUGUUGGCGCUCUUGAAAUUCUAACUCUUUGGCCUUGGAAGAUCCUGAAUUUUCCUAAUCUUCAUUAGUCGGUAGAAUUUACAACUCUAGCCUGUGUAUGAGUGCAACAAUCUUUGCAUCUUUCUCUUUUAAUGACUUUGUUAAUUUUUCAAUGGCUAAAACCAUUUGUUGAAUUCGGUCAUCUGAGCCCAAUGUUGCUUCUGUGACCAUCACUGUCUCAAGUAAUUCUUCAGAUGAGACAUUAUCUUUCCACUUUUGCUGAGAAGUGGCAUAAAGGGAUCCAGACAAGGAUCUACCACUGGAGAUGGAGCUCGAACGAGAACUUUUCGCUGAACUCAUGGUCUUUUCUUUUGAAUGAGAGUUUGCUUCUUGAAGGUAAUUUUCGUUUUGCCUUUGUUAGAGAACUUCUUCAGUAGUGUGACCAGUUGAGUUUUCCUAUUUUUGUUUUGGGCCUGGUCGCGCGAAAGAGUUCGGCAAGUGUCUCUACAAGAUGUGUCAUUGUUUGUUUCGCAUUUUCGCCUGCCAUUGUUGAUGUAGUAGUUGAAACUUGAAGAUUUUGAGAUCAAAAAAUAAGAGGACAAGAAGAUCCCACUGGGAGUGCCAAGAAAUUUGUACGACGAAAUUUCUUGUAUUAAAAUAUAGAAAUCGUUAAAAAUUAUAUUUUGAUAAUUACAAGUGAUGUUGACCUUCUUGUAAUUGUAAAAUUGCAAGAAUCCUCUGAUUUAUGAUCUAAAUAUUUGAAGACGAGGAGCGACGUGGCUUGAAUUCUAGACUUCAAGAAUUUGUUGAAAAUUUGAUUUCUCGAGACUUGACUUGUUCGGAACUUGAAUCUUGAGGUUUUGACUUGGACUUGAAUUUGAUUUGAUUUGAAGAAGACUUUAAUCUUCUUAGACUUGGCAUGAACCUAUUUCAUUCAAAAAAGAUAUUAAUUUUCUUGGGGUUCACCGAGUUUAGGUUUGAGAGAAUUUUUCCCUUCUUCUAGCCUUGGAAUUUUUUCAGCACUUUGUGGCGUUCUCUACUUUCUUUCUCGCUUUAGCUUUCACCUCUUCUUCUACCCCUGUCUUAUGGGCCAUUGAUCCUAUUUAUAAGGGAGAAUUCAUGCUGAUUUUGGCAAUUACUCAAUUAUAUUUAAUUAAAAUGAAUAAUUGAGUAAUUAUGAUUUUAUUUAUUUUUUUCUUUAUUUUAAAAUGUGAUAUGGGCUUUUGAGUUUUUAUUAACUUUAGUAGACUUAAAAAUUUAAUUGGGCUAACAAUUUAAAUCGACCCAAUUCAUUUUUUUUAUUUUUUUUUAUGUCUACAGUUUUCUGUAACUUAGUAGAUAUAUAUAAAGUCCUAAAGAGUCUUGUGACAUGAGGAAGGCUUAGGGUUGAAGAAACUGACUAUUAGAGUGAUAAUAAACAAGCAUGACGUGUGGCUAAUCACGAGGUGGCUUCUUAUAUUAAAAUCUGAUUGUGUACUUAAAUUUGCAGGCACAGUCCACUUAUUCAUGACCUAAUUUAAUAUGCUUACAACCUAUUUUACUUUCCUUAAGACUUAGAAAUAUUUUAUUGAGCAAUUUCCUUAACUGUUAAUUUGAUUACUAACCCGAUUGACACCUGAUUCUCGACCGAUUUCAAUAAUUUGUACUUCAAUAUUUAUAACUUCACACAAAUUGUGAUCAUAUCACUUCAUGUUUAAUGUCCCAAAUUUGUUGUUUACUUAUCUGAGGUUUAAUUACCAAUCGGCAUUAACUGUUUUGAUCCCAUGCAGGACUGUGGAAAGAGUGGAUGAAUUCUCAUUUGAUAGUGUUCCUAUCAUAAGAUCAAUGUUUGUUUGUUACCUAUUCAUAAGUGUUUAAACCUUCAAGUGAUUGAGCGUACGCCUUUUGUCAGCUUCAUGGAGAGAACCCUUACGCUAAAUAUUUUAAUGCCCGUGAGUUAUAGAGCUAAGCGUUUAGCUUGAGACACACCUGACGGUACAUGUGUCAGGGUUGGAGGUAAGAUGGCUAUGUAAGCAUACGCCUUUUGUCAGCUCCAUGGAGAGAACCCUUACGAUAAAUAUUUUAAUGCCCGUGAGUUAUAGAGCUAAGCGUUUAGCUUGAGACACACCUGACGGUACAUGUGUCACGGUUGGAGGUAAGAUGGCUAUGGUUUGACACAUACUCACAAGUUCUCUAAUUGUUUUUGAUAUCCUGAUAUUGAUGACACGAUUAACUUCUUGAAGUGUUGAGUUUGAAAGGCAUAAAUUGUGGUUGAAUUGGAACUUAACUAUUUAAAUUGUAUUGUGGACCAUUCCUUGAUUGUCAUGUUUUGCAUAGAAUUUCUAGGGACUAGCAAUAAGCAAGUUCGGGUGUGAUACGUGCAUGAAAGUGUACUUUAAACACCAAAUUACUAUGCUAAAAUUUCAAAUUUGAAUUGAAAUCAUAAGAAUUAAUUCAUGUUCUUGAAAUGUUGUUCUAUUUACUUUAAGAUAAUUUCUAAUCCGAUUCAUGCAUUUAAUUUAAGGUUUUUAUCCAAAUGAAGAAUGGAUCGACUUCUUAAAAAAUAUAAAAUAAAAUUGCAACACUGGCCAUGGGUGCCUCGGCACCGAAACUCUACCCGAAACGACAGUAUGCGGGUGCUGCAGGACCAGUCCUGGAAAAUGAGAAUUUUCAAAUUUUUGGACGCUUUUUGGCUCAUUCGAAUUCUAAUCUUCUUGGGAACUCUAAAAGGCAUGAGAAGACAAUCCUAAAAGAGACUUUUUGGAGAAUAAUCAGGAAGAAAAACAAGAAGAGAUGACCAACAAUUCCAUAGAGAUCUAAACAUCUUGUCAAAGCUAUGAAGGAAACUCAAUUGGGUUCUAUGAUUUCAACAUUAUUUGAUUUAUAGAUUUAGAUAUAGAUUUUCAUUUUAGACAAUUUUGUGGUUUAGAACCUCUUUUAAUAAAGGUCUUUUGGGAUUGGCUUAACUUUUAUUAAAUUCUUCAUGGAUUCAGUCGUACUUUUUCUACUGAAUGAUUGAAAUAUUCUUUUAAGUUUUAAUCUCAUUUAUCUAUUUUUACUAGUAUGUUUCAUUACUACUUUAUUCCUCAAGUAUAUGAUUGUUUUUUUGAAUCUUAUUCUAGCAAACAAAAGUGUGAAUGUUGUGGUAGGAGGGUUGAUCUUUAGAAUUACAAUUGAAUAAAACUGGUUUUAACGACAUUUCUUCCGAUUAGAGAAACUAGGUUGAACAUCUCUAGUUGAGUUAUAAUAAUGAAUCAUUGAUGUUGAAUGACCUAAUCCAAUUAAGAAAAUUGUGACGUUUCACUAUUUCAAACCUUGAUUUUAUUUUCAUUCAAACAAAUAAAUUCUUUUCACACAUUCAAAAUUAAACUAACCUUUCGGAUACUUUAAGUGUUUUUAACUAUCUCCAUAUGGAAUCGACACUCUAAACCUACGCUACAACUACCGCGUUAUUCUUUGGCUGUAACAAAAACUGUAUAACUCCCAUUGAUGCUAACUCAAAAAGUACUUUGUCUCCAACUAUAAAUUCUUGCAUUCUCCUUCUUUUGUCUGUAUUGUUUUAUGUUGAUUUUGAGCAAUUUGCAUCCGUUGGCAUAUUUGUGUUACAACUUUAGUCAUUUCACGAACCAUAUAUGGACCCCAUAGUUUCUUUUCUCCAAUUUCAUCCCAGUAAACCAGAGAUCUAUUUUUUCUACCAUAUAAUGCUUCCUAAGGAGCCAUUCCAAUUGUAGCCUCAUAAUUAUUGUUGUAUACAAAUUCCAGUAAAGGCAAAAACUUACUCUAUUAACCUUGGAAAUCCAGUACACAAGCCCUACAUAUCUUCCCAGUCCAGUAUUUUGUGCUAUUCUUUCUAUUUGUCCAUCAAUUUAAGGAUGAUAAACCAUGCUAAAAGAUAACUAUGUUCCUAAUAUGUAAACUUUUCGAAAAGAGAGAUAAGAAUUUAGAAUCCCUAUAAAAAAAUAAUAGAUAGUGGUACCCAUUAAGUCUAACUAUUUGUUAUAGAUAAGUUGUGCCUAUCGUAUCCUUUAAUAAUUUUUUGUAAUUUCAGGACAAAAUCUAUUGUGAUUAUUUCCCAUUUCCACCCUUGGAUAGAUAAUUGUUAUAAAGUUCCUUCUAAUCUUUGAUGUUUUACCUUUAUUUGUUGAUAUAUUAAGCAUUGUCUCACAAGCUCAGUUAUAACACUUUUCAUGUUUGGACACAAAUAAUGCAAUUUCAUAUCUCUAUACAUUUUAGUAGCUCUUAGACGCACAGAAUAUGAUGUUAUUUAUGCUUCAGUUAGAAUAUCAACUUGAACAUUUUUUGCAUCAGAUACAUACAACCUCCCUUUAAACCAAAGAAUACCAUUUUCUAGUAUUUGAAAGUCUGAAAAUUUUCUUGAAUGUAUAUUAUUCUUUACCUUGAAACAAUAAUCAUAUACAUGUUGCCUUUACAUAAUUCGAUCCCUCAAAGUUGGUUGAAGGGUCAAGGCUUCAAGUUUAGCCUCCACAGGUAGAUUGACCUCAAUACAUAUAUGAGACCCACUAUGCUGACGUAAGUCUAAGGUUACCUCAUCAAUGUGCCGUGGAACCCCAAUGGCCUAGUUAAUGCAAAUUAAAAAUCUUCGUAUGAAAAUCUGUAGGUAGUAAAGGAAAAAAAUACCCAAACAAAAACUAUAAAUGUGUCAUGUUCAACGCUAAAAUCAAGUGUCCACUUAAUAACAAGAUCAACAACUAUCGAUAUACCAUAAGGGCUUAAGAAAUAAAAGACUCUAAUCAUCCUCAUGAGAUAAAUGAAUAAGCUUAUGCUUGGCAUCUACCAAUCCUAGAUAUAAUCUCCGUAAGAACUAAAUUUCUGAAAGCUCUCGUGUAACUAAAUUAUAAAAGGCUUGCAAUGCGAAAAUUUGCAACAACUCCAAUUGUCAAUUCAUCCAUAUAUACACAAAAAGUUCCUUAACAACGCACCUGUGGGAUGUCGAGUCCUGUAGAACUUGAAGAAUAGAUACAAAAGACUUCCUCUAGCUACAGUCAACUUAAGAAAUAACAGGUCGACAAGAAAGUACAGAAACAUAAGACUUCUUUCCUUGGUUCUAUCUAAACUAAGCAACUGAUGGUAAAACAGAUAGAUAGGAUGACCUGGAGGUAGUAGGGAAAACACGAGGAGCAGUAAAGCUAGGUGCAUAGCAUACACCUGUCGCCUGUCGGCAUACCACGCGCCCCUCGUCUGAUGCGAGCGCUAUGUAUGGCUUUGUAUGCUCUUUUCAAAAUCUACCAUCAUGAAUGGAAGCAUCUUGACCCUCUAAAACUGCAAGUUUGGGAACGACAAUGUAGGUCCAUGAUUUGGAGUGACAGCACUAGGAUUUGCACUGAGGGCCUUCGUAUGGUUGGUGGUCUUUUGCAUGAUUACCCAAUAUUUUUAGCGUAAGGCUGGUGGGUUAUAAGUGGCGGUCGAGGGCACAUGCCGCUACCGAUGAAGGACAGGUCAAGUGGUUUGGGAUUGAAGGGAAAAUUCUCCAUUCUAGAGAGAAUAGAAGGGAGAGCUAAUUUUUCAUACUUAUCAAUGAUGAUUUCAAAUGUAGCCAACUCGUUCAAGUUACUAAUAUGGCUAGAAAGUUUGAUAUGGAUUUUUGUAUCUAGAAGUAGAAUUGAUCACAUUUGAAUUAAUUUAUGGAAGAAAGAAGUAGAAUAAUAUAAGUUAUAUUAGAAUUGGACAGAAAUACUUAAAAAUAUUUAAAAUUAUACUCCACUAUCUUUGUUAUUGGUGAACACCAAAUGUAAUCUUUAUCAUAAUCAUCAACAUACGCUUCUUAUGUUGUAACAGGAUUUAGGUGCCUGUAAUAACUCCAGGUAAUUUGUGUAGUUAUUUUAGUAAUAGAUUUUUGAGUCUUGACUAGAUAAAGGUUCUAACAUUUGACGAGUGUCAUAAUGCAAUAGACAUGAUGUGGUGAGAGCAAAGCAUAGAUGGAGAUCGAAACAUAUCAUUUUACACUAUAACCAGAUCACAACAUUUGUUAGCUACUUUGCAAGUAGGGGAUAAAAUUACUUAUGACCCGGACCGAAUUUAAUAUUUGAUGAGUGUCAUAAUGCAAUAGACAUGAUGUGUGCAGAUCACAACAUUUGUUAGCUAUUUCGCAAGUAGGGGAUAAAAUUACUAUCAACAUCAAUCAAGUUGUUGAUUAUUUUCGAAACUUGUUAUAAAAGAUAUGGGAUGAUGAUACAUUAGAUGACUAGUUUAUUAGAAACAUUAGUCUAUCAACAAUUACAGAGAAGAGCGCUUUAUUAGUAGCUAUUCCAACUAAUCUGGAAGUUUAGGAUGUGGUUACUAUUUGGAUCCUAACAAUGCACCAGGUCCCGAUUGUUUUACUGGAAUGUUUUUCCAACGAUGCUGGGAUAUUGUGGGCCCUGACGUGGUUAAGUGUUGUGCAAAAAAAUAUUCUCACUGAGAUUAUGCCAUUUGGACUCAAUUCUAACAUCAUGAUACUCAUCAAAUAACAUCGGAGACUAAUUCUUCGAAAAAGUUGCAACCAACGUGCUUAGUAUUUUCUUGUUUAAAGCAACUACUUAGACUUUUGCUACCCACUUCGACUAUUUUUCUCAAGGAUUGUUUCUCUGUAAUAAUUUGUUUUCAUCAAAGAGUGGCACACAAAGAUAGUAUUGUGUUGGCUUCAGUUUGUGUUAAUUCUCUGGAUGGAAGAUGUUUUGGGGGUAUUGUAACCAUCAAAGUGGAUGUUUGGAAGGGUUUGAAAUGGUGAGGUGGGAUUUCUUACUUUAUGUUCUUCCCACCUAUGAUUUUGGUUCUAAAUUUCACAAUUAGAUUCCAAAUAUCCUAAGCAGUAGCCAGAUUUUGGUCCUUAUCAAUAAAACCCUUUUGGUUACUUUAGCUACUCUAGUAGGGUAAGACAAGGAGAUCUAGUAUCAUCAUUUCUUUUGUCUAAGAGGAGUUCCUUAGCCAAUAUUAAAGCUUCCUCAAUUCCUAUGGCAGGAUCGAGGGGUGUUGCAGCUCUCACACACUUAAUGUAUCCUGAUGAUUUGAUUUUAUCCUGCAAAGGAACCUUAGGUAAUUUUGGGGUGAUUUACAAACUCUUCAUUUUUAUGGCUCUUUUUUUUUUUAUUGUCAAUGGGAAAUUGGGAGAAAGCUUAUGUUUUAUUUGGUUGCACGACCUCUAAUCGAAGAGGAAGGUGGCUAGUCAAUGUGAUUAGUAUGAAGCGGAUUUCUUGCCAUUUUUUUUUUUAUCUGGGUAUGAAAAAUCUUGUUACUCUUAACUAUGCUUGCUUCGAAAACUAUCAACGAAAUUAUGGAUAUUAGAUUCUUUUGUAUAUUAUUUUUCUAAGAGCACGGUUUAUAAAUGGUUUGGGAUGGCCUCUAAUACAUCACCUCUUCCAUUUGUCCUGUUUUGUGGUAACAUUAUAUUGCUCUAAGGGAGGAUGCUCCCUGGUUAGUUAGAGAGCGCACUAAACCAAAAUUUUGGUUUGGCAACUGAAUGAGUGAACCAUUUGUACAUAUGUUGGGUUUUCGUAUGGUUAUUCGACUCAUUUCAAUAUAUUAUUGUCUGUUUCUAGUAAAAUGGAUGGUGACCACAUGGAGAGGUUUAGGAGUAAAUUUUCGAUUAUUUGCAGCUUGAUUGAAUGUAUUAUCCCAUUGCAUGGGUUGCAAUAUGAAUUAAUUUGGACUGGAUCCUCACCUAAACAGGUAUAAUUUAAAGAGGCCUAUGAGCAUUUUCAUCCUCAGAGCCACCCAGUUUAAGUGGAUUUGAAUGAAGUUCAUUCGUCCAUCUCCUUCAUUCCUAUUGUGGAGAAUCCUUCUUCAACGGGUUUCAACCGAAGAUAGGAUUUCUUUGCUUAGUGGGAUUUUGGUUAUACCUCUGAAAACCUACAGAGAAUAUGGAGUAUCUUUUACUUCAUUGUGAAUUUGCACAUUCGGUAGACUGUUUUGCUAGUAGCUCUUGGAAACGUAACUACCAUCCUCAGUUACUCAGUAUUUGGUGGCAAUGUUAGCAGCAACCUUCUAGAGCAAUUUACAACAUAUACCAGUUAUGGCUCUAAUAAUCGAGGAAAUACACGAAAAUGGCUCUUCCACUGUAGCAAAAUUUGACAUUGGCCUUUGAGCCAUUAAAUAAAUUAAAGAAAAAACAAAUUAAGUUAAAAAAAAAAAAACUUCACAGUAAAAGGCGAUUUUACCCUUCAAACUGUUUGAAAAAUUCUGUCUAACCGACCGACAAAAAAGAAACCGAUGCACAGUCGCCAAAAAUUUGACCAAUCAACCACCGGCAACUACACCAACGUUACAGUCAACGACCUUCAUCUACACUGGAAAUAAAAUAACCGGUUAGUUUUCAUGAUGACUUUUUGUUUCAGUAGAAAAUUUAUUGAAUAAGUAAAUUUAGCAUUUUCCUUACAUUAUUCAGUUUAAUUAGAUCCAUGGGCAUGAGUAGUUAGAUUGUGGGCAUGCUGGGAGUAUGAAAAAUGUGAAUUUUUUUGCAAUUUUUGGAGUUCUGUCACCGGCAAUGGCGAUUUCCAGCUUCAUCGACUGUUAACAAUCGAUUCACCCUACUGUUAACAGUUUGGGCCGACUGACUAUUAACAGUCUUGGUCGACUGUUAACAGUCGGCCCAGAUUGUUAACAGUCGGGCCAACUGUAAACAGUCGACCCAUGACUUGUACAGUCGGCCCAGACUGUUUAACAGUCUACUUUAUUUUGUAAAAAAUAUAUAUAUAUAUAUUUAAUUUUUAUUUAUUUUUUAUAAUUUUUGUAAUUAAUUAAAUUUCUUAUUUGAUUAAAUAGUAAUUAUGUUAUUUAUUUAUUUAAUUUUUAUCAUUGUCAAUAUAAUAUAGUAAUUGAAAUAUUGUAAAAUUAACAAUAUUGAUCCUUUUUUUUUAUAAAAUAAUCUUUAAUUUAUUUUUUUCAAAUUUAUUUAAAUAAUAUAAAUAGUGUCAUUUUUUGAAAAUGUAAAUUAAUUAUUCAUUAAUUUCUAUAAUUGUCUUUUAUAUAAUUUAAUAAUUGAAAUAUUCUAAAAUUAACAAUUUUGUGCUGUUCCAUUUUUUUAUGAAAUUAUCUUUAAUUUAUUUUUUCAAAUUUAUUUAAAUAAUAUAAAUAGUCUUUACUUUUUUUGAAAAUGUAAAGUAAUUAUUUAUUUAAUUUUUAUAUUUGUCUUUUAUAUAAUUUAAUAAUUGAAAUAUUCUAAAAUUAACAAUUUUGUGUUGUCCCUUUUUUUUAUGAAAUAAUCUUUAAUUUAUUUUUUCAAAUUUAUUUAAAUAAUAUAAAUAGUCUUUACAUUUUUUGAAAAUGUAAAGUAAUUAUUUAUUUAAUUUUUAUAUUUGUCUUUUAUAUAAUUUAAUAAUUGAAAUAUUCUAAAAUUAACAAUUUUGUGUUGUUCCUUUUUUUUUNNNNNNNNNNNNNNNNNNNNNNNNUGAAAAUGUAAAUUAAUUAUUUAUUUAAUUUUUAUAUUUGUCUUUUAUAUAAUUUAAUAAUUGAAAUAUUCUAAAAUUAACAAUUUUGUAUUGUUCCUUUUUUUUUUUUAUGAAAUAAUCUUUAAUUUAUUUUUUCAAAUUUAUUUAAAUAAUAUAAAUAGUCUUUACAUUUUUUUGAAAAUGUAAAGUAAUUAUUUAUUUAAUUUUUAUAUUUGUCUUUUAUAUAAUUUAAUAAUUGAAAUAUUCUAAAAUUAACAAUUUUGUGUUGUUCCUUUUUUUUUAUGAAAUAAUCUUUAAUUUAUUUUUUCAAAUUUAUUUAAAUAAUAUAAAUAGUCUUUACAUUUUUCGAAAAUGUAAAGUAAUUAUUUAUUUAAUUUUUAUAUUUAUCUUUUAUAUAAUUUAAUAAUUGAAAUAUUCUAAAAUUAACAAUUUUGUGUUGUUCCUUUUUUUUAUGAAAUAAUCUUUAAUUUAUUUUUUCAAAUUUAUUUAAAUAAUAUAAAUAGUCUUUACAUUUUUUGAAAAUGUAAAGUAAUUAUUUAUUUGAUUUUUAUAUUUGUUUUUUUAUAUAAUUUAAUAAUUGAAAUAUUCUAAAAUUAACAAUUUUGUGUUGUUCCUUUUUCUUUAUGAAAUAAUCUUUAAUUUAUUUUUUCAAAUUUAUUUAAAUAAUAUUAAUAGUCUUUACAUUUUUUGAAAAUGUAAAGUAAUUAUUUAUUUAAUUUUUAUAUUUGUCUUUUAUAUAAUUUAAUAAUUGAAAUAUUCUAAAAUUAACAAUUUUGUGUAGUUCCUUUUUUUAUGAAAUAAUCUUUAAUUUAUUUUUUCAAAUUUAUUUAAAUAAUAUAAAUAGUCUUUACAUUUUUCGAAAAUGUAUUUAAUUUGAAAUUUUUUGUUUGUAAAUAUAUUUUCCAAAUAAUAAUUUUUUUAUUUAAUUAUUUAAUUUUUAUAAUUGCCUUUUUUAUAUAGUUUAAUAAUUGAAUACAUAAUAUUGUUCGAAAUUAACAAUUUGUUUUGUUCCUUUUAUUGUUCUUUUAUGAAAAUCUUUGAUUUUUUUUUCAAUUUAUUUAAAUAAUAUUUAUAUUCUUUAAUUUUUUUGACAAUACAUUUAAUUUGAUUUGUUGUUUUUUGUAAAUAUAUUUUUCAAAUGUAAUAUUUGUGAUUGUAUGGUAGUUAGAGUUUGGUUCCCUUGAUUUUGUGAGAUUAUGCUUUCUUUUGUUAUCUCUUGUUCAAUGCUAUAACAUUUGAAUUUUUACAGGAUGGAGUAUCAUUUAGAUGCAGAGUUGAGAUGGAUGGCAGGGAAAGCUACUUGGAACAGUAGUUUUGAGAGUUUUACUGCUGUGUUGGAGCUGCUCGAUGAUCAGCACGGAGAUACGCUACGACAGUCCUUCUUGUGGCCACUGUACCAGUUGCGAGAGGUGCAGUACUCAGGACAUAUCAUUGAUGCACUUCUAUGUCGGCUUCUGAGGCCAGUCGACGGCGAUUCCCUCCAGUUCGACCUCGGGGGCAAGGUCGUCAGUUUCUCGAUGUUUGAGUUUACAUUGAUCACUGGACUGAGGAUUAUGGGCAACGAUGCAGCCAUGGAGAGAAGCAAUAGGCUGUACGAGACGUACUUCCAGGGACAUAGGUCAGUGCUUCUACCCGACUUGAUGGUCGCGAUCAGGGGGUGCGACCAUAUCAUUGAAGCUUGGGCUGGUCUACAUCCUCGAGAGUGUGAUGAUGUGUCAUCACAAGAAGACUGCCAUCGACAUUUUUCAUUUGCAAGUUGUUGAAGACAUCGAUGCGUUCAACAACUAUCCAUGGGGUCGAAGAUGCUACGAAGACACCGUACAUGUGUUCACCAAAUGGCACUUGAGGCCCAGGUGGUUGAUGCGUAAAUACGAUACAUAUGGAUUGCCCUUAGCGGUGCAGGUAAAUGUUUAAUAUAAUCAAAGUUAAAGUUUUAGUGUAUUACAUUGAUGCUUAAUAAGUGUAUGUGUUACAGAUUUGGGUGUAUGAGACAGUUCCUGUACUGGGGGCCCACUUUGCGCAGCGAUGGGAGACACGCUGCCCUCGGAUGCAUCAUUGGAGAUCAUCGUGAGCCGAGGGAUGUCCCACUGGGAAGCAGUUAUCGGCCCUUCUCGACGAUCCUCAGGUAAGUAUUAUGCAUUUGUGAUUUAUAUUAUACGUAGUUUAAAAUUUUGUUUACAUGAUCUUUAAGUAGUUGAAAUGUCAAUAUGUCAGCUUGAAGUCAUACCUGAGUUGACGCCGUCGAUGGAAGAGGAGGGUCGGGGUCUUGUGCGGGAUUUAGGCGUUUCGCACACCCCAGACGAGGAGAUGUCUGAUUCGAGCUUGGACCGAGAUUGGGUAUGUGAAUGAAAUAUAAUUUAUUGAAUAUCGUCGACGUAUAAAUUUAUUGAAUAAUUUUUAAUUUUAUUUAUGUAGGAGGACGGUCCAGCUGAUCGACGAUCACCUCUGCCGAGGGUAUCGCCGCCACCAUUGGCAUCACCUCCGCCGGGAGUAUCAUCUCUGCCAUUGGCAUCACCUUCGUCGAGGGCAUCACCUUCCCUAGUGGCAUCACCUCCGCUGGGGCUAUCACCUCCGCCAUUGGCAUUACCUCCGUCCAGACACCUCCCCCGUGUGUUUCCGGGGCACAGUGAUGAUUUGUAUGCCUGUUUGACUGGAUUUAUAGUGGAGGAAGUCGGCGCGCUACGACGAGAUUUGACAGAGAGGGUCGAUGAUCUGGGACGAGAGUUGACAGGAAGGGUCGACCAUCUGGUAGGAAAUGUCAACUAUCUGACAGGGAGGGUCGACGAUAUGGGACGAGAGUUGACAAAGAGGGUUGACGAUCUAUCCCAUGAUGUUGGAAUACUAUAGUCUUCCGUUGUCAACCUUCGGGAUACAGUAACGACACUUAGAGGAGAUUUAGACGGCAGACGAGGGGGGGACAGAGGGGAUGGCGGAGAUCAUGAUCGAGAGAGUGCCAUAGAUGGUGAUGGAGAGGAGAGUCACCCACAUUUUUGGAGUGAUGAGACAUUGGAGUCAUUGUGGUUGUCUAUGGAGGGAGUGGCCCCGAUGGGGAUAGAAGAGAGGACUACGGAAGGGGUGGCCCCGACGGGAGGGGCGGAGGAGGUGGUGACGGAGGGGGAGGCCCCGACAGGAGGGGCGAAGGUGGUGGCGAUGGAGGGGGAGGCGCCGAUGGAAGGGACAGAGGAGGUGGCCCCAAAGGUCGAGAGGACGCCCGGCGUGAUUGAGGGUAAGAGACAUGCUGUUGACGAGACGGAGCAGGUGGUCGGCAAGAGGUUGAGAGUGCCGUCACAGUAUGUUGUUUCCCCUUUCACGGCUGAGGCCAAGAGGAGGACGUUCAUCGAUGGGACGUACCCGAACUUAUUCAGAGAGGUGGACAAUGCCAAGUGGAAAGUGUUCGAGACAGAAUGGAGGAGAAUUAUCCCCGGGUAAGUAUUGUAUGAUUUUAAUAAAGCACUAUACGCUAACUCGUCUACGCUUAUUUUAACAUUUCCCUAUUUUUUACAGAGUUAGCCGCACGAUAGGUCAAAGGACGGUCUCGGACCCUUACAAGUGGUUCCACGAUAUCACCACUGCGGGAGCUUGGCUCGCUGACGAUGUAAGUGAACUAUUCAUUUCGUAUUUUUUAUGUAUAUGUGACCUUGUGUUUAUUAAAUGAAUAACUCAUACUUUUUUGGUGUUUCCUGCUGCAGCACAUCGACCUGGCCAUGGAUUUCCUGUGAGAUCGAGCUCAAAGACAUCCAAAAUCAUUUGAUGUCCAUGGUAGAGUCAUAUUAAACACCGAGUUCCUGCGUACCGUUACCAUAGAGUAUCAAUCGCUCAAACUUAUGGGUAACGAGUACACGGUGCCAGAAUAUAUGCUCGAGUGGGUGAUAGGACUGUCACCGAGUGUCGGGGGAAAAUCAUGGGAGGGUUGUACAUUCCAACGUGCAUCAAUAAACACUAUGUUACGCUGGAGAUCGUUUUUGCUUACUCGACUAUAUAUGUGUACAACCCAGAUCAUUCAUGUUUGACACAAGGCCAGUUGGAGCAAAACCUGGAGUCCGUGGUUGUAAUUGUUCCUAUGAUGGUCAGACGAAUGGGGAUAAAUGUACAGGACAGAUUGCAGCUCGUUCAGAACACGACGACAGCACGACAGUUCGUAAGGUAAGUGUUUGAACUUUGUUGUUUUCAUCUUUCAGAUUUAGUUUUUAUUUACACAGUACUGAACUGAUUCAUUCUUGUUCAAUUGCAGCGGCAACUGCGGCAUAUUUGUCAUUAAGUACGUUGAAUUAAGUAUAGGACAUAAGGUUGAUGGAAUCAACUAGCCGUGGAUACAGAACUGGAGAAAGAAGCUAGUAUGUGAUUUGUUCGAAUUUAAUGCUGACCCAUAAAUUUCAUUUAUAUAUAUGUAACAUUUCAAUUGUAAAUUUCAUUAUUUUUGUAAUUAUGAAAUAAUUGUAAAUUUGUGUUCAAUGUAUAUAACAUUCAAAUUGAAAAUUUAAUUAUUUUUUGUUAUUUUACACGUAUUGCGAGUAUGGAACUAUUUUUUUCAUAUGAAUCAUUAUAAAUACCAUUUAUCAAGAAUAAAUAUUGAAUAUUGAAGAUUUAUAAAGAACAAAUAUUGAACAGUGUAAAGUAAAAGGAAAUAUUAUUCAUUUCAUGUACCUGUCUAGUCGUCAUUUAGGGGAAUUUCACUGGUACAAAAUUGUCGAGUAUGCCCUACGGCUCUGCACCGGCCAUACCUACGCGAUCGAGAAAACUCUCCGGUAGAUGGUAUUCUAGAUAUACUUGGACGUCCAGGACCACGCGGUUCAACUGCUGGUGGUAACAAAUUAUGAAAUGUGAGAAUGUGCUCGGGAACUUCCCAUUCGGCUUCAUUCGGCAGAGAAAAUAUAGUCUCGGCAUAUGCUGUUCUCCAAGACUCGGUCGUAUAAUACAAAGAGCAUAACGUUCUCGCAGCAAAGCCUCGAUACAUGGCCACCGCAACUGCAUGCUCACAUGGAAAACUCUCCAAUUGAAAUCUCGUACAAGUGCAUGUGUUAUCAGUCAAGUCCACCAUUUAUGCCGUAUUACGUGCACAUUGCACAAAGAAGCGAAACUCAUCUAGUGUUUCCACAUUCAACUUCCUCGCAACCUCUGCCGCCUUAAACAGUUUCUCCUCUUGAGCUGGGGCCAACACACUAGUGCAGCUCUGUGAUGCCGCACGUCGAUCAUAAAACCACUGUUGUAACUUGUUACGAAUGUUCUCAAUCAUUGCAAGAAUUGGUAACUCUCAAUCCUUCUUAAACAAUGCAUUAAGAGACUCCGCGUUAUUCGACGUCAUCAUGUUGUAUCGACAUCCUGGAAAGUAUGACCGUGCCCAAUGUUCGAUCCCCAUCUUUGUCAGAUACUCCAACGCCGGUAAUGAUUUACUUCCUAUCUCGAACAUGAACUUAUUACACUCUUCAGCACUGUAAGCUUCGGCUGCUCUCCUGAACAAUGAAACGAUGCCUGUGCCCCGAUACCUAGUCUUCAAAUUACUUGUAUAUGGUACAUGCAAUACCCAUGAUGUGCCUCGGGAAAAACUUCAGCGAUACCAUUUAUUAUAGACUGUCCCCGAUCGGUUACAAAGGUAAGGUCUUCGACUUCCCCGAUCACUUCCCUCAGUUUAGAAAAGAACCAACGCAUGGACAGAUCAUUCUCGCUGUCGACUAUGCCGAAUGCAAUAGGGUAAAUUUGGAUGUUGGCAUCUUGACAUGUUGCAAUAAUUAAUUUGCCUUGAUAUUUAGCUUUCAGAGUUGUACUAUCAACUAGAAUUAUGGGUCGCAUUGCAUUUCGAAAACCCCGAAUACAUUGUUCAAGAGCCAUGAAGAAAUACUUAAAACAAUUAUCGUCCCCCGUCUCAAUAAAAAAUGUCGUGGCAGGAUUAGUUGUCCCCAUGUUAUGGCAAUACCUAACCAAUUUAGCAUAGCUCUCUUCAGCCAAUCCCAUUAAAUCCUCCAACGCACAUUCUUUGGCCUUCCACUCUUUCUGGUAGCUCAUGACCACUCCGUACUCUCGACGGACAUCGUUAAUGUGUUCGAAGGCCUGUAGAUUGCCCGUGGAUCCUGAUACUUGUGCAUUAUCAUCGACCAAUAAACCAUACUCGAGUUUGCCUGUGAUCGUUUCGAAGAAUUCCCACUUCACAAGUAUGUUCCCGUGAAUACUUGCGAAUUACGAAACACUCAUUCAUGUCCAUCUUAGUUGCUCUCAAGCGCCAAUUGCAACUAUUUUCGACGCAAGCAACUAUCAACAAUGACUUGUUUGAUUUCUUUACCUUGAACUCAAAGUUAUAUUUUAAUGUCAGCCGGUGCACAGCUUCCUACAAAUCUUUCUUAGUUUCAAAUAGUUGCUCGACCUGCAAGUCCUCAUCAUCAGGAGCCACAUGGAAAGAAUUGGAGGACGGUCCACUUGUUCCAACCUGUGAGCUCCCACCCGGCUCGUGUCUCUGUCGGGAUAAAGCAAUCAAAUUCUCAUUUGUAAACUCGUUUAUAUUCUCAUUGUCUUCAACUGUCGACGGAAUUCUACGCGUAACAGCGACAUCACGAUCAGAAGCAACUGUCUCAAGAAUACCCACAUCAUUCGUAGGAACUAUCUCCACUGUCUCCCAAAAAGCUCGAUCAUUGUUAUCCGCCCUAUCUGAAUCUUCGCGUUCACCUUCGAUAAUAUCCUUCGUAAUUAAAGUCACACCAAGAACAGUCGGAGUCCGAUGCAUUUGAUUCAAUUCUAAUAGAUAAUUCAAUUCAGCAUCAUUAGUAACGAAUACCGGUGGCAUCGAAAUGGAUGAAUCCCCAUAAUCGUUGAAUAGAUAUCUCAAUUGCAUAUCGUAUUGAGAUUGAUCGACAUUCAGCUUAUUUUGUAAAUCGUGGUAUAUUUCUAAGUAUGGUGUACUCUUUGUUAUGGGAAUUGCAAUACAACCACGUAUGUCACUCGUCCAUCUCCAUUCCCACCGAUUAUUUUCAUUCAAUUCGAAAUCACCGAAAUAACAGAUAGGGAUUAUCAUAUCUGCAUGAGGAAAUGGUUUUAAUCAACUUCAUUUAUUAAUUAUAAGAAAAAAUUAGUGCCAACAAAAAUCAGUGCAGAGUCGGUUAAUUGGCUGUUUCCGACUGUUUGGCUGUUAACAGCCAAAAUAGCCAGUUUGGCUGCUUUGGCGCAGGAGAAUACGGUUCUAAAGAAAAAUAUUAUACAUCUGUUCAAUUUUUUUUGAUAGUUCAAUUUUUUUUGAUAGGUAAGAUCUGUUAAAAAAAAUUUAUGCUAACUACUAUGCCGACAUAAAAUUUCUCUAUUCAAACAUAUACUAAUUUACUGAAAACGAAAUUAAACAUGCAUAAAUGUACUUACCGAUUUGAAGUAAUUGAUAUGAAAAAAAUUUUCGGCUUCAACAUUUCAAAGUUUUUCUAGAUUUUGAGGUUCAAACAGAUGAAAAGAUGAGAGUUUUUCCUGUGUUGGAAGCUUGUUUUGAAGUUUUUAUAAGUGAGGAAGUGUUUGAUUUUCAAUUAUUAACUAAAAGGGUAGUAUAGUCCUUUCAACAAUAUAUUGUUUUGUAAUUGUACAAAACAUUUAAGGGCAUCUUUGUCUUUUACCAUACAAGAGGCCAAUGUCAUAAUAUUCAUGAUUUUGAAAGUCAAAGUGGAAUUUAGGUCCUUUGACUGGGUCAAACUUAAAAGUACCCCCUAAUAAUCGGCUACAGUUGAUGAUAGAGAUACGAUCUUAUGUCUCUUUGUCUGCCAGGAUAUUAAAGAAGAUCUCACAAAACACAUAACCCGUGGUGGAUUUACGAGAAGUUGGACAACCUGCCUAACGGAUUGUAAAGAUAAAUCAUUUUGAGAAGGGAAAAAAACCCUAUCCUGCGUUACUUUUUAAAUAACUCGGUACACGCAUGGCAACUUCCGUAUGUGGUAUGCGUGGUGUAUGCAUAGCACAUGUACCGAAUAAGUAAUAUCAAGUCAAGUAAACAUCAAAUAAAUUACGUGACCAAAAAGCCACCUAUAUUGAGAUGGAUCUCUAAGAAAUUUAUCUUUAUCCGAGAAGCUUUAUGUUUUGCUCCAUUGGAUAGUUCAUGGGUUUAGCUCUCAAUAAUCCACCAUCCUUUAGAAUUUUCAAAGUAUAAUUUCUAUGUAAGAUGGAAACACCUUUCUUUGAUCGAGAGACUUCAAUGCCCAAAAUAUAUUUUAAAUCACCCAAAUCUUUAAUUCGAGAAUGAUUAUGGAGAAAUUACUUAAGAAAAGAUAUGGCAUUGAGAUCAUUACUCGUAAUGAGACUGUCAUCAACAUAUAUCAAUAAACUUUUAAGGAUUUGCCUUUUUGACAUGUGAACAUAAUUUGCUUUGGAUUGAACAAAUCCAAUAGUUUUAACAGAUGUAGAGAACUUAGCAAACCAAUAACAAGAGGCAUACUUUAAGUAUAACGGUUUGUUGAGGUGACACACUAUGUUCUCCCCUUGUCAUUGAAAAUUGGGUGGUGGAGACAUAAAUUUCUUCAUGGAGAUCAAUGUGAAGAAAAGCAUUGCAGACAUCAAGUUGGUAAAGAGACCAAUUUUGGGCAACUACCAAAGCUAAUAAGCAAUGAUUAAUAAUCAUUUUAGCAGUGGGAAAAAAGUCAUGAUAAUCGAUACCAUCAAGUUGUGUGUAAUCUUUUGCAACUAAAUGUGCUUUGUAACACUCAAGAGUACCAUCUGAGUUCCACUUUGUUUUAUCAACCCAACGAUAAUCAAUAGGCUUGUCCUCAAGAGGUAGAGAAGAAACCAAGAGUAGUUGGCUUCUAAAUCAGCCAAUUCAGAUUGCAUUGCUUCUUUCCAGUAGGGAUGAGAAACUGCUUCUACAAUAGAGGUGUGCUCAAUAUCCUAACUGGUCAUAGCAAUAAAGAAGCGAAGUUCUGGUGAGAAACGAUAAUACAAGAGAAAUUACAAAGAGGAUACCAUACCUUGUGGUAGACAACAUGAUAAAGCGGGAAUAAUUUGGGAGACGUCACUUGGUUGCAAACAAAAUUGCAUAAGGCCAUGAAGGAGCAUGAAGUCUUUAGGAAUACUGCAAGGCUGAUAUUUUUAGACACUUCUUCAAACUUAUUGUCGAUAAUAAGUAGCAGUCAAAAAUUUGUAUCGACAGUGGGAGGAAUAGGGUCCAAACUGGAUACUGGUAUUGAUAGCAGUGGUGUUAAUUGAACACUUAAAAGUGGAUCUAAAGAGGAAGAAUCGGAAACAACAACAUAAAUUACAUAUGCUUAAUUUCUUAAAAAGCUAGGAGUAGUAAGAAACCUAGUGUUUCUCAAUUAUGUAUUGUGGUAGUAUUGUCUAUAUUCAUGUGCCAGAUGAGAAGAGAUCAAAGCUUGAUGAGAAAAGUUGGAAAUUUGUCAUUGUUCACCAUGAUUCUAGCUCCAAAGGCUACAAGUUUUACAAUCCUUACAAUGGGAAGAUUGUUAUUAGUAGGAAUACGGAAUUCAACGAAGGAAUCUCGUGGGAUUGGAAUGUCUAGAAAAUGAAGAAUUAUGUGAUUUUUCUUUUCCAAGAAAGAGACUCUAGACAAGAAGUGAAGAUGCUACUCAAUCACCUACUCCUUAAUCUUCUCAUAACAGUCCCUUCGAAGGAUCGGACCGUAUUAGAAAUCUAGCAGAGAUUUACGUAAAAACUGAAAAGGUUGAUAAUCCAUCUUCCUUUGGUCUCUUCACUGACACCGAGCCAUUGAACUUUUAAGAGGCAAUGAAAGAGAAGAAAUGAGGCAUGCAAUAGAUGAAGAGAUUUGAGCAAUGGUACAAGGGAGCUAACGUCUCUUCCUAAAGGACAAAAAGUAAUUGGCAUGAAAUGGGUGUACAAAGUGAAGAAAAAUGCUCGAAGAGAAGUGGUUGCCAGAGGUAAUAUCCAAAAGCAUGGCCUUGACUAUGAUGAGGUCUUUGCCCAAUUGCUCACUUGAAAACCAUUCAGUUAAUCAUUUCUUGGCAGCUCAAAUUAAGUGGAAAACUUAUCAAAUAGAAUACAAGUCUGCUUUCUUGAAUGGCUACCUUGAAGAAAAAGUGUAUUUUCAACCACCUUUGGAUUAUGUCAUUAGGGAAUAUGAAGAUAAAGUCUUGAAGUUGAAGAAGGCACUAUAUAGCUUGAAGCAAGUGCCUAAAGCAUGUUAUAGCCAGAUUGACAAUUAUUUUGAAGAUCAUUGUUCACCAACUCUUUCUGUAAAAAAAAAAAAAAGAUACAUAUGGAGGUUUUAUGAUUGUGUUCUUCUACAUUGAGGACUUGAUCUUCACCAGAAACAAUAAAAAAAUGUUUAAAGAAUUUAAGAAGAUGAUGGCUCAAGAAUUUGAGAUGAUUGAUAUUGGGCUCAUGUCCUACUACAAUGGGAUUAAGAUAAAACAAAAUGAAAAUGGCAUUUUCAUUUCUCAAGAAACUUAAAAUUGAAAUCCAGUUAGUACUUCCAUUGGGUGUGGAACAAAAAUGUCAAACUAUGACAAGAUGAUGAAAGUAGAUCCAUCUCUCUAUAGACAGCUUGUUGGAAGCUUGAGAUAUUUAACUUGUACAAGACCCAAUAUUCUUUGUGGUGUUGGUCUUGUUAGUCAUUAUAUGGAGGUACCAACUUUAACAUGUAUGGAGAUUGCUAAAAUGAUACUUAAUCAAAAGUACCCUUGAUUAUGACUUAAACUUAUUCUCCUUUUUCAAAUUAAGGCUUUAUGGUUAUAGUAAUAGUGAUUGGGCUAGUAAUAUAAUGAUCAAAAAAGCCUUACUAGAUUUUCAUUUUUUUAUGGAUAACACCUCUUUUACUUAGUGUUCAAAGAAGCAGCCCAUUGUGACUCUUUCUACUUGUGAACCUAAAUAUGUUUCCUUUGCAUCAUGUGUUUGUCAUGCCAUUUGGCUAUCAAAGAUGUUUAAGUUGCUUCAUAUGCCUCAAAACGAAGCUAUAUAAAUUUAUGUUGAUAAUAGUUACGUCUCAUCACAAGUGGCUCCAAGUAGCCAACCCAGCCCAUCUAAGAUAAGGCAUGUGGCUUGGUGGUCGAGGCCCUAUGUGUCGAUGCCUCAACCUAAUCUCAACAUCUCCGAGCCUGAGGUGCACUAGCGGAGUCGAGGCGGUAGGCCCAUGAACCAAGGCUACGCUUUCGAAGCGCUCUCAUUAUCACUUUCUCCAAGAGAUCUAUUCCUUCACAAGUAUCUUUUUCGAAUCAUUGAUGUGACGUUUAUCACAGAGUUUAAGUGUCAAGUCUUAUCAAUCAAAGUGACGGUUCUGCCACUUAAUAAAUGUAAAGUGGGCUAAUAGGUCAAAGGUGAUGCCUAGGAGUAGAAAUGUGGAUUGUGGAGAUGAGGCCACGUGUAUUCACACCCGAGGGCCCCAAUUCACCUCGCACUAUUAUAAAUAUUUCCCCAUGUCCCCAUUGUAAGACUAAUGCAAUUUCACAUACAAAACUCAAUACCAGAAUAAAUACAAAACAAUUCAUCCCAUUUUACUCUCUUGCGAAUACAAUUAAGUUUGCAUAAUGGUCAUCAAUCAUGAUUGGUAAUUAUUGUAAAUCGUUUUACAAAUGUAUCGCCAGAUUCCGAAUGUUGUCGUCCCACACCUUUUAGCUGCUCCCACGUCCCUUUUUAGACCAUUCUAGACCCUUUGUAUGUCUUAACGUAUUGAACUUUUACUUAUAUGUGCGCAGGUGGGUCCGAUAUCUGUUGUCCACUUGGCCAUAACCAAAAACGAGGUCAACAAUAACAAGUUAGCUAUUGCUGUUAGGUAAUAAUCUCAUAUUCCAUGAUCGAAGCAAUCAUAUAUAUACAAUAUUUCUCUUAAUUAGAAAGUACAUUGAGAUUAAGGAAUUUUAGAGCUUUCUCAUAUAAAGACCAUUGAUCAAGUAGUAGACAUUUUUAUUAAGCCAUUGAAGAAUGAUGAUUUUGCAAGAUUGCGUGCUUAGAUUGGAGUUACCAAAAGGGAAUCAAUUUAGGAAGGGGUGUUGGAAAUAUAAACUUGACUCAUGAGUGUGGGAAAUUAAAUUUGAUUCAUAAAUUAGUUUGUUUAAUAUUUAAUUCAUGGUUUAGUUUAUUUAAUAUUUAUGUAUUUAUUUUAUACAUGUAUCCACAUGGUUCUUUUUGUCCUACUAUUCAUAGUAUAUAUGAGAAGUCAUUAAUUAGCCUACUGAAUUUAUACAAUAUAUUCGAGACUCCUUAUACCUAUAAAAGGCCUUGUGACAUGCCCCACUAGUGGACCCGGAACGUGAUGUAUGUAAAUGAUAGAUACCAACUAACAGUCGGACCCUCCAUCAAAGGUACUAUAAUAUGCAACUUUUAUAAAUUAUUUUUAAUGGAAUUUAGACAUUAUUUCCAAAUAAAUAGGAUUACCGACUUGUAAUCCACUAUACACAAAUCCUAAAACAUAACACAGCACAAUAAGGAUAAGCCGAAAUCUUAAUUUUUACAAUGAAAAGAAAAUGAAAUGUACAUAUGGAUGCAAAUUACAUAGUGACCUUAUAACUAUCUACAAGUAAUGCGAAAUCACAUCUAAAAAUGGACAUGUGUCCCAAAGUACUGACCACAUACUCUAUGAAAUGAGUCAUACAACAAACUUUAUCAUGUAGCUCUGACUCCAAAAGCAAAGGCUCAACUCCAAAAAAUACUCAAAGACUCAACUUCUACAUGAUAAGAAAAAUCGUGGGAGAAUAUGUUAGUUGAUAGCUCAGUGAAUGAAGAAAUUCAAAAAUAAUUAUAGUUUCUUAAUUAUAUAUUUUUAUCGAAAAUUGAGUUUACAUCAUCUAACAGUUUACAGUAUAAUAAUAAUAAUAAUAAUAAUAAUAAUAAUAAUAAUAAUAAUAAUAAUAUUAUUAUUAUUAUUAUUAUUAUUAUUAUUAUUAUUAUUAUUAUUAAAGAUGCGAGAUACCUUAUAAAACUAAAAAAAAUAUCAUCUCAUUAUCAUGAUAUAAUCAUCAACUGAAAUCUGUACAAUCAUCUCAUCUCAUCAAAUAUACUAGAAAAUUCACCAAAAUGUACCCUCUAAUUGAAAUUUGUAAUCUAAUUAUACGCGUGUAGACUGUUCCUCAGGCUAAUCACUCCCGACACGUACCUCAGGCUCCUCAGUGAACAGGGAUAUUAAAGACCUCUCAUAAUCAAUUCUAAAAUACAAUCAAGGUCGCUCAGUGAACUAUAUAUACAUGGUCAAGACCCCUUCACCACAGUCAAGACCCCUCAGUGUAAUAUAAAACAUGGCUUAGGCCCUUCAGUGAGCUAGAACAAGUAUAUAAUCAUGGGUACUUUUCUAGUUGAUCUCAAUAUUACAUACGUAAUAUAAUCCAAUUUACAAAUGUACCAUGUACAAUCUUGAAAUUUCACAUGCAUCAUAAUAAAAUAAGCUUUCCAUAAUAAUCACAUAAUUGUACCUAAUUGCACAUAAUGUAAUAGUAUAAUUAAUUUAUCAAUAUUUGAAAAUAUUUAAGUUUUUCCACUCACAGAAAUAUGUAAGCAAAAUCAACUCGACUGGUAAGCUGUCCUAAUAUUCGUAUUACUACCUGAAAUAUGAUAUAAUUUUUAGAUUAACAAUUAACUAUUUUAAGAAAUUCUAAUAAUUAUAUAGACGAUAUCAAAACUUAAUAUUUUCAUGUUUAAGUGAUUUUUAAAGUUUCUUUAAUUACUUAAGCUAAUUUUUAUUUCAUUUCUGACAUAUUAUACUUAAUUCAAUAAUUUUUCUUCUUUAAAAUUGAAUUUAAACUAACAAUUUGACAACCCUAAAAUUUAAAAUAACUUUCCAAUAAGUAACUUUUUACUUACCUUUCCAAACUGAAGAAUUCAAGUUUAAUAGUAAAAAUUACUUAUUUUCUAAUCACGUUGGCAACUUUUCUAUUUUUCUCUUCUUCCUCAUUUUUCCCCUCUUUAUUCUUUCUUUUCCUCUCUACCUCGUUUCUCUCUUUCUGUGUGGUGUGUGUGGAAAUGGAUUUAUAGGCAUGUGAAUUAAUCAAUCCAAUUCACUGCCUUACUCCCCUUUUUUAAAAUUCUAUUUCUUUUUUUUCUUUUUUUUUUUUGUUGGCUUGACAUUUUUUGCUUUUUUUUUUCUUUUUUUAAAGUAAGGUAUUACACUAUGUGCUUGAGAUAUUUGAUACAACCAAGCCAAAGAGUGCAAGUAUCACUUAAGAAAUUCUUGUGUUUUCUCUCUAGCUUUCCUCCCAUAAUUGUUUAUUUUUCAACAUCAUUUUGCUAAAAGAAAUCCUGCAUGGAAACAAAAUUUCCCUUCAAUGUCAACCUGAAUCUUAGCUAUAGAAGCAUUGAAUAGUGUUUGAACAAAAUAGAAAAAAUUAGCAAGUAAAUGUUGUGUUUCACUCUUAUGAUGCAUGAAAAAAGAACAUGUGAAUUGAUAAUAGUCAUUCACACACACACACACACACAUAUAUGACCAGAAAGAGGGAAAAUCUUGUAAGGACACCAAAUAUCAAAAUAGAUUAAUUCAAAAGGUUUCAUUAAUAAAAUUGAACUAGAAGCUUUGAAUAGUGUUUGGACAAAAUAGAAAAAAUUGGCAAGUAAAUGUUGUGUUUCACUUUUAUGAUGCGUCAAAAAAGAACGUGUAAAUUGAGAAUAGUCAUCCACAAUAGUCAAUAUAUAUUAAUUCAAAAGGUUUAAUUAAUAAAAUUGAACUUGAUGAAAAGGAAGUUGAGUCUAUUUUGCGAGUGCUCAAACAUCAUAUGCAGUUUGGAAAUAAGAAUAAUUUAGUUUUUUUUUUCCAUAAAAUAUAAUCUAAAGAACGAUAAAUACCCCAAUCGGCUAUGCUAUAAGUGUGUGGAAGAGUUUGAGGAGGUGGUGAUCGGAGAAUAGGAUGAAUGAGUAUCAAUGGUUGCUAUAGAUUGUAUUUUAUGUUUUUGGUUUCUCCGUUGCCAUUGUACCAAGCACCAUCUCAUUGUUUACCAAAAUCAAAUUUUGUCUUCAUCAUCAAGUCCUGCAAAAUACACCGAGGGAAGAAGGUUACCAAACAAUUGAGAUCUCUUGUAAUUCAACUCAUAAACAUUAGAUCAACCUUAUAGGAUGCCACAGCAAACAUAUUUUCUAAAGAAAUAAUUAAAUUUGAAGGUAAAUUUCUAGUAGAUAUAAUCAGAACUGAUUCUCCACUUGGCAUAAAAUCGGUGGCAAAGUGUUGUUCUCCCUAAUUUUGAAGAGUAAAGUUGGAGAUGAAUUGAUGUGGCCUAUUGUACCUCUAUCAAUGAUCAAAUUGGGUAUUUUGGUCCCAAACAAACCUUAGGAGCUAUGAUGAUUAACGAGUUGAAUAUUAUAUUUCAUAGGCUCCAAGGGAUGAAUAUUUAAAUAAAUAGGCCAUCUCCACAAUUUGGUAGCCCGAUUGAAAAGAUAAACUAAAGACCAUUAAUAAAUGUGGAAAUUAUACCAAACCAUACUUUUAAAGGUUUGUGUUUUAAAAUUAGAUAAAAGGUUUCAUUUUUCACAAAUCAGAUAUUUCAACCCAAACCCUAAUACAUUUACCCAAACCAUAAAAAGCAUUUCUCCUCCUCUCUUUCCUUCUCUCCUUGGUCUCUAUUCUUCUCUCUCUCUCUUCCCCCAUCUGGUACCGAAACCAUCCUGAUCAAUGACGACAAGGCACAAUGGUGCAUUGCUAAGGAAGGGCCGUGAGGCGGUGCUGUUCCCGAAUUUGAAAUGUUGCAUUGAUUUUUUUAGGAGUUUUUUUAUUCGAUCUAUAAUGUAGUAGUUGGCAGUGUUGGUGACAGUUGUGGCGGGUGCUUUGUGUGUGGGAUGUCAUGUGUGAUACGAGCCUUGAUUUUUUUGGGAGUUUUUUUUAUUCGACUUAUUAUGCUAUGGUAUGGUGGCCGGCAGUGGUGGGGUGGUGAUUAUGGCGGGUGCUUGUUGUGUGGGAUGGCAUAGGUUAUGGUAGCCUCGAUUUUUUUGUGGUGGUAGUGGAGAUGAUUAUGGCGGGUGCUUUGUGUGUGGAAUGCGAUUUGGUUGUGGUUGCUGCAGAUCGAAGCUGAAAAAGAUAAUGGGUAGUUGUGGUUGUUGAUGAGUGUGUUUUUGCACACUUAUCUAGGUCAUAAACAUGACUUGAUAACGAGCAAAAUGAUUGAAUUGUGACUUAAUCUCAUACAUUUGUGAAUUGUAGGGAAUAACGAUGAACAUGAUGAAAUUCAGGAGAAAAGACGCGAAAAAGGAGUAAAGUGAUGAAAAGUGAAAGUUCAGGGACCAAAAGUGCAAAUAUCCAAAAGUUGAUCCGAUGAACAAAUCGAGAAAUCGAUUAGGCCAAUUACCAAUUGACGAUAUCGUGGGGUGAUGAAAUGAAAAGAAUGAAGAGAAGAUGCUAAGAAGUGAAGGAUGCAAGUGGGAGGACAAAAACACAUUUCUACCAUAGUUGAUAGUACUAUGCGACCGCAUAGUACUAUCCUCUAUGCGGUCGCAUAGCACCAUACCGAAACCAAAGGAGCUUCAAAAGUUUAUUCUAUGCGACCGCAUAGCCGCAUAGAGCAAAUAUUGAGGAAAAAUUUAGUUUCCUUUUUCUUCCGAAACUCUUAUGGAAACAACAUUUUUAGGGUCCUAUAAAUACAAAAACUCAACAGAACGUGUGGGAUGCCAUUUUUACAUGUUUUGGAGAGAUUUUGAAGGAGAAACGAGGGAUAGAACAAGAGAACAAUAUCGCGUCAAGUGAAGAUCGGAUUGAAGAUUGAUUCGGGUGAUGUCGUUUCUUCAAAAAUUUUAUGUUUUGUUCUUUUUAGCAUGUUAGGCUAGAUUUAUCACUACUAGAAGAUCGAUGAACCUUAUAAUACUACGUUUAAUUGUUGUUUUGGAUUUUUGACAUAUUUGAACACUAAUUUCGGAAUUGAUUGAUUUAUUUCAUUUUUAUUUUCAUAUAAUUAUUGUGCACAUAAUUAUAUAAUUGUGGUGACCUGUUUUAUGCAUUAGAAAGAAGGAAAAUAGGUUCGACAUAGUAUAAAUCAUCAUAGGGUCUGAUAGAGGAUAGAAAUAUACCUCUAUGCCUUGUGUGAAUCAUUGGAUAUUCGUGAAUUUAUAAUGCAUGUCGGUAUAUUAGUAUUCAUCAUAGAAAUAUAGUCGAAUCAUAUAUUAGGAUAGGUUUGGCAUUGCUGGAGAGAGAUUGCUAAAUUAAAAUAAGAAUAUCGAUUCAUCAUUUUUGGAAUUGUGUGUCAAAUUUGCAUAAUUGACAAUUGAAUGGGGAUUGCUUGGGGAUUCGUGAUCCUAGUGUGUUAGAACAUCCAUUAAUUCUAUAAAAUUCUAGUUAAAUUGCAUCCAAGUUAUUUUGAAUUUAGUAUAAUUCUUCAUCCAUAAUUGCAUCAACGAUUACAUUUUAUUAGUUAAAGUACAAAAUCGCAAUUUGGUUGUCGUGUUUUGGUUAAGGUCAUAUUAGAUUAAUUCGAACUAAUUCAAUCCUCGUUAGAUCGAUACUUAGAAUCAUACUUAGAAUCAUAGUCCAUUUUACUACUUGUUAACGAACCGUACACUUACGGUGGAUUUAAAAUCGAAAUAAACAAUUUUGCAAACAAGUUUUGGCGCCAUUGGCGUGGAUUGAAAUUUGGUUUUAAUUUUAUCUUUUGUGACAUUAAUUCAAACUUAUCUAGAAUAAAUAGUUAGCUUACUAGGUUUAGUUUGGUAUUACUUCAAUUUAAUUUUGUGUUGAUUUUGCAAUUUCAGGGCUUGUAUGCAAGGAGCACCUGAUCAAGAUUUGGUUCCCAUAGAUCCAGAGAUCGAACGCACAUUCCGUCAUAGGCAAAGAGAAGCAAGAGCGGCACAACAAAUGGCUAACGAGCAAAAUCGAUCGGUAAUUCCACUCAACAAAGGCAUGGCAGUUGAAGAUGAUGGGAAUACAGUACUCGAGGACUUCAUGGCUCCGUUGGUGGUCCAAAGUCAAUCUAGCGUUGUAUAUCUUCCAUUCGAGCAACAGAAUUUCUAGCUGAAAACAAAUGUGAUUCAACUAUUUUAGAAUGGGCAUCAAUACCACGAGAUGGCUAGUGAAAAUUCGCAUACACACAUAUCCCGAUUUCUGGAUAUAUGCCAACACUUCAGGUACCAGGGUAUCUCGGACGAUGCUAUAAGAUUGCGGUUAUUUCCACACACCUUACAGGAUAAAGCACUUGAAUGGCUAGAUUCACUUCCCGUCACAAGUAUCACCACUUAGAACGAGCUAGCCCACAAAUUUUGCACCAAGUUCUUCUCGCCAGCAAAGGUAGCCAAAAUGCGGCAUGAUAUCUCUAUUUUCAACCAAGGUGAGUCCGAAUCAUUUGAAGAGGCAUGGAAUCGUUUCAAGAAUAUGUUGAGGAAGUUCUCGCAACAUGGCUUUGACAAGAAGACACAGAUCCUAUUUUUCUACACUGGACUACUUCCAUCCUUCAAGAGCAUGAUGGAUUCCUCAUCUGAUGGGUCUAUCUCUACGAGAACAAUUGAUGGAGCAUGGGAGCUAUUUGAGAAAAUGAUAAUAACUUUAGCCAUGUGGUUCAGAAGAGAUCGCCAGAGGUUUAUGAAGUAGAUACUUAUUUCGAUCUGCAAAGAUAGACUCUUUGUUCCAUAAGAUUGAGAGUAUUUCACAGACCGCCACUGCUAAACAAGUUAAGAAGUCGAGUUGUGAAAAAUGUGGAGCAGACCACAAUAUUGUUAAUUGUCUAAUUCUCGCACAAGGGGUCGAACAUGCAGAUUUUGUGCAAUGGGGUCAACGCCAACAGAACAACACACAUUUGGAAACCUUCAAUCAGGGCUGGAGAAAACACCCAAACUUCUGGUGGAGCAAUUAGAAUCAAAACAGACCACAAGGUCAAUAUCAACAGCAGGAUAAAAAGCCACCAUUGGAAGAGAUGUUUGAAAAGUUCAUGGUAACAACCAAUCAGUAUAUGGAAGCCAACAAUCAGUUUAUGCGAAAGACAGAUGCAACUCUUCAAGACCAAAGUGCAACAAUCAAAAAUUUGGAGACACAAAUGGGACAGAUGGCAAUCUCCAUGACGGGUAGAGCACCAGAAAAUCUGCCAAGCAACAUUGAAAUCAACCCUAAGGAGCACGCAAAGGCUAUAACAACCAGAACUGGAGUACAACUACAGGAGAUACAUGUCAAAAGAUCGGUACCUAGCAAGGAAUCAGCACCAACCUCGGAUGACGAAAUUGUGGAAUAAACUGAACAAACAACAGGGAAUAUGGUCAAGGAGAAUUCCAAUACAUCAUGGGAUGCCAUUCCUAUCAACCCUCAUGAGCCUCCUAUUCCAUUUCCGCAGAGAUUGAAAAACCACAAAUUGGAUCAGCAAUAUAGUAAAUUUCUUGAAGUCUUCAAGAAACUACACAUCAACAUCCCAUUUGCUGAAGCACUUGUUCAGAUGCCAAGUUAUGCAAAAUUCUUGAAGGAUAUCCUCUCCAACAAGAGAAAGAUAGAAGAACACGAAACAGUGAUGCUAACUGAGGAGUGCAGUGCCAGAAUCCAGAGAAAGUUGCCUCCGAAACUAAAGGAUCCAGGAAGUUUUACUGUACCUUGCACUAUUGGGAAUGGUCAUUUUGAUAAAGCAUUGUGUGAUUUAGGUACAAGUAUUAAUUUAAUGCCUCUCUCUGUUUUCAGGAAACUCGGCUUGGGUGAAGGUAAAGCCACAAUAAUUACAUUACAGUUAGCAUAUCGAUCCCUUACACAUCUAAGAAGGAUCAUUGAAGACGUAUUGGUAAAAGUGGAGAAGUUCAUAUUUCCAACCGAUUUUCUUAUCUUGGAUAUGGAGGAAGAUAAGGAUGUUCCACUUAUAUUGGGGCGACCUUUCCUAGCUACUGGAAGAGCGAUUGUUGAUGUUCAGAAAGGGCAGCUUAUAUUGAGGCUUGGCGAAGAGCAAAUCUCGUUCAACGUGUUCAAGGCAAUGAAAUUCCCGACUGAGUCAGACAGCUAUUUUCAGAUCGAUGUAAUUGACAGAAUAAUUCAAGAUACGUUUUGGCUACAUCAUCUUUCUGAUGCUUAUGAGGUGUGCAUUGCACAUUCUCAAUCCACUCACACUGAUUCAAGUGAGAUUGAAACAUGUGCACGAUUUUUGAAAACUAAUCCGCCAUACAUGCGCAGACAUUACUUCGAAGAGUUAGGAACUAAGACUACACAAUCAGUGCCAUCUAUUCAGCAACCUCCCAAAUUGGAACUCAAGCAACUACCACCACACCUGAGAUAUGCUUACCUGGGGAAUCUUCUACACUUUCGGUUAUUAUUUCGAGUACUGUCAGUGAGGUGGAGGAAGAGAAACUACUUCGGGUGCUAAGGGAGAAUAAAAUAGCCAUUGGAUGGUCGAUUACAGAUAUCAAGAGGAUCAGCCCGUCGCUAUGCAUGCACAAAAUACUCAUGGAGGAAAAAUUCAAACCAAGCAUUGAUGGUCAGUGGAGAUUGAAUCCACACAUGAAGGAAGUGGUUAGGGCUGAGGUAUUGAAGUUGCUCGACGCAGGCAUCAUCUAUCCAAUAUCAGAUAGUGCUUGGAUCAGUGCAGUACAAGUUGUUCCCAAGAAAGGGGGUAUCACAGUGAUAAAAAAAUGAGAAAAAUGAGUUGAUUCCUACACGGACUGUGACUGGAUGGAGAGUUUGCAUCGAUUACUGUAAACUAAAUGCUGCUGCUCGAAAGGAUCACUUCCCACUACCAUUCAUUGAUCAGAUGCUAGAGAGACUAGUGGGGCAUUCGCAUUACUAUUUUCUAGAUGGAUAUUUCGGGUAUAAUCAGAUUCCAGUAGCACCUGACGAUCAGGAGAAGACAACUUUCACUUACCCCUAAGGUACCUUUGCAUAUCGUAGGAUGCCGUUUGGUUUAUGCAACGCUCCUGCAACUUUUCAAUGCUACAUGAUAGCUAUCUUCUCAAAUAUGAUUGAGAAAUUCAUCGAGAUAUUCAUGGAUGAUUGCUCAGUGUUCGGGUCUUCGUUUGAUGAGUGCUUGGAGCAUUUGAGUCUUGUGCUAUAGCGGUGUACGGAGACUAACUUGGUAUUGAAUUGGGAGAAAUGCCACUUUAUGGUACAGGAAGGCAUCGUGCUAGGACACAGAAUCUCAGCAAAGGGUAUUGAAGUGGACAGAGCAAAGAUUCAGGUGAUCGAGAAAUUACCGCCACCUACAUCCGUGAAAGGUGUUCGUAGUUUCCUCGGGCAUGCCGAUUUCUACAGAAGGUUCAUCAAGGAUUUCUCAAAGAUUACUAAAUCGUUGUGCUGUCUAUUGAUGAAGGAAUCCACAUUUGAGUUCACAGAUGAGUGUCUGCUCGCUUUUAACACCUUGAAGGAGAAGUUGAUUUCAGCACCCGUGAUCAUCACAUCAGAUUGGAAUAUGCCAUUUGAAUUAAUCUGCGAUGCCAAUGAUUAUGCUAUUGGGGCUAUUUUGGGAUAACGAAGAAAUAAGAUAUUUCACGUGAUUUACUAUGCAAGUAAGACCUUGAACGAUGCUCAACUCAAUUAUGCCACUACAAAAAAAGAGCUCUUUGCCGUAGUCUACGCCUUUGACAAAUUUCGAUCAUAUCUCAUGGGAUCAAAGGUCAUCGUUUACAUAGAUCACGCUGCUAUCAAGUACUUAAUGGAAAAGAAGGAUGCAAAGCCCCAUCUCAUUCAUUGGAUACUGUUGCUUCAAUAGUUUGACUUGGAAAUCAGGGAUAAGAAAGGUAGUGAAAAUGUAGUGGCAGACCACUUAUCUCGACUCGAGGCCACAGAACAGACAGAAACAGUGGAAAUCAACAAAGUCUUCCCAGAUGAACAGAUUUUUAGUUUAGGGGAGGCACCCUGGUAUGCGGAUAUAGUUAACUACUUAGCCAGGUCUAUCAUGCCGCUUGAUUACUCCAGUCACCAGAAGAAGAAAUUUUUCUCUGAAUUGAAAUAUUAUUUUUGGGAGGAUCCCAUUCUAUACAGGUGGGGGGCUGAUCAAAUUAUUCGUCGCUACGUACCUGAGGAAGAAGUGUCUUUGAUAUUAGAACAUUGUCAUUCAUCUACAUAUGCGAGGCAUUUUGGUGCUUCAAAAAUAGCAGCGAAGAUCCUUCAAUUAGGUUUUUAUUGGCCUACACUAUUUAAAGAUGCUUUUGAAUUCGUGAAAAUGUGUGACCGAUGCCAACGCACCGAAAAUAUAUCUAGGAGAAAUGAAAUACCUUUGAAUAGUAUCCUGGAGGUGGAACUAUUCGACGUCUGGAGGAUCGACUUCAUCGGGUCAUUUCCCCCAUCCUUCUCUAAUCGGUACAUAUUAGUGGCAGUGGAUUACGUAUUGAAGUGGGUAGAGGCCGUGGCAUUGCCUACCAAUGAUGGGAAGGUGGUGAUUGAGUUUCUAAAAAAACAUAUUUUUUACCCGCUUUGGAACACCAAGGGCUAUAAUCAGUGACGGGGGCAAACAUUUCUGCAAUCGUAAGUUAGAACAAUUGUUGGCUAAAUAUGGCAUUAAAUAUCAUGUAGCCACUACAUAUCAUCCCUAAACCAACAGACAGGUCGAAGUGUCCAAUAGACAAUUGAAGCGAAUACUCGAAGUCACAGUAAGUUUGUCACGAAAGGAUUGGUCUAAGAAAUUGGACGACGCCUUGUGGGCCUUUAGGAAUGCAUUCAAGACCCCUAUAGGAAUGUCACCAUAUCGACUGAUUUUCGGGAAAGCAUGCCACUUACCUCUUGAGAUAGAACAUCAUACUUACUGGGCAAUGAAAAAAUUGAAUUUGGACUUGAAGGCUGUGGGUGAAAAACGUCUCCUACAACUUAAUGAGCUGGAGGAGCUCAGAAUGAAAGCCUAUGAGAAUUCAAGAAUCUACAAAGAGCGCACCAAGAAAUGGCAUGACAUGCACAUUCAAAGGCGUGAAUUUACGGUGGGGCAGAAAGUGCUACUCUACAACUCUAGGCUUAAGCUAUUUCCAGGAAAACUGCGAUCGAGGUGGUCUGGUCCGUAUACUAUUACACAGGUUUUUCCACAUGGGGCAUUGAGAUCACUCAUGACAGCAAGGGGACAUUCAAGGUCAAUGGACAGCGUCUGAAGCACUAUUGGGGCGGCGAUUUUUCAAAGGAAAAGUCUACCGUUCAUCUUAGACCACCAGAAUGAAGCAACACGGUAAAGUCGAGCUAUCGACUAUAAUCUAGCGCUAGGUGGGAGGCAAUCCACUGUAUCCUUUUAUUAGCUUACUUUUCACAUUAUUUUUAGAAUUAUUUCAUUUUUGCAUUUGCAUUUUUCUAGGUCAUCGGUGAGUUUGAAAUGAUGCUUAGCCCCUUACCGAAAACAAAAGGGGGUUUUUUAUAUCUACUAUGUGACCGAUUCCUCCCUAAUUUCCUCCCACACCAUACACACCACUCUCCAACACACAUCAACACGUCGAACUUCACUCGACUCCCUACCCCAUUUACUCCAUAAAUAAACAUUCCACGCAUCCCAUGCGAAGUCUAGGUAUGUUCCUCUUUCCUUCUUCUAUGCAUUUGUCUUCUCUAAUUUGGUUCGCCAUGAGAAUAAGCUAUUUAAGCCUGAUUAUGGAGGAUGGGCAAUACUUUUUGUUGGUUUUUGUGUAUGUUACUCUUGGCUUGCGUUGUGGAUUGGUGGAACAUUAUCAAUUUGGUAUUGUGUAGGUUUUUUCAAUCUUGCAUGCUACGUGUUCAAUGAAUUGCCUAUGUGACAAUUGUAGUACAUUUUGAGCAAUUUCGCAUUAGACAUUUUGAGUAUACGCAUUCCCAUAUACGUGAUGCCCAAAUGCCAUCGAAAUUGAGCUCGAAACACUCACCUUCUAACCCCACACCUUUCAGCUCAAGUUGAUGCGAACCCCAUAGCAACGUUGACUACGAAACCCACAACGAGAUUGACGAACCCAAGAAAGCCAAAUUAAUCCAAAGUUUAGGAUUAACCCAAAAGAAAGUCGAACUAAAAAAUCCAACAAGAACGACGCUUAAAAGACCCCUUGAUCACGUAAUCCAAGAAUUAUAUCCGGUUAUUUGAACGCCACAAGUUAACACUUGAUAAGUUCGAAAUUGUUCAAUGAAGAACGAUGAAGAAAAGACAAAACGUCUCACUUUUAAUUCAAUAUCAAUAAUGUCAAAGGUUUUUAACAAUUGAAUGGAAACUCCUACUAAACCUAAAAACUAGGUAAAAAUCGUGCAGAAGUCGAGUAUAAUCUCCAAAAUAUGGAAAAGAAUCAAAAUCUAACAAAAUAUGGAAAAUUGCCAAAAUUGGAAAAUUUGCCAAUUUUUUUGCCUGUGCGGCCACAUGGUGUAAAUCCAUGCGGUCGCAUGGUUCAACUGAAAUUGCACUUUUGGUUUUCGGUAUGCAUGUGUGCGGCCGCAUGUGGUUUUGCCUGUGCGGCCGCAUGGUGUUGUCUUCAGCCUCCGCUUUCGUUGCGUGAUAACAAAUUGAUCCAAGUUGAUUCGGCCUUCGACCCGACAUGAAAGUUGCUCCAUUUUGAGUCCCGAAUAUGGUUCCAUCAAUGGUUUCUUGAAUGAGCAAUCCCAUCGAUUGUUUCACUUGCUUUGCCCUUGAUCGCGUCAUUGGUCCGCCAUCGACUAUCAACGGGUCUCGUCUCGCACUUGCCUUCAUCGGGCUCAACUCCUGGAUCAUAUCAUCCCCUUCCUCUUCAAAAGGAUUCGUCCUCGAAUCUGAACCUGCAUCAAAUAGAGAGAGAUCAGAUACAUUAAAAGUAGCCGAAACAUUGUACUCACCUGGAAGGUCCAACUUGUAAGCAUUGUCGUUUAUCUUUUCAAUCACUUGAAAUGGACCAUCGCCCCUCGGUUGCAACUUGGACUUUCUUUACUCCAAAAACCGCUCUUUCCUAAGGUGCACCCAAACCCAAUCUCCUGGCUCGAAUGUCACACGCUUCCUACCUUUGUUCGCCUGCGACGCAACCAACUUACUUUUGUUUUCAAUUCACACUUUUACCUUUUCAUGGAGUGACUUAACCAAUACCGCCUUCUUUUUGCCAUCGAAACUACCACAUUCAUUCACAGGUAAAGGAAUCAAAUCCAAAGGAGUUAGUGGAUUAAAACAUAUACAAUUUCAAAUGGAGAAUAUGACUGUAUGCAAAUUCAACAAACGGUAGACACUCCUCCCAACUCUUCAAAUUUUUACUGAUUACUGUGCAUAACAAUUGUGUCAUAGUCCUAUUCACUACCUCAGUUUGCCCAUCUAUUUGUGGGUGACAAGUUGUGGAAAAUAGUAACUUAGUGCCUAACGUACCCCCACAAAACUCUCCAAAAGUGGCUCAAAAAUUUGACAUCCUGAUCCGACACUAUACUUCUAGGAACCCCAUGUAAACGCACAAUCAUCUUUAAAGAAUAAGUCAGCAAUGUUCGUGGCAUCGUCAGUUUUGUGACAUGGUAUAAAAUGUGCCAUUUUGCUGAACCUAUCUACAACCACAAAAAUAGAAUCCCGACCUCUCUUAGUCCUAGGUAAACCCAAAACAAAGUCCAUCGAGAUAUCAACCCAAGGCUCACUAGGUGUAGGUAAAGGUGUGUACAAACCUUGUGGUAAAAUCUUAGAUUUAGCCUUUUUACAACCUAUACAUCGACUGCAAAUUCGCUCAACAUCACUUUUCAUCUUAGGCCAAUAAAAAUGCUCUUUCAAUACAUCUAAAGUCUUUUGAACCCCAAAGUGUCCCAUUCAAUCGACCACUAUGUGCCUCCCUUACUAACAAUUCUCGAAUAGAACAAUUUGGAACACAUAACCUAUUUUCCCAAAAUAAAUACCCCUCAUGUCUAAAGAACCUAUCAACCGCUCCCUUAAUGUAUGACAAAUAAAUAUCCGAAAAAUCAACAUCUUUUCCAUAUAAUUCCUUAAUAUGUUCAAACCCAAGUAACUUAGAAUCAAGAGUACUUAGCAAGACGUACCUUCGAGACAACGCAUCCGCCACCACAUUUUCCUUACCUUGUUUAUACCGAAUGACGUAUGGAAAGGUCUCAAUGAAUUCCAUCCACCGUGCAUGCCUCUUGUUCAAUUUACCUUGUCCCUACAAGUGCUUUAGUGACUCAUGAUCGGUGUGUAUUACGAACUCUUUCGGCCAUAGAUAAUGUUGCCAAGUCUCCAAAACUCGAACAAAUGCAUAAAUUUCUUUGUCAUAUGUAGGAUAAUUUAAAGCAGCUCCACUCAAUUUCUCGCUAAAGUAUGCAAUAGGCCUCCGAUCCUGCAUUAAAACUGCUCCAAUCCCUAUUCCUGAUGCAUCACACUCAAUCUCGAAUGUUUUAUCAAAGUUAGGUAAUGCCAAAACAGGUGCUUCACACAAUCUACCUUUAAUAGUAUUAAAUGCAAGUUCCUGUUCAUCACCCCAAUGAAAACCUACACUCUUUUUAACUACUUCCGUGAGUGGUGCAGUGAUAGUACUAAAAUCCUUCACAAAUCGCCUAUAAAAACUAGCCAAACCAUGAAAACUCCUAACUUCCGUUAUGCUUUUAGGUGUCGGCCAUUCUCUAAUAGCUUUUAUCUUUUCAUCGUCUACUUCUAUCCCAUUAGCACUAACCACAAAACCAAGAAAAAUAACUCUAUCCAUACAAAACGUGCAUUUCUUAAGAUUAGCAUAGAGUUGUUCUUUCCUUAAAAUAAUUAGCACAAAUUUUAAAUGUUCCAAAUGCUCUCCUAGGUUUUUGCUAUAGGUUAAGAUAUCGUCAAAAUAAACCACAACAAAUUUUCCUAUAAAAGCACAUAAAACAUGAUUCAUUAAACGCAUAAAAGUGCUAGGUGCAUUUGUGAGUCCAAAAGACAUAACCAACCAUUCAUAUAAACCAUAUUUAGUUUUAAAAGCCAUUUUCCAUUCAUCACCCUCCCGCAUACGAAUUUGAUGAUACCCGCUUUUUAAAUCAAUUUUAGAAAAUAUGCAAGAGCCAUAUAAUUUAUCAAGUAUGUCAUCUAACCUAGGUAUAGGGUGACGAUACUUUACCGUUAUGUUGUUGAUAGCCCUACAAUCCACGCACAUUCGCCAUGUUCCAUCCUUUUUUGGUACAAGAAAAAUCGGUACCGCACAAGGACUCAUUCUUUCCCUCACGUAUCCUUUGCUCAUCAACUCCUCCACUUACCUUUGAAGCUCCUUAGUCUCCUCGGGAUUACUUCGAUAAGCCGGUCGAUUUGGAAUGAUAACUCCGAGUAUGAAGUCAAUUUGAUGUUCAAUGCCUCGAAUAGGCGGCAAUCCACUUGGUGCAUCCUCCGAAAAUAUAUCGUCGAAUUCCUGCAACAAAGACUUAGCCAAACUAGGGAGGGGUGGGUUAGUUUCCUCAAAAUUGAGGAGUGAUUCCUUAUAAACGAACAAGAUCAUCUCUUUCCUCUCAACUACCGCCCUCCUCAAAUCACUCUCUUUUGCAAAGAAAUUCGCUCGUGUUUUCUCUCUUCUCUCGGGGCACUCUCUUUCUUUUCUCUCUUGUGAUUGCUUUCUCUUUUCCUCUCUAAUGGCUAUCUCAACAUUUUCUCUCUUUUUCUCCAACUCACUAUUUGCUCUCAUUUUUUCUAACUCUUUUGCUCUUCUCUCUUCCUCACUUCUCAAUUUUAAUUGGUCCUCAUAGACUUGUGUCGGUGUUAAUGGCACAAGAGUAAUGGUCCUUCCAUCCUUAAUGAAACUAUAUCGAUUUUUGUACCCAUCAUGCAUAGCUUUCCUAUUGUAUUGCCAUGGUCGCCCCAAUAAAAUAUGUCCCGCUUGCAUUGGCACCACAUCACACACUAACUUGUCCUUAUAACUCCCAAUUGACAAAUUAAGUAACACCCUUCGAUUCACCCUCACCUCGCCACUCUCAUUCAACCAUUGCAAUUUAUAAGGUCUUGGGUGUCUCAACAAUGUUAAACCCAAUUUUUCUACAAGAGAUACGCUAGCUACAUUAGUACAACUACCACCAUCAAUUAUAACACUACAUACCGUAUUGUUGACGUGGCAUCGAGUGUGGAAAAUGUUCUCCUGUUGCAACUCCAAGUCAUCCGCUUUGACGUUAGUAAUGAGAGCUCGCCUUGUGACUAAUAGAUCCCCAACCGGCCCUUCAACUUUUUCUUCUUCACUAACACCCUCUAACGCCGGCAUGUCAUCAAACUCGCCAUCACUAUCGCUCACAAUCUCUCCAUUAUCCCGCAACACCAUCGCCCGUUUGUUUGGGCAUUGAGAAGCAAUAUGCCCCUUUCCCAAACACCUAAAACAUUUGAUGUCCCAAUUGCGCUACAGUUGUGCCUCCGAUUUGAUAUUGGUUUGCAAGCAUUUUCAUCCUUGCCCCUUUGCCAAUCAUUUUUACCUCUAGGUGCAGCCCCGUUUUUGUUGUUGUCAUCCCACUUCGAUUUCCAUGUUGGAUUAGGAGCUGAAGUACCUAACGGUUGCCUAGAUGUCCCCUUCCUCUUCAAUUGCCUCUCGACCUUCACUGCCAUAUGUAACAUGUCCUCGAUUUCCACAUAGUGUUGCAACUCUACAACAUUUGCAAUAUCCCGAUUUAACCCAUUCAAGAACCGUGCCAUGGUAGCUUCCCAAUCUUCCUCCACAUUAGCCCAAAUCAUAAGAAUUUCCAUCUCCUUGUGAUAAUCCUCUACGCUUUUCGAUCCUUGGUACAAACCUUGCAAUUUUUGAUGGAUUUCCCUAUAAUAGUGACUUGGAACAAACCUCCUCCUCAUCAACAUCUUCAACUCAUCCCAAGUGCUAAUUGGCCUUUCCCGACCGUUACGCCGUGAUGUCAGUACUUGAUCCCACCAAGAUAUCGCAUAAUCCACAAAUUCAAGCACCGCCAAUUUUACCUUUUUCUCCUCUGAAUAAUUAUAGCACUCGAAAAUCAUCUCAACCUUCCUUUCCCAAUCUAAAUAUGCUUCCGGAUCGCUUCUCCCCUUAAAUUGUAGAAUAGUCAUUUUAAUACUUCCCAAAUUUUCAUCUACUUCAUCUCCCAAGUUAUUUCUACCCCGUCUUUCCAUCCUAUCGCCCCUAUGCCUCGCUCGACCCAUAUCAAUGUCAUUUUCAUCAAAAUCAUCCUCAUCACUACAAUACUCAUCUCGCCUUCCUCUCCUAGAUUCACGCCUACCCGGCCCCCUAACAUUAGACAUCUCCACUUGUCCCCGGCUAAGAUUAGCAAUUGUAGUACCCAUUUGUGCCAUCCAUUCCCCUUGCCUAUCCACCUUCUCCCUAACAUCACCAAGUACCCUUUCAAACCUCCUUAUCAUGUCCUCCGAUGCAUUGUUGUCAUUACCAUUUCGGCUUGGAUUAGAACCUUCUCUUUCCGACAUCAUAUCACACAAUUUUUUUAUGCCUCACAAAGAUUUCACUCGGAAAACACUCACUAUGGCUUUUUCCCUCUAUCAAACUCUCCACUCGGACUUUUACCACUCAAAGUCUCCCUCCAAGCACUUCAAAGAACCAAGUGAACUAAAUCAAUUGUUUUACCAGCAAUUCAAACAAACCAAAUAUUAAUCAAAGACCACGAGACUCAAAGGAUUUGAAUAAGUGGAAUAGAUGAAUGUUUUGACACGAAUAUGUGAAUAGACUCAAAAGAAGAAUGACAGACUCGAACCCAAUUAAAUAUCCCAAAAAUCAAACACAAUGUAGGAAUUGUUGUUGGUAGAAAAAAACACAAAAUCAAACAAUGAUAUCAAAAAAAUAAAAAAUUAUAUAUAUAUAUAUUUUUUUUUGUUUUUUGUGAAUAAUACUUCGAGAUGAACAGUACCUCGAAUGUACAGUAACCCCUUUUUUUUCAUUUUUUUACUUUUUUUUUUUACUCCUUGAUGAAAGAAGGUGAGUAAACUACCAACAACUCAACAAAACGAUGAAAAGAAAACAAGAACGAAGAAAAACUAAGAAAGAAAAAUUAACGACCUAAACAAAUAAAGAAAAGAUAUAACCUUCAAUUAAUUUGGAACCAAAGCUCUGAUACCAACUGAUGCGAACCCCGUAGCAACGUUGACUACGAAACCCACAACGAGAUUGACGAACCCAAGAAAGCCAAAUUAAUCCAAAGUUUAGGAUUAACCCAAAAGAAAGUCGAACCAAAAAAUCCAACAAGAACGACGCUUGAAAGACCUCUUGAUCACGCAAUCCAAGAAUUAUAUCCGGUUAUUUGAACGCCACAAGUUAACACUUGAUAAGUUCAAAAUUGUUCAAUGAAGAACGAUGAAGAAAAGACAAAACGUCUCACUUUUAAUUCAAUAUCAAUAGUGUCAAAGGUUUUUAACAAUUGAAUGGAAACUCCUAUUUAUACUAAACCUAAAAACUAGGUAAAAAUCUUGCAAAAGUCGAGUAUAAUCUCCAAAAUAUGGAAAAGAAUCAAAAUCUAACAAAAUAUGGAAAAUUGCCAAAAUUGGAAAAUUCGCCAAAUUUUUGGCCUGUGCGGCCGCAUGGUGUAAAUCCAUGCGGUUGCAUGGUUCAACUGAAAUUGCACUUUUGGUUUUCGGUAUGCAUGUGUGCGGCCGCAUGUGGUUUUGCCUGUGCAGCCGCAUGGUGUUGUCUUCAGCCUCUGCUUUCGUCGCUUGAUAACAAAUUGAUCCAAGUUGAUUCGGCCUUCGACCCGAACAUGAAAGUUGCUCCAUUUUGAGUCUCGAACAUGGUUCCAUCAAUGGUUUCUUGGACGAGCAAUCCCAUCACUUGUUUCACUUACUUUGCCCUUGAUCGCGUCAUUGGUCCGCCAUCGACUAUCAACGGGUCUCGUCUCGCACUUGCCUUCAUCGGGCUCGACUCCUGGAUCAUAUCAUCAAGUGUUAGGUUCACAUCACCUCAUUGCGCACACUUCGUCCCUUGCGUUAAUUACUCGUAUGACGUCCAAUGAGCUAGAAAAUUGAAUAUGUGUCACAACUACAUACUCUCAUAUGCUCGGAGCUUGCCCGGGGAAAUUUCGAUAUUUUUCGACGAUGUCCGGGGCCGAACAUGCGCACUCGGUCAUGGAUCUAAUUUUUUUUUAAAUGUGCUUGUUUUGGCCUAACUUUCCAAUUUUUCACCUUGGCAUUCUCUUUACACUUUCCUCUUUGUCAUAUUUUGAUAAGUGCACACCAUGGUGUUCUAUAUGCAUGUUGAAGCAAGUUUGGGGGAUUUGUGAACUAUUUGUCUUGCUUAUCUCAUUCCCCCUAUCGUUUUUUUUAAUACUGCAGUUUAUUGACUAUUUUUUUCCUUUGCAGGAUGCCCCCAAAGCAUACAUCAAAGGGAAAGGAGAAAGUUGGUUCCACAUCUGGCACAGCUCGGACUAGGAAACCCGAAGGAGGAGUCCGACGUUUUCUUUCUUCCGACCAAGCAGCCCACUAUGCCAAUGUUGUCCGAGAAUGGGCGCUCAUCUCCGAAAGACCAGUUAAGUUGGAUGAUUUCCUGGGUUUUGAAUUGGUUUAUCUAGUCCACAACUGCGGGUGGGAGAAGGUGAUUGAAAGACCACACCCCAUCUAUGAAAAUUUGGUGCGGGAAUUCUAUGCAAAUUUCAAUGCUGAAAUAGACACACCGAGAUCCGACCAUCUGCAUCAGACUUGGGUUCGGGGCAAAUGGAUCAUGUUUUCACCUGAGGUAAUACAUGAUUACUAUCAGCUCACCUAGACAUAUGUAGUCCCAAUCCCGCAUGAUUUCAACUGGGUUGAAGUUGCAGAAGUUUUAUAGGGAUGGGAAAAUGCUUGGUCGCUCCCUACUGCUGAUUGGUAUCAGAUUUACCUCACUCGAUCUAUAGUCAUCCUAUGGUUGUUCAUCUGCCACAACAUCGAGCCAAUCUCCCAUAGGACGACAUUCACAGAUCAGAAGGCGGGUUUCAUCUACCACUUAGUUCGGGGGAACAAGAUUGACUUAGCCACUUACAUUUACAAUCAGAUGCACGUUAUAGGCACAUGGGGUGACAGGCACACAUCACUGAUUUUCUCGAGCUUGCUAAGUGAAAUUUGUAGAGCUGCCGGCAUACAAGUUCAGCCAGGAGAGGCAUCGGAGAAACCAAGUCCUUUUAUCAAAUGCCUCACACUCGAGGCCCAGGACCGCGCCAGGAUUAAACAUCAACAAAAAUUGGAAAACGAGCGCCGACGCCAGCAACAAGUUGCAGAGGGGCAAGCAGCUGCGGACUUUGACAUGCUACAGGCUCCACCACCACUGGCUGAUGUGGACACCCAGUUAUUACGACAGAUGUUUGCUACUAUGACUGGACACAGCCGAGACAUGCAGCAACUUCAGCAAUCCUUUGGGGCAAUGACUACCACCAUCCAACAAGUGCAAACGGAUAUAGCAUUUGUACGAAACUUCGUGUCCACUGCCAACAUUGAAUCCAUUGCAGCACGCUGACAGAUAGUAGCUUUGACGGGCGUCUAGGCAUGUACGUUGCCUGGAUGGACGGUAUACAGUGGCGGAUGAACGAGUCUUGGGACCGUCUAGGGAGUUAGGAGAUGAGGGUUUAGGCCAUGCAGAUGGAGCGGACCCAGUAGUCUGCCAUGUUGAGAGAGAUCUUGUCCCGCCUUCCCUCCCCUUCUGGCAAUGAUGAUGUCAGGCCCAGCUUUCCAUCGCAGCCACCAUUGUGAUCAGGGGAGUACUGUUUUCCCAUUUUGAUUUUUCAUUUUCAUUUUGUCCUUCAAAUUAUGUCUUUAAUCUUUUCUUAAUCUUACAUUGAGGACAAUGUAUUAACUAAGUUUGGGGGGUUGACAUAAUUUUAAGUCUCUAUCUGUGUUCAUCAUUAUCUAUUUUCCACUACUUUCCAUUACUGCAUAAUGUGUGCAUGAUGCAUGUUAAAAAUAAAAAAAAAUAAAAAACUUUGGAUCUAGUGCUAAUUAGACUACCUGAUACUUGUUGCUGCAACACUUGACUUUAUCUAUGCACGCUAUUCAUGCUCGACAUAUUAGGAGAAUGACUGGAUUUUGGGCAUAACAUAGGAAACGAAUGAUAACCCCCUAUUGAAUUAGUCCAUGAACUACCUUAAGACAGUUUGGUGAUAGUUGAGCUAUUAUAGGAAAGUAUUGAGAUGAGCGGAGGCUCCGUGAAUGAAAUUUAUUGUGUGGAUUGCCUAGACCAGUGGGAUGAAGAGUAGGUGAAAAUCUUAAAUUUGGGGUUGGUUUUGGAAUCUGGUGCCCUAAAGCCAACUGGUUUGGGAGUCACCAGCCCAAAACUCGAUACAUGGGUCAUAUAGAAAGAAAGAGGGAAAGAAGUUUAUAAAAAGUCGUCCUAUUGAGCUUUUAUAACUCGAGUGAAUAAGCCUGCAAGGGUUUAAAACCUGCUGCCUUAAAGCAAACUGGUUUGGAAAUCACCGGUCUAAAGCUCAUUAUAGGGGUUAUAUAGAAAGCAAAUGAGAAGAUGACAAUCAAUCAGAAACUAAAGAAAGGUGAGAAAAACAAAAGAGAGACAAAACAUGACGAAAAGCCCUUAGAUAUUUGGUUAAAGAAACUGUACUUCUGAGGUGAGACAAGUAAUCUAGUUUGAUAUUGAGUGUCAAAGCAAUCAAUUUUGGGAGAGCCUUCACUUUUUGAAAUGUAGACUUGUGAUAGUGAUGCUAAAUCCAAACUACGAGAGGGUGAGAACUACAGCUAUAUAAAUUCCUAAUCUUAAAACACAACCCUGGGAUAAUUGAGUGAAAAGAAUAAGUUUGGGGGUUGUGUAUCUUUCGAGCGAGUAAGGAUAUAUUUGACCACUUGGGGUUGGGACUCAAAUUCAUCAUAAAUCUGAUAUGUUGGCAUAAAUUCACACACGCACGUCAAUUUGCAUUAAACAAGUAAAGGUUGAUGUCAUGUUUGUACAGAUAAAUUUUUAAAUAUUCAAUCCAAUCCUGAGCCGCAACAGGGUAUUAAGCCAUGUUUAUUCAGAAUUAGUCACUACCUUGUUUGAGGACAAACAAUAGUUCAAGUUUGGGGGGUUUGAUAAGUGUGUUUUUGCACACUUUUUUAGGUCACGAACAUGACUUAAUAACGAGCAAAAUGAUUGAAUUGUGACUUAACCUCAUACAUUUGUGAAUUAUAGGGAACAACGAUGAUCAUGGUGAAAUUCAGGAGAAAAGACGCGAAAAAGGACUAAAGUGAUGAAAAGUGAAAGUUCAGGGACCAAAAGUGCAAAUAUCCAAAAGUUGAUCCGAUGAACAAAUCGAGAAAUCGAUUAGGCCAAUUACCAAUUGACGAUAUCGUGGGGUGAUGAAAUGAAAAGAAUGAAGAGAAGAUGCUAAGAAGUGAAGGAUGCAAGUGGGAGGACAAAAACACAUUUCUACCAUAGUUGAUAGUACUAUGCGACCGCAUAGUACUAUCCUCUGUGCGGUCGCAUAGCACCAUACCGAAACCAAAGGAGCUUCAAAAGUUUAUUCUAUGCGACCACAUAGAGUUGCUCUAUGCGGUCGCAUAGAGCAAAUAUCGAGGGUCCUUUAAAUACAAAAACUCGACCAGAACGUAUGGGACACCAUUUUUACAUAUUUUUGGGAGAUUUUGAAGGAUAAACGAGGGAUAGAACAAGAGAACAACAUCGCGUCAAGUGAAGAUCGGAUUGAAAAUUGAUUCGAGUGAUGUCGUUUCUUCAAAUAUUUUUAUGUUUUGUUCUUUUUAGCAUGUUAGGCUAGAUUUAUCACUACUAGGUGAUCGAUGAACCUUGUAAUACUACGUUUAAUUGUUGUUUUGAAUUUUUGACGUAUUUGAACACUAAUUCUGGAAUUGAUUGAUUUAUUUCAUUUUUAUUUUCAUAUAAUUAUUUUGCACGUAAUUAUAUGAUUGUGGUGACCUGUUUUAUGCAUUCGAAAGAAGGAAAAUAGGUUCGAUAUAGCAUAAAUCAUCAUAGGGUCCGAUAGAGGAUAGAAAUAUACCUCUAUGCCUUGUGUGAAUUAUUGGAUAUUCGUGAAUUUAUAAUGCAUGUCGGUAUAUUAGUAUUCGUCAUAGAAAUAUAGUCGAAUCAUAUAUUGGGAUAGGUUUGGCAUUGUUGGAGAGAGAUUGCUAAAUUAAAAUAGGAAUAUCGAUUCAUCUUUUGUGGAAUUGUGUGUCAAAUUUGCAUAAUUGACUACUGAACGGGGAUUGCUUGGGGAUUCAUGAUCCUAGUGUGUUAGAACAUCCAUUAAUUCUAUAAAAUUCUAGUUAAAUUGCAUCCAAGUUAUUUUGAACUUAGUAUAGUUCUUCAUCCAUAAUUGCAUCAACGAUUACAUUUUGUUAGUUAAAGUACAUAAUCACAAUUUGGUUGUCGUGUUUCGGUUAAGGUCAUAUUAGAUUAAUUCGAACUAAUUCAAUCCUCGUGGGAUCGAUACUUGGACUCAUAGUCCAUUUUACUACUUGUUAACGAACUGUACACUUGCGGUGGAUUUAAAAUCGGAAUAAACAAUUUUGCGAACAGUUGUAGCAGGGGCAGCAGAGUGGGACGAACUAUGUGGUGGUUGCAGUGAUAGUGGCGGUGCAAUAUUGGGUUGGGUUGCAUUGGUAGUGUUAUAGGUGGUGGAGCAAGCAUUAGUUUCGUUUUGGUAUGUUGGAGUAGCAUUGGUGGCAGUGUUUGUUGGUGGUGGCGGUGAUUUUUUUGGUGGUUGGGCGACAUUGCAACAGUUCUAUUGACGUUUGGGGACUAUUGUAGUUUUGCGAGAUCUAGUGGGAGUAAUGGUGAUAGUGAUGGUGGUGGUUGUGGCGACGGUGGUGGAUGGGAUAAGAUCGAGUUGGAUGCUUGUGACCAAUUAUUUGAUUGAUCAUGACUAGUAAUUGAUAAAUUUGUAAUAUGUGACAUAAAAAUUGUGACUGUAACUUACAAUUGAUUAAGUUGUGACUGAAAAAUUAAUUGUGGCCAAUGAAUCUAAUAAUUUUGCAAUGAAUAAAUGAGCUAUGAUCUAUAAAAGUUUUGAUUUUAUGACCUAUGAAUAAUCUGUAACUUAUAAGAAAAUUUAUUUGUACCGAUAAAUAAUCUUUGACCAAUAAAUUUUUUUAUUAGUGAUCAAAAAAUAAAUUGUGACCGAAAAUUAAUUUGUAACCAGUUACUUCAUAAAUUGUGACCAGAUUGCAUAAAAUUGUGACCUUAACAUAUCUAAUUAAUAAAAUAUAUGUUUAAUAAAUUAGUCUAUAAAUAAAAUUUUACUUUUGAAAUUUGAAACUUUACUUUUAGUUUUAAAAUAGAUGAUACUUAACUUCUUGGCAGUGAAAUUUUCCCCAAAAUAAAUCACUUAGAGGAUUAAAUGGGCUACACCUACUUGCUCCAUGAUUUAUUCUAGAAGGGCUUGCUUAGUGCAACCUAAUUGCCAUUAUUUAAUGGACUCAUCCCUUUGUCUUUGCAUACAGUACACACGACUCCGGGGUACUUUUAAGUUUAAUCCAGUCAAAGGACCUAAAUUUCACUUUGACUUUCAAAAUCAUGAAUAUUAUGACAUUGGCCUCUUGUAUGGUAAAAGACAAAGAUGCCCUUAAAUGUUUUGUAUAAUUACAGAACAAUUUAUUGUUGAAAGGACUAUACUAUCCUUUUAGUUAAUAAUUGAAAACCAAACACUUCCCCACUUAUAAAAACUUCAAAACGAGCUUCCAAUACAAGAAAAACUCUCAUCUUUUCAUCUGCUUGAACCUCAAAAUCUAGAAAGACUUUGAAACGUUGAAGCCGAAAUUUUUUUUCAUAUCAAUUACUUAAAAUCGGUAAGUACAUUUACGCAUGUUUAAUUUCGUUUUCAGUAAAUUAGUAUACGUUUGAAUAGAAAAAUUUUAUGUCGACAUGGUAGUUAGCAUAAAUUUUUUUUAACAGAUCUUACCUAUCAAAAAAAUUGAACAGAUGUAUAACAUUUUUUUUUAGAAUCGUAUUCUCCUGCACAAAAACAACCAAACUGGCUAUUUUGGUUGUUAAUAGCCGAGCAGUCGGACUGUUUCUGACUAUUUGGUCGGCUGUUUAAACAGUCGAACAUUUAACAGUCGAACAUUUAACAGUCGGCUGUUAAACAGCCAAUUAACCGACUCUGCACUGAUUUUUGUUGGCACUGAUUUUUUCUUAAUUAAUAAAUGAAGUUGAUUAAAACCAUUUCCUCAUGCAGAUAUGAUAAUCCCCGUCUAUUAUUUCGGUGAUUUUGAAUUGAAUGAAAAUAAUCGGUGGGAAUGGAGAUGGAUGAGUGACAUACGUGGUUGUAUUGCAAUUCCUAUAACAGAGAGUACACCAUACUUAGAAAUGUACCAUGAUUUGCAAAAUAAGCUGAAUUUCGAUCAAUCUCAAUACGAUAUGCAAUUGAGAUAUCUAUUCAACGGUUAUGGAGAUUCAUCCAUUCCGAUGCCACCGGUAUUCGUUACUAAUGAUGCUGAAUUGAAUUAUCUAUUAGAAUUGAAUAAAAUGCAUCGGACUCCGACUGUUCUUGGUGUGACUUCAAUUACGAAGGAUGUUAUCGAAGGUGAACGCGAAGAUUCAGAUAGGGCGGAUAACAAUGAUCGAGGUUUUUGGGAGACAGUGGAGAUAGUUCCUGCGGAUGAUGUGGGUAUUCCUGAGACAAUUGCUUCUGAUCGUGAUGUCGUUGUUAUGCGCAGAAUUCUGUCGACAGUUGAAGACAAUGAGAAUAUAAACGAGUUUACAAAUGAGAAUUUGAUUGCUUUAUCCCGACAGAGACACGAGCCGGAUGGGAGCUCACAGGUUAGAACAAGUGGAUCGUCCUCCAAUUCUUCCCGUGUGGCUCCCGAUGAUGAGGACUUGCAGGUCGAGCAAUUGUUUGAAACCAAGAAAGAUUUACAGGAAGCUGUGCACCGGCUGGCAUUAAAAUAUAACUUUGAGUUCAAGGUAAAAAAAUUAAACAAGUCAUUGUUGACAGUUGCUUGCGUUGAAGACAGUUGCAAUUAGCGCUUGAGAGCAACUAAGAUGGACACGAAUGAGUGCUUUGUAAUUCCCAAGUAUUCACGGGAACAUACUUGCAAAGUGGGAAUUCUUCGAAAUGAUCACAGGCAAGCUCGAGCAUGGUUUAUUGGUCGACAGAUAAUGCACAAGUAUCAAGAUCCACAGAUGAUCUACAGACCUUCGGACAUCAUUAACGACGUCCGUCGAGAGUACGGAGUGGUCAUGAGCUACCAGAAAGUGUGGAAGGCCAAAGAAUGUGCGUUGGAGGAUUUAAUGGGAUCGGUUGAAGAGCGCUAUGCUAGAUUGGCUAGGUAUUGCCAUAACAUGGGGGCAACUAAUCCUGGCACGACAUUUUUUAUUGAGACGGGGGACGAUAAUUGUUUUAAGUAUUUCUUCAUGGCUCUCGGACAAUGUAUUUGGGGUUUUCGAAAUGCAAUGGUUCCCAUAAUUCUAGUUGAUGGUACAACUCUGAAAGCUAAAUAUCAAGGCAAAUUAAUUAUUGCUACAUGUCAAGAUGCCAACAUCCAAAUUUACCCUAUUGCAUUCGGCAUAGUCGACAACGAGAAUGAUCUGUCCAUGCGUUGGUUCUUUUCUAAACUGCGGGAAGUGAUCGGGGAAGUCGAAGACCUUACCUUUGUAACCGAUCGGGGACAGUCUAUAAUAAAUGGUAUCGCUAAAGUUUUUCUCGGGGCACAUCACGGGUAUUGCAUGUACCAUAUACAAGGUAAUUUGAAGACUAGGUAUCGAGGCACAGGCAUCGUUUCAUUGUUCAGGAGAGCAGCCGAAGCUUACAGUACUGAAGAGUGUAAUAAGUUCAUGCUCGAGAUAGGAAGUAAAUCAUUACCGGCGUUGGAGUAUCUGACGAAGAUGGGGAUCGAACAUUGGGCAUGAUCAUACUUUCCAGGACGUCGAUACAACAUGAUGACGUCGAAUAACGCGGAGUCUCUCAAUGCAUUGUUUAAGAAGGAUCGAGAGUUACCAAUUCUCGCAAUGAUUGAGAACAUUCGUAACAAGCUACAACAGCGGUUUCAUGACCGACGUGCAGCAUCACAGAGUUGCACUAGCGUGUUGGCCCCAGCUCAAGAGGAGAAAUUGUUUAAGGCGGCAGAGGUUGCGAGGAAGUUGAAUGUGGAAGCACUAGAUGAAUUUCGCUUCUCCGUGCAAUGUGCACGUAAUACGGCAUAUAUGGUGGACUUGACUGAUAACACAUGCACUUAUACGAGAUUUCAGUUGGAGAGUUUUCCAUGUGAGCAUGCAGUUGUGGUGGCCAUGUAUCGAGGCUUUGCUGUGAGAACGUUAUGCUCUUUGUAUUAUACGACUGAGUCUUGGAGAACAGCAUAUGUCGAGACUAUAUUUCCUCUGCCGAAUGAAGCCGAGUGGGAAGUUCCCGAGCACAUUCUCCCAUUUCAUAAUUUGUUACCACCAGCAGUUGAACCGCGUGGUUCUAGACAUCCAAGUACAUCUAGAAUACUAUCUACCGGAGAGUUUCCUCGACCACGUAGGUGUGACCGGUGCAGAGCUGUAGGGCAUACUCGGCAAUUUUGUAUCAGUCAAAUUUCCCUAAAUGAUGACUAGACAGGUACGUGAAAUGAAUAAUAUUUCCUUUUACUUUACACUGUUCAAUAAUUGUUCUUUAUAAAUCUUCUAUAUUCAAUAUUUAUUCUUGAUAAAUGGUAUUUAUAAUGAUUUAUAUGAAAAAAAUAGUUUCAUACUCGGCAUACGUGUAAAAUAACAAAAAAUAAUUAAAUUUCCAAUUUGAAUGUUAUAUACAUUGAACACAAAUUUACAAUUAUUUCAUAAUUACAAAAGUAAUUAAAUUUACAAUUGUAAUGUUACAUAUAUAUAAAUGAAAUUUACGGGUCAGCAUUAAAUUCGAACAAAUCACAUGCUAGCUUCUUUCUCCAGUUCUGUAUCCACGACUGGUUGAUUUCAUCAACCUUAUGUCCUAUACUUAAAAAUUCAACGUACUUAAUGGCAAAUAUGCCACAGUCGCCGCUGCAAUUGAACAAGAAUGAAUCAGUNNNNNNNNNNNNNNNNNNNNNNNNNNNNNNNNNNNNNNNNNNNNNNNNNNNNNNNNNNNNNNNNNNNNNNNNNNNNNNNNNNNNNNNNNNNNNNNNNNNNNNNNNNNNNNNNNNNNNNNNNNNNNNNNNNNNNNNNNNNNNNNNNNNNNNNNNNNNNNNNNNNNNNNNNNNNNNNNNNNNNNNNNNNNNNNNNNNNNNNNNNNNNNNNNNNNNNNNNNNNNNNNNNNNNNNNNNNNNNNNNNNNNNNNNNNNNNNNNNNNNNNNNNNNNNNNNNNNNNNNNNNNNNNNNNNNNNNNNNNNNNNNNNNNNNNNNNNNNNNNNNNNNNNNNNNNNNNNNNNNNNNNNNNNNNNNNNNNNNNNNNNNNNNNNNNNNNNNNNNNNNNNNNNNNNNNNNNNNNNNNNNNNNNNNNNNNNNNNNNNNNNNNNNNNNNNNNNNNNNNNNNNNNNNNNNNNNNNNNNNNNNNNNNNNNNNNNNNNNNNNNNNNNNNNNNNNNNNNNNNNNNNNNNNNNNNNNNNNNNNNNNNNNNNNNNNNNNNNNNNNNNNNNNNNNNNNNNNNNNNNNNNNNNNNNNNNNNNNNNNNNNNNNNNNNNNNNNNNNNNNNNNNNNNNNNNNNNNNNNNNNNNNNNNNNNNNNNNNNNNNNNNNNNNNNNNNNNNNNNNNNNNNNNNNNNNNNNNNNNNNNNNNNNNNNNNNNNNNNNNNNNNNNNNNNNNNNNNNNNNNNNNNNNNNNNNNNNNNNNNNNNNNNNNNNNNNNNNNNNNNNNNNNNNNNNNNNNNNNNNNNNNNNNNNNNNNNNNNNNNNNNNNNNNNNNNNNNNNNNNNNNNNNNNNNNNNNNNNNNNNNNNNNNNNNNNUCCCCCUCCAUCGCCACCACCUCCGCCCCUCCCGUCGGGGCCUCUCCCUCCGUCGCCACCUCCUUCGCCCCUUUCGUCGGUGCCACCCCCUCUGUAGUCCCCUCUCCCAUCCCCAUCGAGGCCACCCCCUCCAUAGACAACCACAAUAACUCCAAUGUCUCAUCACGCCAAAAAUGUGGGUGACCCCCCUCUCCAUCACCAUCUCUGCCACCUUCUCGAUCAUGAUCUCUAUCAUCCCCUCUGUCCCCCCAUUGUCUGCCGGCUAAAUCUCCUCUAAGCGCCGCUACUGUAUCCUGAAGGUCGACAACGGAAGACUGUAGUAUUCCAACAUCACGGGAUAGAUCGUCAACCCUCCCUGUCAACUCUCGUCCCAUAUCGUCGACCCUCCCUGUCAGAUAGUCGACCUUCCCUGCCAGAUCGUCGACCCUCCCUGUCAACUCUCGUCCCAUAUCGUCGACCCUCCCUGUCAGAUAGUCGACCUUCCCUGCCAGAUCGUCGACCCUCCCUGUCAACUCUCGUCCCAGAUCGUCGACCCUCUCCGUCAAAUCUCGUCGUAGCGCGCCGACCUCCUCCACUAUAAAUCCAGUCAAAUGGGCAUACAAAUCAUCACUGUGCCCCGAAGACACACGGGGGAGGUGUCUGGAUAGAGGUGAUGCCAGUGGUGGCGGCGAUGGCCCCGGCGGAGGUGAUGCCACUAGCGAUGGUGAUGCCCUCGACGGAGGUGAUGCCAAUGGCGGGGACGAUACUCUCAGCAGAGGUGAUGCCAAUGGUGGCGGCGAUACCCUCGGCGGAGGUGAUCGUCAAUCAACUGGACCGCCCUCCUACAUAAAUAAAAUAAAAAAUUAUUCAAUAAAUUUAUACGUUGACGAUAUUCAAUAAAUUAUAUUUCAUUCACAUACUCAAUCUCGGUCCAAGCUCGGAUCAGACAUCUCCUCGUCUGGGGUGUGCGGAACGCCUAAAUCCGGCACAAGACCCCGAGCCUCCUCUUCCAUCGACGGCGUCAACUCAGGUAUGACUUCAAGCUGACAUAUUGACAUUUCAACUACUUAACGAUCAUGUAAACAAAAUUUUAAACUACGUAUAAUAUAAAUCACAAAUGCAUAAUACUUACCUAAGGAUCGUCGAGGAGGGUCGAUAACUGCUUCCCAGUGGGACAUCCCUCCACUCGCGAUGAUCUCCAAUGAUGCAUCCGAGGGCAGCGUGUCUCUCCUCGCUACGUAAAGCGGGCACCCAGUACAGGAACUAUCUCAUACACCCAAAUCUGUAACACAUACACUUAUUAGGCAUCAAUAUAAUACACUAAAACUUUAACUUUGAUUAUAUUAAACAUUUACCUGCAUCGCUAAGGGCAAUUCAUAUGUAUCGUAUUUACGCAUCGACCCCCCGGGCCUCGAGUGCGAUCUGGUGAACACAUGUACGGUGUCUUCGUAGCAUCUCCGGCCCCAUGGAUAGUUGUUGAACGCAUCAAUGUCGUCAACAACUUGCAAAUGAAAAAUGUCGAUGACAGUCUUCUUGUGAUGACACCUCAUCACACUCUCGAGGAUGUAGACCAGCCCAAGCUUCAAUCUAUCUAACAUAUGGUCGCACCCCCUGAUCGCGACCAUCAAGUCGGGUAGAAGCACCGACCCAUGUCCCUGGAAGUACGUCUCGUACAGCCUAUUGCUUCUCUCCAUGGCUGCAUCGUCGCUCGUAAUCCUCAGUCCAGUGAUCAAUGUAAACUCAAACAUCGAGAAACUGACAACCUUGCCCCCGAGGUCGAAUUGGAGGGAAUCGCGGUCGAUUAGCCUCAGAAGCCGACAUAAAAGUGCAUCAAUGAUCUGUCCUAAGUAUUGCACCUCCAGCAACUGGUACAGUGGCCACAAGAAGGACUGUUGUAGCAUAUAUCCGUGCUGAUCAUCGAGCAGCUCCAACACAAAACUACUGUUCCAAGUAGCUUUCCCCGCCAUCCGUCUCAACUCUGCAUCUAAAUGAUACUCCAUCCUGCAAAAAUUCAAAUGUUAUAAUAUUGAACAAGAGAUAACAAAAGAAAGCAUAAUCUCACAAAAUCAAGGGAACUGAACUCUAACUACCAUACAAUCACAAAUAUUACAUUUGAAAAAUAUAUUUACAAAAAACAACAAAUCAAAUUAAAUGUAUUGUCAAAAAAAUUAAAGAAUAUAAAUAUUAUUUAAAUAAAUUGAAAAAAAAUCAAAGAUUUUCAUAAAAGAACAAUAAAAGGAACAAAACAAAUUGCCAAAUUAACAAUAUUAUGUAUUCAAUUAUUAAAUUAUAUAAAAAAAAGGCAAUUAUAAAAAUUAAAUAAUUAAAUAAAAUAAUUAUUAUUUGGAAAAUAUAUUUACAAACAAAAAAUUUCAAAUUAAAUACAUUUUCGAAAAAUGUAAAGACUAUUUAUAUUAUUUAAAAAAAUUUGAAAAAAUAAAUUAAAGAUUAUUUCAUAAAAAAAAAAAAGGAACAACACAAAAUUGUUAAUUUUAGAAUAUUUCAAUUAUUAAAUUAUAUAAAAGACAAAUAUAAAAAUUAAAUAAAUAAUUACUUUACAUUUUCAAAAAAUGAAAAGACUAUUUAUAUUAUUUAAAUAAAUUCGAAAAAAUAAAUUAAAGAUUAUUUCAUAAAAAAAAAAGGAACAACACAAAAUUGUUAAUUUUAGAAUAUUUCAAUUAUUAAAUUAUAUAAAAGACAAAUAUAAAAAUUAAAUAAAUAAUUACUUUACAUUUUCAAAAAAUGAAAAGACUAUUUAUAUUAUUUAAAUAAAUUCGAAAAAAUAAAUUAAAGAUUAUUUCAUAAAAACAAAAAAAAAUAAGGAACAACACAAAAUUGUUAAUUUUAGAAUAUUUCAAUUAUUAAAUUAUAUAAAAGACAAAUAUAAAAAUUAAAUAAAUAAUUACUUUACCUUUUUUUAAAAUGUAUAGACUAUUCAUAUUAUUUAUAAAUUUGAAAAAAUUAAUUAAAGAUAAUUCCAUAAAAAAAUGGAACAGCACAAAAUUGUUAAUUUUAGAAUAUUUCAAUUAUUAAAUUAUAUAAAAGACAAUUAUAAAAAUUAAUGAAUAAUUAAUUUACAUUUUCAAAAAAUGACACUAUUUAUAUUAUUUAAAUAAAUUUGAAAAAAAAUUAAAGAUUAUUUCAUAAAAAAAAAAAGGAUCAACAUUGUUAAUUUUACAAUAUUUCAAUUAUUAUAUUAUAUUGACAAUGAUAAAAAUUAAAUAAAUAAAUAACAUAAUUACUAUUUAAUCAAAUAAAAAAUUUAAUUAAUUACAAAAAUUAUAAAAAACAAAUAAAAAUUAAAUAUAUAUUUUUUUUACAAGAUAAAACAGACUGUUAAACGAUCGACUCAGACAAGUCAUAGGUCGACUGUUUACAGUCGGCCCGACUGUUAAUAGUCUGGGCCGACUGUUAACAGUCUGUUAAGCCAGAAAUCGCCAUUACUGGCGACAGAGCUCCAAAAAUUGCAAAAAAAUCACAUUUUUCACACUCCCAGCAUGCCCACAAUCUUUACUCAUGCCCAUGGAUCUAAUUAAAUCGAAUAAUGUAAGGAAAAUGCUAAAUUUACUUAUUCAAUAAUUAUUUUACUGAAACAAAAAGUCAUCUAGAAAACUAACCGGUUAUUUUAUUUUCGGUGUAGAUGAAGGUCGUUGACUGCGACGUCGGUGUAGUUGCCGGUGGUUGAUCGGUCAAAUUUCUGGCGAUUGUGCGUCGGUUUCUUUUUUGUCGGUCGGUUAGACAGAAUUUUUCAAACAGUCUGAAGGGUAAAAUCGUCUUUUACUGUGAAGUUUUUUUUUUAACUUAAUUUGUUUUUUCUUUAAUUCAUUUAAUGGGUAAAGGCCAAUGUCAAAUUUUGCUACAGCGAAAGAACCAUUUUUGUGUAUUUCCUCCAUGACUCCUCUCCAUUAAAAAGAGAACCCACGGCUGCUCCUUUGCUUUGAGCUUGAACCCGUGCAUUUGCUUUUUAUAUUCAGCCAUGUUCUUCCUUCUUCGGAAAGCUUUCAUCCAUUCCCCUCAUGGAACCCCUAGUAGGCUGUUUGGAUUUGGUCUUUGGGUCCAAUUUAUGAUGUUGCCUUUUGUCGAUAUUGGCUUAUGAUCUGAGCCCUUAAUUUACACCAUCAUAGCCUUUCAUAUUAGAGAUUUCAUUUGUCAGUUUGGGUUCCUCAGUUUCCUAUCAAUUACUUUCUAUUUCUGGUUUUAACUUUGUACUCUCUUGGUGAUUUUGCGAGGUUAAUGGACUACAACUUGGUAUAAGAGCCUUGCGUGUGCAAAAACAGGGAGGAAAAAACUGAUAGUGAAGGAAGCUGUGUAAAAUCUGUCGAAAAUCAACCAACCCACACUUGCAAUUGAGUUUUGGACCAAACCAGAUGCCUGUAGAGCAAAUAAAGAUAACCUUUCGGCUCCAGAUGAUGAGGCAAAGCUCCGUGGUCAGCUCGCGUGGUACGUGGAGUAGCAAGUGCGAUGGCACGUGAAGCCCUCACAUAGUGACGGUGGUGUUACAUGCGGACACGAGCGGUGGAGUCUCGCAGGGAUGCUUGAAGAUUGAUUAUACCUGGCAGGUUUGCAGACUACUAAGGCCAUCUCCAACUCUACACCAAAUUUUGCACCAUUUUACAUCAAAUUUUGCAUCAAAUCUUGCACCAAACUAAAAUUCAUCUCCAACCAUUACACCAAAAAUUACACCAAAUGAACAGUAUUUAACCAUUUUCUUCCCUUUUUUAUUCUUUAUAAUCUACUUAUUUGAAAUAUUAUUUAUUUAAUUAUUUCAUAAAUACAUAGAUUACGAAAUAAAUAAUUACAUUAAAUUACGGAAAAGAUUAAAUUCAUUAUUAAAUAUAAAAAAAACAUAGAACAAUUAAUAAACAUAGAACAUAAAUUGCUAUUUAAUAUAUUUCGAGUUAACUUUAAUAAAUAAUCAUGUUUGAUGUAUUUUAAAUUGUUUUCGUCUUUUAAUUAAUUAAUUAAUUAUUAUGUCUUACAUUUAAAAUUUAUUUUAAACACAAAUAAUAUUAGUAUUAAUAAAAAAUAAUAAUAAUUUAUUGUAUUAAAAAAUAUAUAGCACAAAUUACGUAAAUACCCUCAACAAAUUUAUUUGAGGAAUGUUAAAUAAGGGCAAAAUGGACAUUUUACACUUUGCACCAUUUUGGUGAAAAAUGUGGUGCAAUGCUAUUCACUUUGCAACAUUUUGCACCAAAAUGGUGCAAAGUUUGGUGUUGGGUUGCAGAAAUUUUGCACCAAAAAAUGGUGCAAAAUGGUGUAAUGGUGUUGUGGUUGGAGAUGCCCUAAGCGUGUGUUUUUUGGAACCAUGGUGAAGGUUUGUUCAGUUUUGAUCCCAAACGAACCAUAGGGCCUUCGAUCAUUAAGUGGUGGGAUAUUAUACUUCAUAGGCUUUUAUAGCCAAAGAGUGAAGAUUUAAAUAAAUACCUCAUCUCCACAAUUUGGUAGCUCAAUUGUAAAGAUAGACUAAAAACCAUUAAUAAAUCACUUGGAAGAUUAAACAGGCUUGACCCAGUUGCCGUGUGGUUCAUACUAGACAACCCACUUGUUAGUGUAACCUAAUUGCCAUUAUUUAUAGGAUCCAUCUGUGUCUUUUGCAUACAGUACACAAGGCUCCUCUAUGUUGAAAAGAGUACAAAUGGCUGCUCCUUUGUUUUGUGCUUGAACCUAUGCCUCUGCUUCCUAUUUUCGGCCCUAUUUUUCCUCAUUCGUGAAACGUUCGUCCAUCUCCUUCUUGGAACCUUAGUGGGCUGUUUGGAUUUGGUCUUUGGGUCCAAUUUGUGGUGUUGCCUUUCUUGGAGAUUGGCUUAUGAUUUGAGCCCCCAAUUUACAGCACCAUAGCCACGCAUACUGUAGAUUUCAUUUAUCAAUUUGGAUUUUACAAUUUCCUGUAUUUGUGAUUUUGCAAGGUUAAAUUGCUAAAGAUCAACUCGGAUUGUGAAGAACUAAGGAAGCAUGCAGCAUUUGCCUUAGGAUUGGCAGAUUGUGAUGUCCCUUUGCCUUGCAUGGUAGAUAGUAUGUGCUGAAUUUGUAAAAUAGGGAGCCCACUCGUCACUGAUUGAAUUUCUUGCUGUUGUUGUGCUUCUUGACUGGACCUGGUUGGCGCAUGUUUCGGGUGUCCUGGUGGAUAUCUGUUAGACAUGAUGUUGUCAAACGACCUCCCGGGCGAUGAUGAAAACCAAUUUUAUCAAUCUACAUGAAUGACUGAACGAUAAUUCAACAUCGAAUAAUGGAUGAACCGACCAAACGUCGCUUUACCUAUUGGACGGCUAAUACUCUUUGUGGCUUGUUGUUUCUUUCCAUUGGAAAUUAACCCUAGUCGAGCCUACUUACCAUAUCUUGACUUACCUUAUGUUGGCCACUUAACAUAUAUAUAUAUUGGUGUUUUUUCUUUGACUCCUCAUCCCGUCCAUAUAGAACCCGAGAGCAAAGAGAGACUGCCGUUCUUCUCUUGUGCCUUCUUCUUCGUGAUUUAUCUUCCAUGCCAAUUGCUUGAGCCUUUGUGACUCUUAUUCUUAUGCCUUCUUCUUCGUGAUUUGUCUUCUAUGCCAAUUGCUUGAGCCUUUGUGACUCUUACCUGUGUGGUAUCCACCCUAAAUAUGUGGAUUGAAUCAACAAGCAAAAGAGGAAAGCAACCAUAGGAGAGUUGAAGCCGGCGGGUUGGUCAUCUUGGUUUUGGUGUUGAAUUCGAUGUUUAAUGGUUAACUGAGCCUGGAAAUCACUUUGAGUAGCUUAAGGAAGAUCCUAACAUCUGGUAUUAGAGCUUGGGUAGCAAAAAUUGGCUCAAAAUCGGUUGAUUUUCGAACUUGAACCUUAGAACCCGAAUCUGAAAAUUUGCAAUUACUCACAAUCCAAAACUCGGUUGGACAAACGGAGGCCAUACCCAUCACCAACAGGUCAAGGCGCUCUCGGAGAGGCGACGCGUGGGCGGCGGCGCGUGGAUCGGCUACGGCGGCACGUGGGCGGCUGUCUGGCGACGCUAUCUUCAGGUAACUUGCUUGUUUCGAUCUCCUGAAUGCGCUGAUAUACUUUGUUUUGUGUUUCAGGUUACACAGAAAAAGUUGGAUGAUUUUGCCCUUUGGUACGACGCCGACUGAAAUUCAACAGCAAGCUCGUUUUUCUCCACUCUACGGACUCAGAUAGGUCCGGUCUGGUAAAUUGGCUUAAUCCAUUUAAAUUCAGCAAUAGCAAGAUUAUCGUGUGGGGUGAUCGUUAGGUUUUGGGUUUACCGUGAAGGGGUAACCAUUGCUUGUGCUAGAACUAGGAUUAUUUGCGUUAAUUGAGUGUUUGUUCUUUUGAUUUAAAGUGCUUGAUAUUUCUUGGUGGACAUAGCGUUUAGGUUCAUUGUUACUUUUGCUAAGAAUUAACAAGAUAUUACCUUAUCACGCUUCCAAUACUACUUCGUGUGGUUUAAUUAGUGUGUUAACCAAUGACAACACAUAAUUUUGAUUUGGGAAUUUUUAACGGUAAAGAGGACUUCUCUAUCUGGCAACAAAAGAUAAGAGGCAUACUAGUCCAACAAAAGGUGUCAAAAGCCAUCGAAGGUAAUUUUACACCUGAUAUCUCAAAAGAACAAAAAGAGGAAGCCGAUAAGCUUGCCUAUACCUCAAUAAUAUUACACUUGUCUGACGCUGUCUUAAGAAAAGUGGGAAAACUAAAAACCACCAAAGAACUUUGGAAAAGACUAGAAGACUUAUACUUGCUUAAAUCUACACCGAAUAAACUCUACCUACUCGAACGAUUCUUCAGCUUUAAAAUGGAUCCUUCAAAGGAUCUCGACGACAAUUUAGAUGUAUUUAAUAAAUUGGUGCAAGAUAUUGUCAAUUGUGACGAAGCCGUGUCUGAAACCUAUAAGGCCAUUAUCUUGCUCAAUUCAAUCCCGGACUCUUAUAAAGAAGUUAAAAAUGCUAUUAAGUAUGGUAGGGACACGCUAACACCUGAAAUUGUCGUAGAUUCUCUUAGAAGUAAAGAGAUGGAAAUGAAGGCUGAAAAACAGGAUAGAAGGAGUGGAGAGUUGCAUAUGAUGCUGGGUAGAACACAAUUUAGGCAAGCCAGUCAUGAUGGAUACCAAAGUAGUGGCGAAUCAAGUAGUAAUAGUUGGAAAAAGAAGGGGAAUGGUAGACCUAGAUCAAAGUCUAGAACUAAGGGUAGAAAAUGCUAUGGCUGUGGAGGCACAGGGCAUUUUAAAAAAGACUGUCAUAAAGAAAAAGGAAAACAGAAGGUUAAGGAAAGAGAUGAGGUAAAUGUGUUAUCCUCUACCUCCGAUACAGAAAACGGUGAAAUCUAUGUGAUUACUAGUCCAGUCGCAUACACUACUGAAUUAAAUCUAACUACUAAUUCUCACAUGCAUGAAUGGAUAUUAGAUUCUGGUGCGUCUUUUCAUGUGACAUCUAAAAAGAACUGGUUUGAAAACUUGCAAGAAUCUAAUGAUGGGCAAGUAGUUCUAUGUGAUAACUUCGCCUAUACAAUUGCUGGAAUUGGAGAUAUAAAGAUAAAAUUUAACACAGGCUUUGUGUACGUGUUAAAGGAAGUUAGAUACAUUCCGAAAUUAUCUAGGAAUUUGAUUUCAGUAGGAAGACUUGAGAAAGACAACUUCACCGGUAAAAUUGAAAACGGUAUGUUUAAAAUGAUGAAGGGUGCGUUAAUCUCUAUUAAGGAAAUCAAGAAAAACGACAUUUAUAUCACUACUGGGGAAGUGAUUAGACGAUUAAACUCCUCUAUUUCUUCCGUCAAAAUCGAUCACACACACACGUGGCAUAGUAGGCUUGCACAUGUAAGUAUUAAAGGACUUAAGCUACUUAAUGAAAAAGGUGCAUUUGGUAAUGACUGUGUGUCUGACCUAUCGUUCUGUGAUCACUGUGUGCUUGGAAAACACCAUAGAGUGUCGUUUUUCACCAGUACGCAUAAGGCUAAAAGCAUGCUUGAAUAUGUGCAUUCUGAUCUGUAGGGUCCUGCUAGUAAUCCCACAUCGGGUGGGAAUAGGUAUUUCCUAUCUAUCAUAGAUGACUACACCAGGAAAGUGUGGGUCUAUCUAUUGAAAGACAAAACUGAAACCUUCCAUAACUUUAACAAUUGGAAGAAACAAAUGGAAAACCAAACUAGCAAGAUGAUCAAAUUUUUAAGGACAGAUAACGGCCUAGAAUUCUGUAAUGCUGAAUUUGAUAGGAUGUGUAAAGAAAGUGGAAUAACAAGGCACAAAACGGUUCCUUAUACUCCCCAGCAAAACGGGGUAGCACAAAGAAUGAAUAGGACCAUACUAGACAAAGUGCGCUGCAUGAUGUUAAGUUCUGGGGUUCCUAAGUCAUUUUGGGGUGAAGCCGUUGUCACUGCCUGUUAUCUAAUAAAUUUGACUCCAUCGGCUGCAUUAAAUGGUGAUACUCCACAUGAGAAAUGGUCUGGAAAAUUUGGUGACUACUCAAUGCUUAAAGCGUUUGGCUGUGCUGCCUUUUCUCAUCAAAGUGAGAGAAAGUUAGAACCUAGAGCCAGGAAGUGUGUCUUUCUAGGAUAUCCCGAAGGGGUUAAGGGCUAUAGGCUAUGGGAUAGAAGCUAAAAAGGAGUUAAGAUCAUCGUGAGUAGGGAUGUCACAUUUAAUGAGAAUGAGAUGCCUUGUCUAAAGAACGAAACCAAACCAGUAAGUGAAACUGAAUGAAGUGAAGAAAGAAAUCGGUUUAAGGUGGAGUUAGGAAAAUUUAACACAUCAGUACCUAGUACUUCGAGUGAGGUGGAGAUUCAGGUCCAAGAACCUGAAGAGGAAAAUGAAGUAGUGAUAGAAGAGCAUCCUGAGGAAGAAAAUCCAUUAGCUAACUAUAACUUAGUUAGAGAUAGAGAAAGAAGGCAAACGAGAGAACCUAGGAGGUUCGGGUAUGAAUCUAAAUUGGAUUUUGCAUACGCUAGUUACGAAGAACUAGUUGAUAGGGAGCCAGAAACUUUUGAAGAGGCUAUAAAUAGUAGUCAAUCUAAGGAGUGGCUUGAGGCUAUGAAAGAAGAGAUGAGUUCUCUAGAAAAGAAUCAAACUUGGGAGUUAGUACCGAGACCUAAGAAUAAAUCAAUCGUUGAUUGCAAGUGGGUCUUUAAGGUUAAGGAAGGUACUAGUAGUUCAGAACCCUUAAGAUUUAAGGCUAGGUUAGUAGCAAAGGGUUACACACAGAAAGAAGGUGUUGAUUAUAACGAGAUUUUCUCACCAGUUGUCAAGUACACUACUAUUAGGGUCAUGCUCGCAUUGGUUGCGUUCUUUGACUAGGAACUUGAACAAUUCGAUGUAAAAAUCGCUUUUUUAUAUGGAGAGCUUGAUGAACAAAACUUUAUGAAUCAACCAAAAGGUUUUAUAGACAAAUUAAAACCUGAUUAUGUGUGUUUUCUGAAAAGAUCCCUAUAUGGUCUAAAGCAAUCACCUAGACAGUGGUACAAGAGGUUUGAUUCCUUUGUACUCACUAUAGGAUUUCAAAGAAGUAAAUUCGGUCACUGCCUAUACUUUCAACACAACGAGACUGAUAACAAUUAUUUGUUCUUGUUGCUCUAUGUGGACGACAUGCUUUUAGUUGGAUCAUCUCCUAAGUGGAUAAACAAUAUAAAAGCAUAUCUUAGUGGAGAAUUUGACAUGAAAGACCUAGGAAAGGCUAAAAGGAUUCUAGGCAUGGAAAUAGAACGAAAUAGGUCAAAUUCCAUCGUAUUCUUGCAUCAGUCUCCAUACAUAUCAAAGGUGUUGAAAAAGUUUAAUAUGAGUGACUGCAAACUUGUCACGUUGCCUCUUGCAAAUCACUUUGUUCUAUCUAAGGAACAAGCUCCCUGCAAUGAACGUGAAGUGGAAUACAUGAGUAAAAUUCCAUACUCAAAUGUGAUUGGUUCCAUAAUGUAUUUGAUGGUUUGCACUAGACCGGACUUAGGAUUCGCUAUUAGUACUCUCAGUAGGUACAUGUCUAAUCCAGGUCCUGAACAUUGGGAAGCAUUAAAGUGGCUUUUAAAAUAUUUGAAGGGUACAAGUGACGUAGGUCUAAAAUUUAGUGCUAAUAAAGAAGGCGUGAAAUUAAAGGGUUUUGUAGAUGCUGACUAUGCAAGAGAUAGGGAUGGUAGAAAAUCAACUUCCUCUUAUGUAUUCACCUUAUCAAAUUCAUGUGUUAGUUGGAAAUCACAGUUACAACACAUAGUUGCACUAUCCACUACAGAGUCAAAAUAUAUUGCCACCACUGAAGCAAUUAAAGAGGCUCUAUGGCUUAGAGGUCUACUUCAUGAACUGAGUGUCUUGAAUGAGUAUGUGGUUGUGAAUUCUGAUAGUCAGUCAUCCAUACAUCUGUGUAAGAAUCCUGUUUUUCAUGAACGCACUAAACAUAUCGAUGUUAGGUUACACUUCAUUAGGGAUAUAAUAUCACAAGAAGUAGUAAGACUUGAAAAAAUUCACACACAGUAUAAUCCUUCAGAUAUGGGCACGAAAGUGCUGCCACUGGUAAAGUUUAGAAGUUGCAAAGAGCUUCUAAACAUCGGUACAGGUAAAUGAUUUCAAUUUUAUCGGUUUUUCUGUUAGAGGUGUCACUAAUGGAAAAACGAUUUUCUUUGCAGGUCCUUUGACACCAAGGUAGAGGUUGUUAGACAUGAUGUUGUCAAACAACCUCCCGGGCGAUGAUGAAAACCAAUUUUAUCAGUCGACAUGAAUGACUGAACGAUAAUUCAACAUCGAAUAAUGGAUGAACCGACCAAACGUUGCUUUACCUAUUGGACGGCUAAUACUCUUCGUGGCUUGUUGUUUCUUUCCAUUGGAAAUUAACCCUAGUCGAGCCUACUUACCAUAUCGACUUACCUUAUGUUGGCCACUUAACAUUUAUAUAUAUUGGUGGUUUUCUUUGACUCUUCACCCCCGUCCAUAUAGAACCCGAGAGCAAAGAGAGACUGCCGUUCUUCUUCUUGUGCCUUCUUCUUCGUGAUUUGUCUUCUAUGCCAAUUGCUUGAGCCUUUGUGACUCUUACCUGUGUGGUAUCCAUCCUAAGUGUGUGGAUUGAAUCAACAAGCAAAAGAGGAAAGCAACCAUAGGAGAGUUGAAGCCGGCGGGUUGGUCAUCUUGGGUUUGGUGUUGAAUUCGAUGUUUAAUGGUUAACUGAGCCCGGAAAUCACUUUGAGUAGCUUAAGGAAGAUCCUAACAAUAUCCAUUCAUCUUCAAACACAUGUCCUGGACUCAAAAUUCAUUUUAUUAGUUGUUAACGAACUGUGCAUUUGUGGUGGUUUUGAAUUAAAAGAUAUUUUCGUGAGAGUUUUGUUACAAAAACACGGAAUGGGGGUCUAGAUUAAAUCUAUGUGCCACGUGUCAAUAUUUGGUUGGUCAUUUUUUUUUUAUUUUUUUACAUUUUAAAAGAGUACCUACUCAGGUGUUGUCACGGAGCACAUAAAUUUAAACCAUGUUUACAUUUCGAGUCAGAGUAGCUUUAUUCUUUUUGUGAACAAUGAAAAAGUAAACUUGUGCAACAACAGAACAAAUUCUUCAAUAGGAUCUAUCAUCAUAUAGCAUUAUAGGGCUGAGUCCCAUGAGAAAUUGCAUCAAUCUGUAUCUAUUAUUGUUUGUGCCACAAAAGCAAAUAGUGUCGUUACAGUAGCCCAGGUCAUCCUACAGUUUUUAAGUCUUUUAUAGGGGUGUUUGAGCCAUAUUAUUUUGGUAAUAAUGCAUUUUUGAAUAGUGUAUUGAUGAAAAAUGUGUGGUUAAAAAAUAAGAAAAUUUUUUUGAUUUGCGUGUAAUAUUAUUUUAUUGAAGAAUGUGUGGUUGAAAUGAUGUCAAAUCACUGUUUAAGAAUGUAUUUUUUUGAAAUAAUGUGACUCGAACAGGCCCUAAUAUGCCACAACAGUAACGUAACCUUGAGAAAGACAAGUAAUGUCCCUCUCAAUCUGAAAAAGAUGCAGGGCAUUUCUUUGAGAAAAAUGACUAUGAAUGUCUUUCCAAAUCUCUUUGGCAUGGUUGAAAAAAUUACACUAUCUGCAAUAUUGGUGUGAGCAAAUUGAGAAUCCAUGAUCGAACGAUGUCACUGCAUCUUUUCCAUGAUGCAUAGUCUUCUAGGUUGGUUGUGGCAGAUGGCCCUGUGGUGGUCUCAUCUAUGAAGCCCAAUUUGGAUUUGGCAUUCGAAGAGAUGACCAUUGUUCUGAUGCCAUAUAGGAGGGCGGAAAGCUAGAUUAUAGAGCCCUGCUAUGAUACCAUAAAAAGUAGACGAAAAUAUUGCUUUGAAUAACAUUCAUUAAAUCCGACGAUAUAUACACACACACACAAGUACUUUCCUAUAAUUGUGCUAGUCUAUUUGUCCAAUGAAUAUUGGGAUAUUAUUGACUUUUGUAGCAGGUUGGGUGAUGGCUAAUACUGAUGGAGCAGCCCAUGGAAACCCUGAUCAAGCUGGAUGUGCUGAUUUGUUUUACAACUACAGGGGGCUCGUGAAAGGUUUCUUUGCAGUCCCUCUCGAUAAUUUUGUGGACUUUCGAAGCUGAACUGGAUGUGAUACAUGCGGUUCAAAUAGCAUGGAAAAUAAUUGGCAUUAAUUAUGGCUGAUUCGAUCACUGUGGCUCAUCUCAUGACAAUACCUUUAUGAGAUGACGCUCCGCUGUACAAAUAGCAUUUUUCAUUUAGUUAUCAUUUAACAUAGAUUUUGUUCAUUAUUUCUCCCGCACGUCGAGAAUAUUUUUUAUACGGCUUAUUGUUUCUUUUAUUAUUAAGACUUGGGAGAGUAAAUAAUGAGAGUGCUACGAAGAUGCAAACUUAGUUGGGAUGUUCCUGUACACUUUCUCAGCCCUAUAACAGACAAAUUUAUUGAGGAAAAAAAUGUUUAAAAAAAUUCAACAGCUACAAAAAAAAAUUAAAAUUAAAUUAAAUUGAUUAACGUUUUCAGAAUUGUACAAUGCUCUAUAAAGUUAAAAAAAUUUUGGAAUUGUAUAGAAGUCAUCAUCAAAAAUGCAUUGGAAAAUUUAAGUUGAAAUUAUUAAAGAAUCUGAUUUCAAACGCGCCCACCUCUAAUGAUAAGAUAAAAUACUAGAGUUUAUUAUUUCUUAUAUGUAGUUGAUUAAGUUAUUUCUUGACACAAAUUAAGGUUUUGGAUAAUUUCAAAAGUAAGAAAAUAUUUUUGGUUUUUUAUUUGACUUAAAAAAUUUGAAAUUGUAGAUGAUAGUUGUUUUGAGUGUUGAUGUGAUAAGCUUGGAAAAAAAGAAAAAAGAACUUAAGCAUGACAAGGAUUUUGAUAUUGAUGAUCUAAGUUAUUUCCUGAGCUGUAAAUUAUUAGAAAUUAUUUGUGAAAAGACACAAAAAAAGGUGAAUGAAGUUUUAAAUUAUAUAAAAAUGAUUGACUAUUUUUAAAAUGUUUUGAUAGGUUGUAAAUAUUACUCACUGUAUCAUUUACACUUGCAUUCACCUAUACACUUGCGUCCAUCGAGAGGAGCUUAUCAAUGUUGAAGUUGAUAUAGUUCUAGUUUUGAUCAAAAGACUGAUCAUUUGUCUAUUGAAAAAGAAAUUCUAAAAAGAUUGAUUGUAAUAGUAUAAUUAUUGGUUUUCAAUCAAAAAUUCUAAAUGAAUAAAUUCAAUCUUGACAUUUGAAAUUUUUAUAUUAUUAUUUUUGUAAUUUUGAAUAUUUUUUAUUAAUAAAAGCUAGUAUUUUUAUUAUUUUAUAUAUUUUUACAUAUGUUUAGGUGCCCCUUAUUUCAAGUUAACUUUAAAGCACCCAAAUCUCAAAGUCAACCCUAACUGUAUGGAACAUUCAACAAAUGUAUGUCCAUGAAAGAGCGUUUAAGGCGUGGUGCGAUAUCCAAGCGGCUAGUUUUGGACCUCUACUCGUAUAUUUUGAAGAGGAGAGCGACUACAAAAGUAAUCAUAAGGUAAGAAAAUAUUUUUGCAUGAUGGCUAAGAAGCAUGAUGAUUUCACGGUAACUAUAAAGUAGAAAUUCUCUUUUUGAUCGACUUCUAAUCGAUUUAGACUAGUUAAAAUUUACAUUUAUCUCUUUAAUGGAUUAGAGGACGGGGUUCUAUGCCCUUUCCAAAGUUUCAUAUUUUCUUCUUCAUUUUUGCGAGCGUUUUAUAAAUAAUCUACAAAUGCUGUGGUUCACUAAAAAAUAAAAAUAAGGUUUUCAUUUAUUAAAUAUAAAAGGUAGAAAGUUGCCAUUUGAAAGGCCCAAACAAAAGGAAGAUAAAAAAAAAUUGAUAACACUAAUUUUACGCUUCACUGCUUCUUAGCCUUCUUCGCAGCAUUCAACAUAACAGUUCAAAUGAAAUACGACCACACUAAUUUUACGCUUCACUGCUUCUUAGCCUUCUUCGCAGAGCCAUGCUCUUCUUCAUCUUCUGGAGCUUG
Molecule: long non-coding RNA, 108439 nt
Filed under: Olea europaea (common olive)
Lineage: Eukaryota; Viridiplantae; Streptophyta; Magnoliopsida; Lamiales; Oleaceae
Description: long non-coding RNA (OEUR_LNC004329)
Source: RNAcentral